This 110417-nucleotide long non-coding RNA is filed under the name Eucalyptus grandis. RNAcentral describes it as "long non-coding RNA (EGRA_LNC002537)". Lineage: Eukaryota; Viridiplantae; Streptophyta; Magnoliopsida; Myrtales; Myrtaceae. The record is from RNAcentral.
GUGCUGUUUUUUAAUAAUUUCAUUGCGAUAGCUUAUUCUUUUUUUGCUUUUUUUUUUCCCGGUACAAGUGCAUCGCUUUCUCCUCGUGAGAUUUGCUGUGAUGAAAUGGGAUGGAUUUGACUUUUUAGUCCGUAGACUUCACUUCUUUCCUUUUAUUUUUUUUUAUUUUUUAUAUAUAGUCAUGACUUUGUGUAGAAGUCGUGAGCGAAAUUUGAGUACGGCUAUUUCAAAUCUGAGUACCGGACAGUGCGGGCUUCACUGCGGUUGGGUUUACUCUAGGUCAUUGAAAAAGUUAAAAGGUUUCAAGCACUCAACAUGGAUGAUGGUUAUCUACCGUGCUCUUUGACCAUGAAUGAAAAACAUGAACUGCUUAAUCCUUCAAGUGGUCUCUCUUCGGUGGUUUCAUUAUUGUUGUAAAUAAGUUACCAAAACCCAGUUAGUGGAUAGUUUAGUAGUUGUUGCUUUGGGGGAUGACGGUCCAUAGUGAGUGGAGCUCAGCAUAUGCUCACGAAAGGCAUUGGACUUACCUAAUAUUUUACUUGUGAAAGUGUCUAAGCAAACGGCAUGUUUGCAUAUUUUAUACUCGACAGACUUAUCUGGUAGAUGCCUUAACAAUUAAAUCUUCAGUUUUCUUUUCUUCUAUUUUUCUAAUAGCACUUGGGGUCGAAUUUGCUUCAUUACUUGUAUUGAUUCACUUAUAAUCAUUUUUACUCUGUUAUAGUAACGUAUUAAAACGUGAAAUUCAGUCUCGAGUAAGUUUGUUUUCUUUAUUUGCCAGAACUCAUGUAAGUUUGUUCAAUAAGGGGAAUAUACUCUAGUUUUUUGUUGCUUUCUAAUAAAAAUGUUUCUUCUAAUUCAGUUAAUUUUCUUCACAGAGAUUCUUACCUUCAGAAUUUGGAAAUGAUGUGGAUCGUGUCCAUGCUGUGGAUCCAGCAAAAACUGCAUUUGCUAUCAAGGCCAAGAUUCGCCGCCUUGUUGAGGCCGAGGGAAUCCCUUAUACCUAUGUGUCUUCUAACUUUUUUGCAGGUUACUUCCUUCCAACAUUGUCGCAGCCUGGGGCUACAGCCCCCCCUAGAGAUAAAGUUGUUAUUUUAGGGGAUGGAAAUGUAAAAGGUAAGAAGCAAUUUCUUGAGAGAUGCACAUUUUAAUUUUUUUAGUUUUUUCUGUACAUUUUUCACAACUUAAUCACGGUAGUGAUCAGAGUGGGGCAGUUCUUGAAGCUUGCGAAUUCCAGGCAUCUUCUGUGUCUGGAGAUGUUGGCCUUUUACAUCCAUUAGUCUUCACUUUCAGAGACUAAUAGAUGACAUGGAAGUUAUUUGGUUUAUCUUGGCACAAUACCGCCUAGGCAGCAGAUCGUGAAGGUUAUCUUAAUGUAUUUGAUAGAAAAAAGAACGUAUGGAUGCAGUUGUGUGCGAGUUGUCUGGUGAUUCUGUUUACCGAGAAAAAUCUUCUUUGAAUGCGAGCUGAAAGUAACUCUAGGAAUAUUAAUGGCUUAUAUUUAUCAACUGAAUUCUAAAAUUCUCCCUGUCAAUAUACAGCGGUGUUUAACAAGGAGGAUGACAUCGGCACCUAUACUAUCAAAGCUGUGGAUGAUCCGAGGACCCUGAACAAAAUUCUGUACAUCAAACCUCCUGCUAACACCUACUCGUUUAAUGAUCUUGUGUCUUUGUGGGAGAGAAAGAUUGGCAAGACCCUGGAGAGGGUUUAUGUUCCAGAGGAGCAAGUUCUGAAGAAUAUUCAAGGUCAGGGAUGCGUUUCUAUUUGAUUUAAGCAUGUAGAAUUGUCUAUUUCUCUCUGAGAUUUAAGUAUUCUGAUGUUGAUCGGUCUACUUGUCUGGUGAUAUUGCAGAGGCGGCAGUUCCACUCAAUGUGAUAUUGGCCAUAUCUCAUUCUGUUUUUGUGAAAGGAGACCAAACCAACUUUGAGAUUGAGCCGUCAUUCGGAGUGGAAGCUUCAGAGCUCUAUCCUGACGUCAAAUACACGACCGUGGAUCAGUACCUUGAUCAGUUUGUCUGAUGGCCGAAACUGCCUGGGAUUGGUUGAUAUUUCACAGCAGUUUGAAUCAUGAAUAUUAUAGGAUUCUGCUUGUUAGGAUCCUUGUGUAAAAUGUCGCUCCCACUGAUCAUCUUAUGGCGUGUACAACCUUCAAAUAUGAGGACAUACUAUGAACAUUCGGUUUGUUUGCAUCUAUGCAGUGCUUGGAGAAGUUUCUUCUGUUUUGGAGUUGAUAUCGUUUUUUAUUUAUGGGAAAGCAAAAAGAAAGGCAUUGGGUUUCUCUGAUUUUGUGUAUUUUAUGUGGUGCGUCCUUGGUGUGGUAAUGAAUUGGAGCCUUUGACGAUGAGGUCCACCCUUGGCAAGGAUGUCGUGGCCUUCGCGCAGGCCUGGCGAUUGGCAGGGGAAGAACGGGGAAAAAAAGAAGGAAAAAAAAGAAGGCAGGAAGAAAUGCAAAGAAACAGAAGGAAAAAAAAUAAAAAAAUCAGAUUUUUUAUUUAAGUUGGUUUUUUUUUUUUUUAAUUUUUACGUUAGUAUUGGUUGUGUUGCAUUGUUGAUUGUAUUGUAAGGUAAAUUGUUAAAAGAUUUAGAAUCAAAUUAAUUAAAUUUAAAAGUUAAAUUUAAAAGUUGAGGAUUGAAUGAAUAUAGGUCGAUUGUUGUCGAGUCAUUCGACAUUUCAACUCUCGUGAUGUUUGCUUUUAUCAGUGGAGGUUGCGAAUUGUGAAUGUAGUAACCUUGGCCAAAAAAUUAAAGAGUUAAUAUUAAGAAAAAUUUUAAAUUAGUAUAUUCGUGAUAAGUUUAUUCUAAAUAAAUUUUUUGAUCAUAAAAAAUCUCGAACUAAUAUAUUUAUGAUAAAUUUAUUUUAAAUUGAUAAACUCGUGACAAUUGCUAAACUUUUCAACUGGUGUGAUGGAUAAAUUUACCCUCUAUUAACUUCCAUCAAAUUUUACCAUUAAAUUUGUCAAGAUAAAUGACACAUUGUGAUGUGUUAUGGUGACAUGGCAAGUCCACGUAAUAAUUCAUAGGAUUAAUAUCACGAAAAAUUCCAUAUUUAUUAUAGGUGUAUCGUUAAAUUUAUUACAAAAGUAACGUUAAAUUUAUCAUAAGUAUAUCAUUUUGAGUUUUUCAUGAUAUUUACCCUAUGGACAUGCCAUAUCAUCAUGUGUCAUCCAUGUUAGCAAAUUUAACAGUAAAAUUUGACAGAAGUUAAUGGAAAAUAAAUCUGUCGCAAGUUUAUCAGUUUUGAGUUUUUUGUUGUUAAAAUAUUAGUUUUGAGUAAAUUUGUCAGAAUCUAUCAAUUUGGGAUUUUUUGUGACAAAAAAAUAAUUUGAGAUAAAUUUAUUACAAGUGUACCAGUUUAAGUUUUUUGAUGGUAAAAAAAAUUAGUUUAAAAUAAAUUUGUAAUAAGUAUAUAGAAUUUGGGGUCUUUCAUAGUAAAAAUAGAAUCCCUAACACUUCACAAUUAUGAUUACUUAAAUUUAUAGCACCAUCAAAAUUAAAUUUUCUUGUUUUUUGCUAAGUUAAAUCUAUCUUACUUCACAAUAACUUAAUUGAUCACUGAAAUUGGACAAAAUUGUUAUCUUUUGUUUAUUUUCCCACUUUCCAUGUGCCCUUUCUCCGGUGAAGGAUUGUGUCAACAAGUAAGAUUAUUUCACUGAAAAGACGAUUAUGCCCCUUUCGGAAUCAAAAUCCAUUGACAAUCCAUCAUGAAGACAAGAACCCCCCCUCUCCACAGCAGAGUCGCUUCAGAGACCGAGCAAGUUCGCCGAGAAAAACCAUGCCUCCUGCUGGGAAAACUCUCCGAUGGCCGAUUAGAGCAAACUCCUGAUGAUUGGAGGCACUUAGGGUUUCAUAAUACCCUAGCUCAAUUUGAUUAUAGUCAAACUUUCAAUCAAAACUCGAGCUUGGAUUUUAUAAGCUCAAAUAUUAUAUCAUCAUAUAUAUUGUUAUAGUUAUCAAAUGCUUUUAAUAAUGAAAGCUCUAUAAGGUAUUGAGCUAAGUACUGAAAAGCGGAAACUCAACUCAAUAAGAUACUUGAGGGAUUUGAACUCGUGCUUGACUCAAAACUAAGCAAGUCGAACUCAAGCUACUCUUGAGUAACUCGACUUGGUUUUAGCCAUAUGCGCAAGUAGGGGUGUCAAAAAAGCCCACGUUGACCAGACCCUAGUUUUCUUUGGAUACAAAUUUUUAGAUGUUUGUAUCAUGAGGGUUGGGGUAGGGUUGGGCCGGGUUAGGCUUUUUUGACAUUCUAUGUAGGGUAGCUUUGAAUAAAUUUCUGAUUUUACACCUUCAAUGGAACCAUUUUACCCGUUCUCUUGUAUUAUAUGAUAUUCGAGUCUUAAGCGGGUUGGGUCAAGUCAAUCGCGUGCCCAUAGGGUUUUGGGUUGGGCCCAGUAUCAUGUAAACGCAGUCCCAUUCCCACCCCUUGACAUCCCUAAUGCGGGAGUGAAACCUUACUAGGACAUAGGCUCCAAUUUGAGCAACCUCUUUUGACCCAUCAUCUCAGCAUCAAGCCUUAGUUGACAAAAGCGAGUUGUAGGAUGUGUACGACAACCAUUCUAUUUCUGUUCCAAAUAAUUUUCUAUUUCAGAUUUGUUUAUGGAACAUAAAUCUGUUUGAUAACGCAAUUUUAUUUUUAUAUUUUUGAAAUAAAUUUUAAUCUAGAAAUAGGUUUGGAACAAAAAUGAGAAGUGGAAAUUCUUGUUAUUGCUUAUUCUCUCUACUAGUUAGUCACUUGCCCGUUGCUAUCGCCUGCCGUCCGCCACUGUUGUCCACCAUCCGUCGCCGGUUACCGUUGUUGUCGUCUGCCGCCUCCAAGGAAGGAGAAAUUUUGUAUCAAAAUUCUAUUCCGGGAACAGAAAUUUUACAUCAAUUAUUAAACAUGAAUUUUUCUCAGAAACUCAUCCAAAAAAAGAAAAAAAGAAAAAUCUAUUUCUUUUUUAAAAAUAAUUUCUAAUCAGAAUAAUUAUUAUUUGCGUCCGGUAGUUUUCAUCCAAUGCUGUCGAGACUUUACCACGCAUGCACCAUGGGCACUACGCACCUAACCCCGGUCAAAUUAUUCACUUUCGUUUGGUAGGACUCGUGCAAUGCUUCUGUUCUCCGCAUGCUUUUUAGUUUUUCCCUUCUUUUUGAAUCUUCUGGUCUACGGGAGUGCAUAUAUGUUGCUACUCCUGGGGUUCUGUCAAAAAAAAAAAAAAAAAGAAGAAGAAAGAAGCCACAAAAAAUAUACAAAUUAUGUCAACUGUGACAUAUAUAUAUAUAUUAAACUUUUUUUUUGUAACAUAAAAAUCCCCAAACUAUGAACUUUUUCUUGUUGUUUGACAUAUUUAUCCUCUGACAAGGUUUAUCAAAUGAUUUUCUAGCUAAAACAACGUCGGUUUAGCAUCAUGUUAAUAUCAUUUGCUUUCUGUCAUCCAUGUAAUCGAAUCUUGAUAAAGAGUAAAUGUAUCAUGUAAGUACAAGUUUUGGGUUUUUAGUGUCACACAAAAAUAUUUAGGGUAAAUGUGUAAGAGUGAGUAUAGUUUGAAAUUUUUGAAGGUCUUUUCCAAAAAAAAAAAAUGGUUAAUACCUUUAAAAGGUUAAUACCUUAAAAAACCUAAAACUGGUAUAUGUGUGACAAAUUUACCCUAAACUAUUUUUUUAACUAUGACAAAUCCCAAGUUGGUAUACCUAUGAUAAAUUUAUCUCAAAUUUGUAUACUUAUGACAAAUUUACCCUAAACUAAUUUAUAAUAUCGCCAAAAACCCCAAACUAGUACAUUUGUGAUAAAUAUAUCCUCAAUUAAAUUGAAUUAAUACCACAAAAAAUUGCAAAAUUUGUAUAACUGUGAUUAAUGGAGAGUAAAAUCCCAAAUUGAUACACCAACGAAUUGUCACAUGUCAUUCAACUUAAUAAUUUGACAGUAAAAUUUAACGGAAACUAAUGUAGGGUAAAUUGAUUAAAAGAAUACUAGUUGGGGUAAAUUUGUCAAAAAUGUACUAUUUUGAGGUUUUUGAUCGUCAAAAAAUUAGUUUGAGGUAUAUUUGUUAUAGGUGUACCGGUUUGGGAUUUUUCAGGGCAUUAAUCCAAAAAAAUGGCAUUGGUGUACUUGACUAAGACAUAUAACUACCUUUUGAAAAUUGUUUGUUUGUGAUAACAUGCUAAAAGGGGUUUUUCUUUAGCUUGUAAUACGUUUUAAUGUGCAUAUAACUAUGCCCGUGCUAUUUAAGGUUCUUAAUUCUUAUGUUCGUUGGCUAAUUCUUUUCACACCGGCCGUCAAGGCUUAAAUGGCCCAUUGAUGAUCGUUUUUACCAUUGCUCAUAUAGUUUCAUGUCGGCGUAAAUCUCUCAAUGUUAGUUGGAUGAACUUUUAGACGACCAUUUACUAAAUUAAGGAGAUGGAUAAAAGGAAAAUGUCAAAGAGUGCUCCUUAGGCACAUGUUAAGUCUUAUUAAAUUUGAUUUGAAAAUUUAAAGUUAAUUAUUUGAAGCAAGCGAUUUUAUUAAAAUAUAUGGACCUGAGCAGGUCCUUAAACUGCUCUACCCUGAAUAGGGCAUCCCAGGGUGCCCAGUUAGCCCCCAUUUACAGGGGGUUUAACUGGAAAUUACGGGAUAAAGUCCCCAUUGGGUAUCCUCGCCAACUCCCGACAAGGGAGGGGACCCACCAUUGGAUCCCCGUGAAGCCCUUCUCCUAACAUACUAGGUUGGGUUCAGGGAAAUGAAGAUGGCCCGGGCAGCCCCCAUUGAAGCAAGCGAUUUUAUUAAAAUAUCUAAUUGUAAUUGUAUUGAAAGGUGUUACUUUUAAAUUUCUUCAUAUUUACUUUUAUAAAGAUUAGCAGGAUUUACACCAAUUGGUCAAUGCUUUGAAAGGUCCCAACUUCAUUAAUGCUUCAAAGACUUUUGUAGAUACCUCCACCUUUCGAAAAUGAUGAAUCGGGACAUCUUCAUGAAUCUGGACAAUCUGAAGAUUUUUUUUAUUAAAUCAGAAACCGUUGCAAAAAGCCAAUUUACAUGGUUGUUGUUACAUAAAUUAAAGUGGAAAAGUAAAAUUGAAAUUACACAAGCUGCCCGUUCAACACUGACUAUCCAAUAUUUUCCCAUAUUUUUACAAAAGUUUCAUACUUUUCGUUCCUAUAAUUCACUAAUAUUUCUAAUGAUUUCCCCACGCUUUCAAUUAUUCUAAAAUUAUUUUUAAUUUUCAAAAAAUAUCUAAUCAAGUUUUUUCAACAUUAAAUUCGAUUGACGUGAUUGUUUAAGGCUGCCAGAAUGUGAUGUUGAUCAAAUAUUGCUUACUUAUAAAAAUAAUUAAUUGACUAGAAAAGUAUGGGGAUCUAAGCUUUGGAUAGAGUUUUCAACAACCAGUAGGCAAUAUGAUCCACAACACAUUUUGGCAUCAUUCGACAGACAUGUUAAUUGGACUUGGCCGAAUUUGAUGAUGGAGAGAUCGACUAGGCAUGUUACAUGAGUAGAAUCACUUGAUUAUAAAAAUUAAAAUUAUAGAUACUUGAUUAAGAAAAUGGUGAAGGUACAGAGAUUAAUAUAACUUCGAAUACUUUACAUGUCCUAAAAAAUCUCGUCAUAAUUGAAACCCGAGGUUUCGCUUUGCAGAUUUUUUUUUUUUUGGCGAGCAAGGAUGAAAUUUCCAUAGUGAAUUGGUUAAGGAUAAACUUAGAAAUAACGAGAUUAAGGAUAAAUUUAGAAAUAACGAGAUUAAACAAAAAUUUAUGGAUACUUGGGAUUUAUCGAAUUGAUGUUAAUGUUUCAAGGAAUCUUGUAGGCGUGGAACUGACAAGAAGAAGAAAAGGCAAAUGCAUGAUGAAGAACCUGGACAAUUUCUCGAACCAAGUUCCUAUCUCUAAAGCCCGACCAUUCGUUGAUAGUGGGCGUGCGUCAUUUUCUUGAUCAUGGCACUUCCAAAUAUCUCGCUUACUUUACAAAUUAAGUAAUGGUCCAAUCUUAAAAUCCUUUACAUUUAAUGAUAAACAGAUUAUUGGGUUAUGUGCUUGAUUCACUUAAAUCAUGCUCGCUCUUCAAUCCUUCAAUGAAUCUAACAAGGUUGCUCUCCUUUUUUUUUUUUUUUUUGUUGUUGUUGUUGUUGAGGAUUUGUGAACUAAUUGUAUAGCUCAUUGUCCCUUCAGACUAUUAUCACUUCCUUCUUUCGAUACCAUAAAGUAAAUCUAAAAUGUGAUCACUUCUUCCUUACUAGACAAUUGAAAAACCAAUGUUAAAUGUAAUGGCUUGAUACGCUGGACUUGAGCAUGUCCUUAAACUGCUUCUGUUAUCGGAGUUAACCCCAACGGUAAAAUGAGAUAAUGAUAACUGGAGGAGACCGGACCAAACCUUAAACGGUUCUCCCCGCCUUGAUUCCCGUGAAGCCCUUCUCCUUGCGUACUAGGCUGAGUUCAGGAAAAUGAUAGGCAGCUGGUCUGAUAGUGGGCGUGCGUCAUUUUCUUGAUCAUGGAACUUCCAAAUAUCUCGCUUACUUUACAAAUUAAGUAACGGUCCAAUCUUAAAAUCCUUUACAUUUAAUGAUAAACAGAUUAUUGGGUUAUGUGCCUGAUUCACUUAAAUCAUGCUCGCUCUUCAAUCCUUCAAUGAAUCUAACAAGGUUGCUCUCUUUUGUUGUUGUUGUUGUUGUUGUUGUUAAGGAUUUGUGAACUAAUUGUAUAGCUCAUUGUCCCUUUAGACCAUUAUCACUUCCUUCUUUCGAUACUAUAAAGUAAAUCUAAAAUGUGAUCACUUCUUCCUUACUAGACAAUUGAAAAACCAAUGUUAAACGUAAUGGUUUGAUACGCAAUUGAAAAAAUAAAAUCAUAAUAUGAAUUAAAUUCGAGUAUUUCACACUUCAAAAUUACAUGAUUGCUUAAAUCUUCAGCACCAUUAAAUUUUCUUAUUUUGGCUUAUUUCACACGUAUUUGAUUUUCUUCUGUUUAAUUUUUUCACUUUUUUUUUCUGGCGAAUUGUUUAUUUUCAAACUUUUUUUUUUCUAUCGAAGUUUAUUUAUUUGCAAACUUUACAUGUACCUUUUUCGUUGAAAGCGGUAAAAAAUCAUUUCAAUGAAAAGACUAUUAUGCCCUUCGAGAGUCGACGCUAAUCCCCCCCCCCCCUCUCUCUCUCUCUCUCUCUCUCUCUCCAGUCACAGCAGAGUCGCUUUUAGAAGCCGAUCAAGUUCGCCGGAAAACACCGCGCCUCCGCCGUGAAAACCACUCAGAGAUGGCCGCGAAGAGCAAGGUCCUGGUGAUCUGAGGCACUGGAUACGUCGGAAAGUUCAUCGUAGAAGCCAGUGCUAAGUCCGGUUGCCCUACCUUUGCUCUCGUGAGGGAGUCCACUCUCUCCAACCCUGCUAAGGCCAAGAUCGUCGAAGGUUUCAAGAGCCUCGGCGUCAAUUUAGUUCACGUGCGUAGUUCUUCCCGUGCGAUCGUGUUCGCUUCGCAUGUUUGGUUCUGCUUUGAGAAAAUCAAAGCGGCGCCUGCCGUUAUGUCUCGUUCCGCAUUUCCGAGAAAUGUUUUUACCACUAGAAUUGGAGUCGAUUUUUCAUCUCAUUAUGGAUGAAUGGUGUACCAUCUAGAUGAAUUCAUACAUAUUCGUACGUGUUACUCGGAGAUCGACAUCUUUACACAAACAAAAAGGUUCUUUGACCCCAAACUCGUGCUCUCCCCAAUCUCGGUCCUUGUAUGGAUAUUGGGCUGCUUACAAACUCCAGGAGGCUUUAUUUAUUCAGAACCUGUGUGGUUGGAUUUCUUCUAGGUCACCGAAAAGAACAAAGAGUUUCUAGCACUCAAUAUGGAUCAUGGUCAUCUACCCAGCUCUUGGAUCAUGAAUGCAAAUCAUGAACUACUUAAUCCUUCAAAUGUUCUUUUUUCGGUGAUAUUAUUAUUGUUGUAAAUAAGUUACCAAAACACAGUUAGUGGAUAGUUUAGUCGUUGUUGCUUUGGGGGUUGAUGGUUUAUAAUGAGUAGAGCUCAGCAUGCUCACAAAAGCCAAUCAACUUACCUGAUAUUUUUUUACUUGUGAAAGUGUCCAAGCAAGCAGCAUGUUUGCAUUUUUAUACUGGACAGAGUUAUCUGGCAAAUGCCUUAAUAAUUACAUCUUCAGUUUUCUUUUCUUGUAUUUUUCUAAUACCUCUGGGAUCGAAUUUGCUUUGUUGCUUGUAUUGAUUCACUUGUAAUCAUUUUUUACUUUGUUAUAGUAACACAUUAAAAUGUGAAAUUCAGUCUUGUUUUCUUUAUUUGCCAGAACUCAUGUAAGUUUGUUCGAUAAGGGGAAUAUGCUCUAGUUUUUGUUGCUUUCUAAUAAAAAUGUUUCUUCUAAUUCAACUAAUUUUCUCCUCAGAGAUUCUUGCCUUCAGAGUUUGGAAACGACGUAGAUUGUGUCCAUGCGGUGGAGCCAGCAAAAAGUGCAUUUGCUAUCAAGGCCAAGAUUCACCGCCUUGUUGAGGCCGAGGGAAUCCCUUAUACCUAUGUGUCUUCUAACUUUUUUGUAGGUUACUUCCUCCCAACAUUGUCAUAGCCUGGGGCUACAGCUCCCCCUAGAGAUAAAGUUGUUAUCUUAGGGGAUGGAAAUGUAACAGGUAAGAAGCAACUUGAGAUUCGCAUUUUAAUUCAUUGAGAUUUUUUUGGAAAUUUUUCACAACUUAAUUAUUGUAGUAAUCAGAGUGGGGCACUUCUUGAAGCUUGAGAAUUCCAAGCAUCUUCUGUAUUUGGAGAUGUUGGCCAUUAGUCUUCUCUUUCAGAUAUUAAUAGAUGAUAUGAAAAUUCUGUGGUUUUUCUUGGCACAAUACUGCCUAGGCGGCAGAUCAUGAAGGUUAUUUUAAUGUAGUUGGGAGAGGAAAGAACAUAUGGAUGCAGCUCUCUGGUGAUUCUGUUUACUGAGAAAGUUCUUUGAAUGUGAGCUGAACGUAACUCUAGGAAUAUCAAUGGCUUAUAGUUAUUAACCAAAUUCUAAAAUUCUCCCUGUCAAUACACAUCGGUGUUUAACAAGGAGGAUGACAUUUGCACAUAUACCAUCAAAGCCGUGGAUGAUCUGAGGACCCUGAACAAAAUUCUAUACAUCAGACCUCCUGCCAACACCUACUCGUUUAAUGAUCUUGUGUCUUUGUGGGAGAGAAAGAUCAACAAGACCCUGGAGAGGGUUUAUGUUCUAGAGGAGCAAGUUCUGAAGAACAUUCAAGGUCAGGGAUGCGUUUUCAUUAGAUUUAAGCACGUGUAUUGUGACAUCCUGAUUUUUAGGAUUUUGUUUUCAAUUUAAUAAGUUGGGCUUUUCUUUGAGCUGAUCACUCACGAGAUAACUAGACUAUCUGAUGAAGCUGUUAAGGGAUUUUAUGCAAUAGACUUGAGAAUUUGACUAAAAAUUGACUGUUCGACCGUGCUAAUCUGCAAGGGUCACUAUGACACCGUCAAAAUUGAUCAGAGAUCGGAGAUAGGUUGAUUUGAUAGAGGUAUGUGAUUAGUGUGUGAGUGAUUUCGCCUGAUUACAAAGUUUCUGUCAAACGACACUAGACCGAUUUUUCUGUCAUUUUUGUAUCCUGUGCCCGUAUUUGAAAUCUCGAAAUUUUCACGACAACCGAGAGUUGUCAAUGUGUCGAAGAUGCACAAUGUGGCUCGAAAAUAAUCGACCACGGGUCCUAAAAGCUACCUAAUAGGCUAGGUCACGCUAAAAUCGCGCUAGAUUGAAAUUAACUGCGAAUUUAAACUUGAUUUCAAAAAUUGAAAGUUCUGUUAUGUCACAAUUCAUUUAAGGAAUGUCAACUUAUUCUUCGAAGAUUUUUCUACAAACCGAUAUUCUUGGCGAAAAUUCAAAGUAGGACCGUUCUUGACCAGGAAAAUCAGAGGACCGUUUUUGGUCGUGUUUUUGGGAUUCAAGUUGGAUAAAUUGAUGAGGGAAAAUGUGAAUUCAAGUGUGGGCAUCUUGGUUGAAUUUAUGGGCAUCAAAUUAGGUUCAAUUAAGGGAGAAUUGGAGGGGAAUUGAAUCAAUUUGAGUGGCCAAUGUACAAAAUUCGUAGGCCAUGGGGGACUCAACCUUUUGGACUAUUUGGGAAGUGUGUUGAGGAAGAUUGAGGGCUGCAAAUUGGCCAUGGAUGAUUGCCCAAGUGGUGGGGGCAUGCAAUGAUCAACUAAGGGGAUAUUUAGGCAUUUUGGGACCCUCCAAGGUGCAACUGGCUUCGUCUUCUUCAAGUGAGCUACUUAACGAUUGUUGAGAGUCUGGGAAGCUUAGAGAAACAAGAGAAACCGGCCAGCAGCUCCCCCUUCACCGUCGACUACCGCCGGAGCCGCUAGGACCACCGCUCACCGCUCGCAAGCCCAUCGUGCCACCCGCGAGCCCGCGUGCGUUGUCCCGCCUAUCUCGCCUCCUGUUGUGCCCAGUCACGUCCCAAGUUGCCUCAGGCCACCGUCGCAGCUUGCCAGGUCACCAUCCAGGCCGUCGGAUCAAUCGCCAUCGCCGGUCAUUGCUCGCAGCAGCCCCGUCCACCUGUCCUUGCCGUUUCCAGGCCAGCCAGCCGCUCAAGUAGCCUCUCGAGCCUAGGAGCAGAAGCCGAAGCUAGCAAGGGUCUUUGGGCUUCGUGGCCUGUUUUUAGGUCCAUUUAGUCUCCGGGCUUUGUGGACUUUUUAGGCCCGUUUGGUCUCCAUUUGGUGUUGCCAUAGGCUCGGUUAUUGCCCAACUCUUCAUUGCCAUCGUUGUGGACUUACUGGAUCGCUAAACCGGUGAGUUUACUUGCUAAAAUAUGUUUAGGGAGUUAAUGACGCUUAGUGGAUAAUUAGUUUAGGCUAAUUAGGGUUUAUGUGGCUAGUUAAAAUAGAUUAGUGAUUUAAUUAUCCGUUUGUGCAUGUUAGGUGGUUAGAACGGAUAGAUUAGGGACUAAAGUAGUCGUACUAUUUAUCUAGAUAGGUUCAGAAAAUUUCUAGGCCCGUUUAGGUGGUUAGAUUAGCGUGGCCUAAGUUGCUAUUUAUUGCAUUAAAAUUGAAUUAUUUAGUUAAAUUUGGUAUUUAUUUAAUUAUUUAAUAUUUUCCAAAAAAUAUAUCGGGAUAGCCGGUGACUGGAAUUUCGUGCUGAUUGCAAUUGUGUGCUUGGUUUACUUAAUUGAGUGUUAAUUUGUGCAAAUUGAGUGGUGAUUGAAAUUUUGGUUAUUUAUUCCAAAAUUGUGAAAUUUGAAUAUUUAAUUAGAAAAUCCCAAGUGUCGGGUUUUGAUAUCGAAAAUAGUUUUAAAGAAUAUAUCAAACCGUGGGAUUUUAAAAGGAAGAGCAUUAGUUUUUCUGGUUCAAAUUGACCGUGUACCCACACACAAUUAUUUUAUCGUGUAUUUUUUAUACGAAGAAAAUAGACCAUGUUUACUAUUUUAAUUGAGGCAUUUGAGUACAAUGCAUGGUGUUUUGGGCCGAUGUUGAAUGGUCGUGCGUUGGUUAAGAGAACCAGUCCCCAAAAUGAGUCGGGUGAACGUGCCUUGUGAAAUCCUAGAAUUUCGAUUAUGCUUUCAAUUGAAUAAAUCGGGCAUUUCAUCGACGCGCCUAUAGUGCUAUUCUCAGAACUAAUCACUCGUGAGAUAACUAGACUAUAUAGGGAAGUCAUUCAGAGAUUUUAAGGCAGAUAGAUUUGAGAGUUCGACUAGGAAUCGGCUGCUCAGUCAUGCUCAUUUGUAGAGAUCAUUACGGCAUAGUUACAAAUCACUUAGAGAUCAGAGCUAAGAUGUGUGGCUAAAAGUGGGUGAUUCCAAUAAAUUGCAAAAUUCUCGUCGAUCGGCACUAGAUUGAUUUUUCUAUCAUUUUGGUACUGUGUGUCUGUAUUUGAAUCUUCGAGAUUUUCACGACAACCUAGAGUUGCCAAUGUGUUGAGUGGGUUCAUUGUGGCUUGAAGAAAAUCAACCACGGGUCAUUUGCACUAAAAAGUUCUGAAAGCUACUCAGUAGCUUAGGUCACGCUUAAAUUGCGCUGGAUUGAAAUUGACCGCGAAUUUGAAUUUGAUUUCAAAAAUUGAAAGUUUUAUCAUGUCACAGGUCAUUUUAAGAACGUCGACUCAAUUUCCGAAAAUUUUUCUGCAAACCGAGAUUUUUUGGGAAAAAGUCGCCGUAAGGCUGUUUUUGUCCAGAAAAUGUCAGGGACCAUUUUUGAUCGUGCAAUUGGAAUGCAAGUGAGUUGUAUUGGUGAGGAAAGAUACAAAUUUGAUUGGGGACUUAACAAAGAAAUUUUUAGAAGCCAAAUUAGAUUGAAUUAAGAGGCAAUUGGUGUCCAAUUGUUGGGAAAACACAUGAAAUUUGUAGUCCCCCCACCACCCAUGACUUAUGGACCAAUUCAAGCUUCUAGAAUGGAGCUUUGGUGGCUAAUUUUUAGCUAAGGGGUGCAGCUGGUGGAAGGGAAUGGUCAAGGGGACCAAUUUGAUAAGGUUGAAGGCUUGAUAGGCCCCUUGUCCCCUCAUCUCUCCCUCUCCCUCUCCCUCACUUGUCAUCGACAGCCUCUUCCUCCCCCUUCAUUGUGCUUUGAGGACUUCCAAAUCUGCAGAGAAGUCCUCGCCACUGUAGAAGCCACCACCCAUCGUUGUUCGCCGCCCCGCCUUGCGCGCGCCACCACACCUUGCUUGCGCGACCCCGACUCCCUAGCUGUCUUCAUUCGCCUUGUUCGUGCGUCUAGCAAGCCCUUCAGCCAGCACGGGCCACCGUCCAGCUCACCUCAGUUGUCGUGAGGCCCCGCCGUUUGCCGCUGAGCACCUUUGCUGCCUUUGUUGCCCUUGCUCGCCCCAACCAGCCCAUUUUUUCCUCUCUUUAAGCCCAAAAUAAUAGCUGAAGAAGUGGGUUUCCAGCAGCAUCUUUGGUCCGUUUUGGAGGUGUUCUGAACCUUGGUUGCCAAGCCCGCUUUGGAGAUAGUUGAGCCCUGCCGCGUCCCCGUUGUUUCGAACUGAACGGUUCGUUAAUCAAGUGAGUUUAACUCACUAAUUACUGCUUAGUAAGUUAAUUAUGCUUAGGGGUUGAUUAGUUUAGACUAAACUAGGAUUAUGUGGUUAGUUAGAUUUGAUUAGUGAAUUUAAUUAAUUGCUGAUGCAUGUUAGGUGGAUAGUUAGUGCAAUUAGAGCCUAGACAAGCUCUAGUAUUAAACUAGAGUGGUUCGGAAAUUUUCCGGGCUUGUCUCGGCUUCCAAUUAGGCUUUACCGGGCCUAAGUUGCAUUUAUUGCAUUUAUUUAUUAAUUUGUGUAAUUAAUUAAUUAUUUCCAGAAAUUAGAUCGGGAUAGUUGGUGACCAGAAUUUUAUGUCGAUUGCAGUGGUGCAUUCCGUUUAAUUAAUUGAUUAUUAUUUUGUGCAAAUUGGCUGUGUUUUGUGAAAUUAGUUAUAUAUCCCAAUUUUUAUUAAUUUUAAUAAUUAAUUGAAUAUUUAUCGGGAGUGGGUCUACAGCGCCAAAAACAUAUUUCUAGACUGCUGAAACCAGUAGGAAGUUCAAUUUUGAAAUUAUUGCAUUUUGGCUAAAGCCGACUGUGUACCCACAUACCGCUAUUUUUAUCAGGUAUGAUAAAAAUGAUAAAUUGAUUCAAUGAUCAAAGUUAUAUAUUUUAGUAUCAGCUUCGGGUGAGCUAUAUAUGUGUAAUUUAUUAUUAUCAGCUUUGGGUGAGCUAUAUAUGUGAUCGAUUCUUAUUAGCUUUGGGCGAGCUAUAUAUAUUUAUCAGCUUUGGGCGAGCGAAAUAAAUUAUUAGUUUUUGGCAAGCUAUACUAUAUGUAUUUUCAACUUUGGGUGAGCGGUCAUGAUUUGAUAGGACAUUAUAGAUAGUAUUAAUUGAGUUGACCGAGGAGUGGUCAUGAUGACAUGUAAUCGACUAAGUCGAUUGAUCGAUGGUUCGAUCUGAUUUGAUUGGGUGAUGUGGUUGUCAGUAAUUAAUUGAACUGACUUGCUGGAAGAAGUGGAGGCCAAGGUAAGUCCUCUAAUGCUUGAUUGUGCUUAGCAUCCCUUAGGGUGUAUUUUCUUCCUAAUCAGGUCUUAGGGGGUUCAACUUGCUGAGACGUCGUCUCACCCUGUUGUGGGAUAACAAUUUUAGGCCCAUAUAUGGCAGCCCCGCCUGAACAUUUUGGACAAUCAAAGAAAUUCACAGAACAUAGUUACCACAUUUCGAUACAUGGGCACCCCAAAGGACUAGAAUAUGUGUCGAUGAAAUCCAUAGUCUGGGUUGAUGCGAGUUUACCCAAAAAUGUGUCCCAUCAAUACCAGUCAUGGUAUCGCCAUUAUCAUAAUGGCCAAAGGGAGGGCCCUAUACCAGAAUGUGAGAUACCUCUGUAUGUGAUGGAGGUUGCUUUUGGAAAUGGUACGUUAGACCCUAAGGACGGAUCGGUGGUGGACCCGAAGGAUCCUAAGCUUGAUGAUCCAAAUUCUCCGGUGUAUUCGGCAAAAGGCUCUAAUGAGGAUGAGGCUGUGGAGCAAGAGGAGUUUGAGGAGGACGAGUAGCCGUAGUUUGAGAAAACCCCACCUAUGUUUGCAGACUUUGUUUUUUGACUGGUUUGUGUGUAGGACCUGACUUGGGUAGUUUGGAUUGUAAUAUAUGCAUUAUGGCAUGCAAUGUAUAUAAGUGUGGUUAUGGUUUUAAAAAUUCGCGGUCCUACUUUCUUAUCCCAUUGUUUUAUUAUUUGGGGAUUAUAUAACUGCUUUCGCAUGCGUAUAUUAAAAUGAAUAGGUCGACGAUGCAUCCUGGGAUAUCGCUAAUAUAUUGACCAAGCAGGGAUGGGCAUGGGCUUGGAGGAUCAGGACGUGACAUCCCUAUUUAUUGGUAUCAAAGCGUGGUUGUUAGAAAUUGGAGUGAUAAGGUGCGAUGGUUCAUGGGAUAGUAAGUAGGAAAUGCCUUUAAAUUCAUGCUGGUGCAUGUUUGUGAUAGUUGUUUGGUAGAAUUGCUUGUUACGUGGAUCGCUCAACUUCUAAUCUAGUGUGGAUUUGGAAGACAGGUUUCAGUAGAAAACUGAGCCAUGAGCGAUCAUGAGUAGAGGACUCCUAGUAAGAGAAUCGUGAGGCCUGUAUCUCGGGGUAGGACGUCGAUGAUGAUCGAUGCUCGAGGAGGCCGUGGUAAAACGCCAAUUGAGGCUAGCGCGAGUGGCGUAACACCACGUCCUGUUGGUGCUGGGGUAGCAACCUCAGGUGAUUAGGGAACCAUUGGGAUCACCCAAGCUUUGGACGCCAUGAGAGAACUGAUGGGGCAACAUGCCUGGGAUCAAGUUGCCACCUUCAUUGCCGCUGUUGUAGCCGCCGCUACUGUUGCUGUUGUCGUCGCUUCUAAGGCCGCAGUCGUUGCCGCACCUGUCGCCGCACUUGUCGUCGCUCAUGCUGAGAUUCUGCCAAAGAAUGUGGCUGCAAAGAGACCGAUCCACAAGCUAGUGGAAUAGUUCUUAAAGCUAAACCUGCCUAGGUUCACGUGUUCUAGAGAUCCAGAGACUGUCUCUCUUUGGAUUCAGGAUAUGGAUAGGGCAUUUGCACUUUUGAGGUGUAACGAAGAAGAGAAAUUGGUAUUGGCGGUGUACCAACUACAAGGUAACACCAACAUUUGGUGGAGAGCUGCCAAAGAGUCAGUGUUUUCGGAAGGUGUGGUCCCGGUGUGGGACGCCUUCCUCAGAGCAUUUAAUGAUCAGUACUUUUCGGGUAGCCCGAGAACAAAAGAUGGAGGAGUUUCAGCAUCUUCACCAAGGUAAUAUGAUUGUUGACCAAUAUGGGGUCAAAUUCGCUGAACUUUCUUAGUACGCGCCAAGAUUGAUCGAAGACUCUAAAGACAAGGCUCGAAGGUUCAAGAAUGGCCUUCGGAAUGAAUUGAAACAACCAUUGAUGCUGUUCGAUUUGAAGGAUUACCGAGAGAUCUAUAAUCAAGCCUAGCUGCUGGAGAGGAGUUUGAACGAACAAGCCGCCUCGUUUGGAUUGAGGUUUAAUUCAAACAGAGAUGCGAUUCGUCAUGGAAAGAAACCCAUGACUGGAGGUAGAUUUUAGAUCCCACCCAACAUAAAAUGUGGUGUUGGCUAGCUAGGGCCAAAUCAAAAUGGGUUGUGUCGCUUUUGUGGAAGGCGACAUGGUACAGCUCUAUGCCCUUGAAGGCCAUGUGUUUGUUUUGGAUGUGGCUAAUAGGGCCACAUGGUUAGGGAUUGUCCUAGUAGACCAAGAGGACAACCACAGCUACUGCCGCCACCACCGUUAGGACAGAUUAGAGGGUAUGCGCCUCAGAAUGUACCGCAAGGAGGACAGCUCAGACCUCCAGUUCAAGGCAUGGUGUUUGUUAUCACUCAAGGUCAGGCAGAGGCAGAGGCUGUACCUGACGUGAUUACAAAUAUGGUUUCGCUAAACAACCAUUCUACUUAUGCUUUAUUUGACCCAGGAGCAACUCAUUCCUUUAUUGUCAAGUAGUAUAUUAAGUUGAUAGGAUUAAGUCCUGAAUUGCUGGAGUAUGUUGUUAGCAUAUCUACACCAUUGCAAGGUGCAGAUGCAGGAAUUAUUGGAUAAGGGAUUUAUACGUCCUAAUGCAUCACUUUGGGGAGUGCUAGUUCUAUUUGUCAAGAAAAAUGAUGGUUUGUUGCGCUUGUGCAUCGACUAUCGACAACUCAAUCAGGUGAUGAUCAAGAACAAGUGUCCAUUGCCGAGGAUCGACGACUUGUUUGAUCAGUUACAAGGAGCGUCGAUAUUUUCGAAAAUUGACUUGAGGAUAUGAUAUCAUCAGCUGAGGAUCAGGAAAGAAGACAUUCCAAAGUCAGCAUUCGUACUCGGUAUGGUCAUUAUGAGUUCACUGUGAUGCCAUUCGGGUUGAUGAAUGCUCCAACUGCUUUUAUGGAUUUGAUGAACCAAUUGUUUAAGGAAUAUCUAGAUCAGUUUGUGAUCGUGUUCAUUGAUAAUAUUCUAGUGUAUUUGAGAAGUGCUGAGGAGCAUGAGAAUCAUUUGAGAUUAGUGCUCCAGACCUUAAGGAUUCAUCAGUUGUAUGCUAAGUUUAGUAAAUGCGAGUUUUGGUUGACUCGUGUUGUGUUCUUAGGUAACGUGAUUUCAUGAGAAGAAAUCUCCGUGAACCGGUCCAAGAUUGAAGCAAUGAUUAACUAGCCGAGAGACUGACUACCGUAACAGAGAUCCGAAGUUUUUUUGGGUUUGGCAGGUUAUUAUAAACAAUUCGUAGAGGAAUUUUCAGCUUUAGCAUCGCCAUUGACAAGACUUCAGAAGAAAGACGAGAAAUUUGUGUGGACAGACAAGUACGGGUGUAGUUUCCAAGAGUUGAAGCAAAAGCUAACUACCGCACUUUUGCUGACGAUUCCAUCUGGUCCUAAAGGGUACAAGAUCUAUAGUGAUGCGUCGUUCAGACGACUGGGUUGCAUGUCGAUGCAAUAUGGUAAGGUUGUUGCAUACGACUCUUGCUAGUUGAGACCUCAUGAACUGAACUACUCGACGCAUGACUUGGAACUCGCAGCAAUCAUAUUUGCGUUGAAGAUUUGGAGACAUUACUUGUAUAGGGAAAGAUUUUAGAUCUUCACGGACCAUUAAAGUCUCAAGUACGUGUUCUCUCAAAAGGAGUUGAAUAUGAGACUGCGCUGAUGGAUGGAACUUUUGAAAGAUUACGAUUGUGAUAUUCUAUAUCACCCAGGAAAAGCAAAUAAGGCCGCUGACGCUUUAAGCCGAAAGUCUUCAAUUGCUGAUUUAUUGGUUAAGGAGUGGAAUCUAAUUGAGAGAGCUCGAGAUUCGGUUUUCAAAUUUAAGGUAAGCCACCUUUCUCAUCUUAUGGCCACCCUCAGAAUUGAGCCAGAUGUGUAGAUCAGGAUUAAGCUACUUCAGCCAACAGACCCGGAUGUUCAGAAAAUUUUGCAAGAGGAUAUCGAAGAAAGGAAGGCUAACUUUAAGGUUUCUGAUAAUGGAACACUAAAGUUCUGAGAACGAUUAGUUGUACUUGAUGAUUUGAAGCUUAGAGAUGAUAUUUUAUUAGAAGCUCAUUGUAGUAAUUACAGCUACCAAGAUGUAUCAAAAUAUGCGUCAACACUAUUGGUGGUCUAAUAUGAAGGCGGACAUCGCAAAACAUGUCGCCAAGUGUUUGAUGUGUUUGCAGGUCAAAGCUCAGCAUUGUAAGCUGGGAGGACUUCUGCAACCUCUCGAAAUUCCAAAGUGGAAGUGGGAGUAUAUCAUGAUGGACUUUGUAACCGGAUUACCAAGGAGUCAUAGAGGUAAUGAUUCUAUUUGGGUAGUAGUCGAUAGGUUGACAAAGUCGGCUUACUUUAUUGCAAUGUGAAAAGAUCUUGACUUGGAUAGGCACGCUGAGUUGUACGUGCGCCAUAUAGUUUGACUACAUGGAGUGACACUUACGAUAACUUCAGAUCGAGACCCGAGAUUCACCGCUGCUUUUUGGAAGAGCUUGCAAAGUACUUUAGGUACAAAACUUCAGUACAGUACGGCAUAUCAUCCUCAAACGGAUGGCCAGUCCGAGAGGACAAUUUGGACCCUCGAAGACAUGUUGCGAGCUUGUGUGCAAGAUUUUAAAGGAAGUUGGGAAGAGCAGCUUCAUCUCGUGGAAUUUGCCUACAACAACAGUUAUUAGUAGAGCAUCCAGAUGGCUCCUUUGAAGCAUUGUAUGGCAGAGUGUGCGGAACACCAGUGUGUUGGGAUGAAGUUGGGGAGAGAAAGAUCACAUGCCCAGAGUUGGUUCAAUAGUCAGUGGAUGCCGUCGCAAUAAUCAUGAGCAUAUUAAAGACUGCUCAGAGUCACCAGAAAAGCUACGCAGAUAAGCGUCGAAGGCUUUUGAAAUUCCAAGUUGGUGAUCACCUUUUUUUGAAGGUGUCACCAAUGAGGGGAACUUCGCGCUUUGGCAAGAAAAGAAAACUGAGCUCAAGGUAUGUAGGUCCAUUUGAGAUUCUUGAGAGAAUCGGGACCCUGGCGUAUCGUCUUGCGUUGCCACCGAGAUUGGGGCAAGUGCACGACGUCUUUCACGUGUCGAUAUUGAGGAAGUACGAGCUUGACUCGACGCAUGUGCUUAAUUUUGAGGAAUUAGACGUGGAUGACCGAGUGUAAUACGUUGAAAGAUCAAUUCAGAUCGUGGACAGAAAAGAGCAAGUUCUACGUUCAAAGACCAUCCCGAUGGUCAACACCACGGUACUGAAGGAGCAACCUGGGAGACUGAAAAGUCAAUGAGGCGUUUGUACCCUCAUCUUUUUGCUUAAGAUUUGUAAAUGUUUAAAUUUCGAGGACGGAAUUUUUAUAAGAGGGGAAGAGUUGUGAUAUUCUAGAAUUUCGAUUCUACUUUCAAUUGAAUAAAUUGGGCAUUUUAUCGACGUGCCUAUAGUGAUAUUUUCAGAGUUGAUCACUUGUGAGAUAACUAGACUAUAUAGGGAAGUCAUUAAAAGAUUUUAAGGCAAAUAGACUUGAGAGUUCGACCAAGCAUCGGCUACUCGACCGUGCUCAUCUGUAGAGAUCAUUGCGGCACAGUAAAAAAUUGCUUAGAGGUUAGAGAUAGGUCAGUUAAAAAUACCAAUUUGAUCAGGGACUUAACAAUGAAAUUUAUAGAGGCCAAAUUAGAUUGAAUUAAGAGGCAAUUGGCGUCCAAUUGUGGGGAAAACACAACACGUUCAAUAUGCUUUGACAUGUUCUGACACGUGGUUAACAGGUGUUGAAAAAUCUGACUUGUGAUCAACUCUCCCGACAUGUAAGUCCGGUGUUAUACUUUGACACGUUUUGAUAUGUGGUCAACAAAUAUCAAAAAAUCUGACAUGUGGUUAACUCUUCCAACACGGUUUGACAUGCGGGUCCAAAAUUCCGACACGAGAUUUCGACACGCACGGGUCGAUUUUAAAUAUUUUCAAUAGACGACAAGUCAAAAUGUAAAUAUGUACAAAAAUAAAUAGUAAUAAAAAUAAUAAAAGGGAGAAAGGAGAAAACCUAAUCUUCUCCUCUUUUGACUUUCACUUCCUAUAAUUCACAAUUUUUAGUGUAAAUUCAUUCUAGUCUUUAUUAUUAUUAUUAUUUAUUUAUUUGUGAAUUUGAAUCAAAUUAAUUUGAUUGAAAUAAUCAUAGAAAUGAUAAUUUAUCAUGUAUACAUAAAAAUAUAUAUUUAAUAUAUGAUGUAUCCUAAUGUGUUCGACUUUUUUCUUUUAGAAACGACGUGUCAGCAUGUCGGGUCGUGUCAUUUUGCGUGUUGCGUAUGGUGUUGGUGCUACUUAAGAUUGUAUCACAAGGUAAAUCAUUAAAAAAUCUAGAACUAAAUUGAUCAAAUCAAAAUUAUAAAAUUGAAUUGGUAUACAUGUGAAAGGUUUAACAACUUUCUACUAAUCAUUCCAUAUUUCAACACUCGCGUUGUUGCUUUUUUCUCCCAUAGAGGUUAUGAAUUACAAAUAUAGUAAUCUUUGGUUGGCCAAUUAAAGAGCGGUAAUCUUGUGUCAACCCUCCUAGGAAAAAGAAUUUAUUGAACCUCGAAACAAUAGCAUAGCAGCUAUGAAGCCAUAUUAUAUCAUGCUAUCAUAUAAAUGUGGAGUAGCUCAUUGCCCAUUUCAUACCAUUUUCUAAUCUUUUUCAUAUGAUAAAAGUCAACGUAAAAAGGUGGUUUCAACUAUUUCCUCAUCAAUUACGAUUACUUAACUUCAUAGCACUAUCAAAAUUAAAUUUUCUUGUUUUUUGCUAAGUUAAAAUCUAUCUUACUUCACAAUAAUUUAGUUCAUCACUAAAAUCAGACAAAAUCGUUAUCUUCUGUCUAUUUUCCCAGUUUCCAUGUACCAUUUUUCCAAUGAAGGAUUUAUCUCAACAAGAAAAAUCAUUUCAAUGAAAAGACGAUUACGCCCUUCCGGAAUCAUCCAAUGACUCUAUCCUGUCACGAAGACAAGAACCGCCACCUUUUAGCCCGCCACCUUUUAGCCCACCCCCUUUUAGCUCUCUCUCUCUCUCUCUCUCUCUCUCUCUCUCUCUCUAUAUAUAUAUAUAUACACACGCGCACACACAUGCACACAUACGCCGGGAAGAACGACGCCUCCACUGUGAAAGCACCCUCUGAGAUGGCCGAGAAGAGCAGAGUCCUGGUGAAGAGCAGAGUCCUGGUGAUCGGAGGCACCGGACGCAUCGGAAAGUUCAUCGUGGAAGCAAGUGCUAAGUUUGGUCACCCUACCUUCGCUCUCGUGAGGGAGUCCACUCUCUCCGACCCAGCCGAGGCCAACAUUGCUGAAGGUUUCAAGAGCUUAGUUCUUCUGAUGCAAUCCUGUUCGUUUCUCGCAUUUGGUGCUCCUUUGAUGAAUUGAAGCGUCCCCUACCGUUAAUCUCAUCCGUCGUUUCGAGAAAUGUCUUUAAUCGUAAAAUCAGAGUCGCCUUUUAUCUCAAUCUUUCACAAGAUCGAGUUGAUAUUUGCUGUUUCAUUUUCCCUCCUCUAGUAAUUUGUCCCUGUAUUAUUGGCCAUUUUUCACAUUGACUAACGAAUCACCUCAGCUUCGCAUUCUGAUACGAAGUACGAAUAGAAUACAUUUUAAAACAAAUCUUAUGAAAACUUCCAUAUUUUACGUACUGCCUAAAUGAACUUGUAUAUAAAAGUGAAUGUGACUGACCUGUAAUUCAGAUGUCACCGCAAAUCCCUUGCUAUAACCUUUCAAAAAAUUUGGUAGGCAAUGCAUGGACAACAAUUCUGUGGAUGCUUCAUUUCUUAUUAUACUUUUUUCUUGUCUGGUGAAGGUAUUCAAGUCUUAUCUGCAUCGGACUUCAUAUCUAUCCUUUUUCGUAGUCUUCGUACUGGCCAAGAUAGGAUUGAUUGAUGAUUGGUCGCUUCAUUGAUUGUUUGUCCAUGCUCUUGGUUAUUUGAUUCUCAGGGAGACAUAUACGAUCAAGAGAGUCUGUUGACUGCGAUUAAGCAGGUUGAUGUGGUAAUCUCUGCUGUGGGGCCAACACAGGUAGAGAUCCAAGAUAGGAUUGUUGCAGCCAUCAAAACAGCCGGGAAUAUCAAGGUCGUGCUGUUUAUAAUAAUUUCAUCCAAGUUACCAUUGCUCGUUUGACAUUUAACUGAUGAUAUAGGUUGGUGCAAGCUUAACUCUUUUUCUUCUGGUAUUAGUGUAUCGGGUUCUCCUUGUGAGCUCCACUUUGAUGAAAUGGGAUGGAUUCACUUACUUAUUUGUAGACUUCACUUCUUUCUUUAUUAAACGGUCAUGACUUUCUGUAGAAGUCGUCAGUGAAAUUUGAGGCUAACUAUUUCAAAUCCAAGUACCGGACAAUGCCGGAUUCACUGUGGUUGGGUUUCCUCUAGGUCAAUGAAAAAAGUAAAAGGUUUCAAGCACUCGAUAUGGAUUAUGGUCAUGUGCCCUAUUCUCUGAUCAAUAAUGGGAAACAUGAACUACCUAUUCCUUCAAAAGGUUUUUUUCGGUAAAAUUAAUAUUAUAGAAAAUAAGUUUUUAAAACCCAACUGGUGGAUAAUUUAGUAGUUGUUGCCUAGGGGGUUGACGGUCACUUCUUUAUUUUUUAAACGGUCAUGACUUUCUAUAGAAGUUGUUAUUGAAAUUUGAGGCUAACUAUUUCAAAUCCAAGUACCGGACAAUGUCGGAUUCACUAUGGUUGGGUUUCCUCUAGGUCAAAGAAAACAGUAAAAGGUUUCAAGCACUCGAUAUGGAUUAUGGUCAUGUGCCCCAUUCUUUGAUCAAUAAUGGGAAACAUGAACUACCUAUUCUUUCAAAAGUUUUUUUUUUUUCGGUAAAAUUAAUAUUAUAGCAAAUAACUUUUCAAAACCCAACUGGUGGAUAAUUUAGUAGUUGUUACCUAGGGGGUUGACGGUCGGUAAAGAGUGGAGCUUAGCAUGCUCACAUAAGGCAAUGUACUCACCUGAUAAUUUAUUUCUUGUGAAAAGUGUACAAGCAAGCAGCAUCUUUGCAUAUUUUAUACUUGCCAGAGUUAUCUGGCUAUUGGCCUAACAACUAAAUCUUCAGUUUUCUUUUCUUCUACUUUUAUAAUAUCACUUAAUUGCUAUUUUGACUCACUUAUAAUUAUUUUUACUAUAUUAUAGUCCGUUUAUGAAAAAAAAGGUUAAAUUCAGUCUUAUGUAAGUUUGUUUUCUUUGUUUGCUCUGUUAUAGUCACAUGUUAAAGAAAAAAGUGAAACAUAGUCUCAUAUGAGUUUGGUUUCCCUUUUUUGCCAGAACUCAUGUAAGUUUGUUGGAUGAGGGGAUUUUGCUCUAGUUUUUUGUUGCUUUCUAAUAAAAAUGUAUCUCCUGAUUCCAAUUAAUUUUUUUUUCUAGAGAUUCUUGCCUUCAGAGUUUGGAAAUGAUGCGGAUCGUGGCCAUGCUGUGGAGCCAGCAAAAACUGUAUAUGCUAUCAAGGGCAAGAUCCGCCGCCUUAUUGAGGCUGAGGGAAUCCCUUAUACAUAUGUGGUUUCUAACUAUUUUGCAGGUGACUAUCUUAGGACAUUGUCACAGCUCGGGGCUACAGCUCCCCCUAGAGAUAAAGUUGUCAUCUUAGGGGAUGGAAAUGUAAAAGGUGAGAAGCAAUUCAUCGAAAUGCACAUUUUAAAUAGUUAAGAUUUUUCUGUACAUUAAUCACGAUUUAAUUACGGUAGUGAUUAGUGCGAGGGGCAAUUCUUGAAGCUUGAGAAUUCCGAGGCAACGUCCUUGUCUGGAGAUAUUAGGACUCUUACAUCCAUUAGUCUUCACUUUAAGAGACUAGUAGAUGAUAUGAGUGUGUUGUGGUUUAUCAUGGCAUAAUACCACCUAGUGGGCAGAUCAUAAAGGUUCUCUUUAUGUAUUUGGUUGAGAAAAGAACAUAUGGAUGCAUCUGUUUGUCGAUUGUUCAAUGAAUCUGUUUAUUGAGAGAAUUAUUCUUCAAUUCGAGCCAAAAGUAACCCUAGGAAGAUCAAUGGCUCUGUGAUUUAUUUAUUAGCCAAAUUCUAAAACUCUCCAUGUCAAUAUGCAGCGGUAUUUAACAAGGAGGAUGACAUUGGCACCUAUACCAUUAAAGCCGUGGAUGAUCCAAGGACCUUGAACAAAAUUCUGUACAUCAAACCUCCUGCCAACAUCUACUCUUUUAAUGAGCUCGUGUCACUGUGGGAGAGAAAGAUCGGCAAGACCCUGGAGAGGGUGUAUGUUCCAGAUGAGGAUAUUUUGAAGAAUAUUCAAGGUUAGGGCUGCAUUUCUAUUGGAUUUAAGUGCAUGAAUCGUCUCUGUUCUCUCUAAGAUUUAAUGCUUUUCCGGUUAUUACAGAGGCGGCGGCUCCGCUCAAUCAUGCAUUGGCAGUAUUCCAUGCUGUUUUCGUGAAAGGAGACCAAACCAACUUCGAGAUUGAGCCAUCAUUCGGAGUGGAAGCUUCAGAGCUCUACCCUGAUGUCAAGUACAUGACUGUGGAUCAGUAUCUGGAUCAAUUUGUUUGAUUAUCGAACCCAACCGUGCUUGUUAAAUUUCUCACAUCGGCUUGAAUCAUAAAUAAAAUAGGAUGCUACUUCUCAGGAUCCUAGUGUGAAAUGUUGCUUCUGCUGAUCAUCACAUGGCAUGUACAACCCCAAAGUUUGAGGACAUCCUAUGAAGUGCUCGGAGAAAUUACUUAUGUUUUGGAGAUUGAUAUUGGAUUCAUGGGCCAACCCGAGCUAACACAAAGACAUGGGUUUUUCUAUUUUUGUAUAUCGUAUUGUCUUUCAUGUCUAAAUGAUUCACGGAUGACCACUAUCGUGAAGUCAGAUACUUAACGUGUUAGCAAGGAUGAAUUUCCGUCGUGAGUUGAUUAUGGAUAAUUUUAAAGAAUGACAAGUUAAAACAAACGUAAACUGAUUAAUGAAGUCCUCACAAACGAGUUAUCGUUAAUGUUUUUGGGGGCUUUUAUAGGCUGCAGGGAACAAACACGAACAAAAAGAGGCAUGUGCUAUAAAUCUGGACAACUCUCGAACCAAUUUCUUAUCCCAAAAGUCCGGCAUUUUGUGGAUUGUUGUCUACUUAGGGAUGUCUUUGGUUCAGUUUUUCCAAACCCACCAUAAAUCAGGAAUAAUUAAUGAAGAAAUAUAAAAUAGCUUAUUUUGUCAGGAAGUAACAAUCAAUUACUGUAAAAAGAUUUCGUUCUUGAAUUCCGUGGAGAACAUGCAGCCAUCACAAGUCAGGGCUGUCGAUUUCUUUUCUACCUUGAUGGAUGUUUGAUCGACAUAACAAUCAAUUUUCUAGGUCAAAUUCAGACAACAUUCGGUAAGUCAAGUGAUUGCCAACUUCAUUGAUCGUUUGUGCAUACUCUUGGUUAUUUGAUUUUCAGGGAGACAUAUACGAUCAAGAGAUUCUACUGAAUACAAUCAAGCAGGUCGAUAUGACAAUCUCUGCUAUGGGGCGAGUGCAAGUAAAGGACCAAGACAGGAUUGUUGCUGCCAUUAAAGUGGCUGGGAAUAUCAAGGUCGUGUUGUGCCUAGUAAUUUCAAUUUCAAGUUACUAUUGUUCGUUCAGCAUUUGACUGAUGAUAUAGGUUGGUGUUACCUUGAUUCUUGUCUCGCUGGUUUAGGUGCAUCACGAUCUCAUAUUGAGCUCCGCUUUGAUGAAAUGAGAUGGAUGGACGGUAUCUAUCUGUAGACUUCACUUCUUUCUUUUUGAAAUGGUCACGACUGUGUAAAGAGUUUUGAGUGCUCAAUUUCGAUUUUGGACGAUUUGCCCAGCUCUUUGAUCAUGAAUUCGUUGGAAACAUAAACUAGUUAGUCCUUUAAAUGUUCUUUUUCAGUAGUAUCACCAUUGUUGGAAUAUGUUACCUAAUCUCACUUGCCGGGAUAGUGAUGUACUUAAUGAGUAUGUCCAUGAUGGGGUGCGAUUGGAACGCAUUGUUUCGUCUUGAUAUGCUACGAUGGAAAGACACCAUUUGAAAGGGUACGAAGGGAGUUGUAUAAAAGUCUUCUGAAGAUAAGCGUUGGAAUGGUUGGCAGAACGUACGCUCAGAAAUUCUCCAUUUCUUGUCCCCUUUCCAUCAAAGAAAAAGGAAGGCGUUCCAUUUCUCCUUUACAAGAACAAUUGGCAUUUACACUGUGGAAAUUAGAUGUUUUCCUUGUGAUUACAUUCAGACCAACAUGACAUAAUAUUAUUCAUGAUUCAUCCGUAAUUCAAUGAUCGUUCCAGGGUAAAUUGUUGAUUGCACAUCGGAAACAGGUAAGUCGUCUUCCGCCCGACUUUCAUACAACGUUGGUGUUAGAGCCUGGUUGUGAUUUUUGCCUCGUUUUUCAUCGAAUUUUCUCAUUUAUCAUUUGAUAUCGAUAUCAAGAGUAUGAAAUAUACACUGUUUGGAUGUUUAUUGCUCAGAAUUGCUAUCUGAAUCGUCGAAAACGAACCGAAGCGAAGAACGGGUUCGAGGUUGCAUACAUCUGUACAGUAUUAGCCAUUUUUUGAAAUAUUUUUUUGGCCAAAAUAAAUUUUCAACUAUACAGGAUAAAAGUACUCGUUGAGACGAGUCUAACGAUGGGUAGAGUGCCAUCGGAGGACGCCGGACGCGCCCACUCACAUGGCCAGAAGCCACUGUGGCUAGGUGCCACACGCCUGACCCAUUGGGCACGCCAACGUGUGACUGUCACGCACGCAUCAAUGAAACAACGCGUGCUAACGUCACUGUGACAUCAUCGAGACGUCAUCCAAUGGUCAGUAACUGCCGAAUGACGUCAGUGGUGAUGUCACCGUUGGCAUAGUUCGUCGGCUGAUGGCCGGUGGAAGACCCAACCCGAGACUCAACCCUUCCAGGACCCGACCGGUGAUCUGACCUGACCUGACUCAUUCAUUGACUGGUCAACGGUCGGACCGGCCAGGAGCCUUUUAGGCUCAUUGGCGCGUGCGCCACACGCGCCGCACACUCAGGCAACACGUGUGGACGCGUGUGAUGUCGGAUGGAGCGUGGUCGGCGGCGUUUGGUUUGUAUGGUUGUUCUCUAUACUAUGGUAAAUUUAUUUUAUAUUUUUGAGUUUUUUAAAUGUAUAAAAAAUAUGUAGGGAACCCUGAGUACGCGUAUGUUUGGGGUUUAAAUAUGUUAUUUAUUCUUUUUGUAGCUUGUAUUUCUUAUGGUUUUGGAAAUACAGUAGCUUGCCUACAUAAAAAUGAUAUAAUAUAUGCCGUGUAGGGCUUGGUUUGAUGGUAGUAUGUAUACAAUUUAAUAUACUUGCAAUUUUCUAGUUCCAAGAAAAUUCGAACAAUGGUAGAAAAUCCUUGUUUUUCCGUUUCAUGUUGAAUUGUGUUUUUAAUUGAAGUUGUAACAUGAUUUAUUUUUGUUCGUUGGUUCAAAUCUUGCUAUGCUUUUGUGUUAAUGGAAAAAUAUAAAAAUUACAUGAGGUCAUGUAAUUAUUUUUUCUAGUGGGAGUUCGUAGGUUGGUAGAAUUUGAAGGAGUUCUCACCUAGAACUUAAAAUUUGAGCAAAUUAAACUAAUUAAUGAUAAUAGAACAAUCGUACAUAGGAGCUGAUUGAGAACAUAAUGAACUUUUGUUUUUGUUUCUUUUGUUGAAUUAUCAUUGAUUUAGUUUGUCUUUGCUGCAAAUUAAAUAUGUGUGUUACUCUGAAAAGUGUGCUAGUAUUGAUUCUACAUUUAUUAUGUUAAUGUGUUAUAGCAAUUGAUUAUGGUUUCGGCAUCCAAGACCAUUAUAGCUGACCUCAAUAAGGGUGAGAAGUUGAAUGGUGACAAUUAUGAUAUUUGGCACCGAAAGGUUCAGUACAUCUUUGAGAAGCAAGAGGUUUUGGAAAUCCUCAACCACAUCAUGGAUGAACCUGAGUAUGGAACUUCAGCUCAACACAUGAGAGAUUUAAAAACUUAUCAAACUUGGUAAAAGAAAAAUAGCAUUGCUCGCAUCAUGUUGUUGAUCUGUAUGCAAAAUGAUCUCAUGUGUGAGUUUGAAAGUUAUGAUAAAGUUCGAGCAAUGUGGGUUGCCUUGAAAGAUAAGUUUGGGGAUACAUUUGCCACUAAGUUGAGGAGACUCACCAUUAAGUUUGACACAUAUCGAAAGCACCAAAAUAUAACGAUGAGGCAACACCUUCGGAAGAUGUCAAACAUCAUUCGUGAGUUGAAGUCGGCAGGUCACUCCCUUAUUGAUGAACAUCGAGUUCAGGUUGUUAUAAGGUCUCUUCCUAAUAAUUUGUAGCAUAUGAAAAUCAAUAUGACGCAUAAUGAGAAUAUUGUCACUUAUGAUGAUAUUGCAUGUCAUUUGGAAUUAGAGGAUGAGUGCCUAGAGGCUGCGAGAUCUUCUACCCAUGCUUAUGUUGCUGAAUUGAGUUCGUGCAAGGCUUCAGGUUUAAAAUGCAAAAGGAAUCAUCAAUUCAACAAUAAAGGGAAGAGUACUGAUUAGACACCUAAAAGGGCUAAGACUUUCCAACGCAAGAAACGUGGUGGGAAGAAGGACAAAGCCAAGAUGGUGUGCUACAAUUGUGGCAAAAUGGGUCACUUUGCUCGUGAAUGCACUGAGCCGAAAGAGGUACCCUAUUACUCCAUUACUUUAAGUAAUGUUUUUAUUUCUAGCACUAGAAUACUUGCUGAAUCUCAUCUAAUGUGGAAUGUAGACUAGGAGCAACAGAUCAUGUAGCUAGAGAUCGAGAAGCAUUUGUGGAGUAUUGUCGGAUACAGCUUGGAAGAAGAUAGAUAUAUGUUGAGAAUAACUCAAAAAUUGAAGUGAAGGGUAUCGACACAUAUAAAUUAAUUUUACGUGGUGAUUGAAGCCUAUUCCUACAUGAUGUCCUCUAUGCUCCGGAUAUUCGAUGAAACUUGGUCUCCGUAGUUGUUCUUCUCAGCCUAGGUUAUGUAUUAAACUUCUAUGGUGAUUGUGUUGACAUUUUGUUUGGAAUAGUUUAUUAUGGUUCAGGUCAUGUAUUGAAUGAUUUUAUGGUGUUAGACAUUGACUAUGAUCAAUACAAUGUUAAUAUCGAUGGUUGUUUUUCUUUAAUUGCAUCUUCUAGUAAUAUUGAGAUUGAUGCAAGUACACUCACUAAGGUUAAUUUACCCGUAUGUAAACAUUGUCUAGUAGGAAAAAUAACUAGAAAACCAUUUGGUAAAUGGGCUAGAGCCGAAUUUCCAUUACAACUCAUACAUUAUGACAUUUGUGGCCCUUUGAAUGUGAAAGCGAGGUAUGGAGCCUCAUAUUUCAUCACUUUCAUAGAUGACUUCACGAAUUUCGGUUAUAUUUUUCUGAUUUCCCUUAAGUUAGAAGCAUUAGAUUGCUUUAGUCGAUAUAUAACGAUGGUAGAGAAUUAGUUGAACAAAACAAUAAAGUAUUGAGAACCGAUCAUGGACGUAAGUAUCUAUCUAAGCAAUUCAAUACUCUUUGUGAUAAAAAGGGAAUUAUAUGACAAUUGACUAUUCCUGAUACUCUAUAACAAAAUGGGGUAACGGAGAGAAGGAAUAGAAUGCUAUUGGAAAUGGUUAGGUCUAUGAUGACUCAAGCAAAUUUACCUAUCUCCUAUUGGGGAGAUACAUUAUUGACUGCUACCUAUGUACUUAACCAAGUGCCCUUAAAAUCGGUCACUUCCACCCCUUAUAAAUUGUGGACUGGUAGGAAACCAAAUUUAAGUAUUCUAUGUCCAUGGGGAUGUACAGCUUAUGUUCAUGAUUCUUCCCAUAAAUAUGGUAAAUUAGGUCAUAGAGGGAAGAAAUGUAUCUUUAUGAGAUAUUCUGAACACUCCAAAUGGUACGUGUUCAUAGGUUAACAAGCUGAUGGAAGUGUGACCGAAAUGGAGUCACGGGAUAUCACGUUUUUGGAGAACGAUUUUCUUAGUAGAGGUGAGAUUGAUAAGGAUUUUCAAUUACAUGAGAUGGAAAACCCUAAUAACACACCCACUAAUGUUGUAGAGGGAAAUAAAGAUUUACCUUAACAUACAAGACCUAGUGGGAGUGUUGCAUCGCCUGACGAAUUGAAUUCAAGAGAAAUUCAGUUGCGUAAAAGUAAUCGUAAAAGUAUUCAUCGUCGUCGUUUUGAGAUUAAAGGGGAAGCUUUUAUGAUUACUUAGAAAGACGAUGCCGAGCCAAAGACUGUUCAAGAGGCUCUCUCAUCCUUUGAUAAGGAAGAAUGGAGAACAAUUUUAGAAGAUGAGAUGGAAUCUAUGAAGGCAAAUCAUGUCUGGGACUUGGUUGAUCUACCUCCUCAUCGCAAGGCCAUUGGAAACAACUGGGUCUUUAAAAUUAAGCGAAAGACGAAUGGAUCCAUUGAAAAGUAUAAGGCUCAUCUUGUGGUGAAAGAUUAUACUCAACAAGAGGGUAUAGACUAUGAGGAAACCUUUUAACCAGUUGUAAGGUUUGCCUCAAUACGCCUUAUCCUAGCCAUCGUUGCACAUUUGGACCUUGAAUUAUAUUAAGUGAAUGUAAAGACGCAUUUCUCAAUGGAGAACUAGAUGAAGAAAUCUAUAUGAAAUAAUCAAUAGGUUUCAUAGCUAAAGAUCAUGAGCAUAAAAUUUGCAAGUUUCAUCACUCAAUAUAUGGCUUUAAGCAAUCAUCUAGACAAAUGUAUCUUUGUUUUCAUCGAGUCAUAAUAACUUUUUGGUUUCACGAUGAUCGAAGAAGAUCACUGUGUAUAUGUCAAGCGGUCCGAAGAUAAAUUUGUGAUUUUAUCACUUUAUGUGGACGAUAUUCUAUUGGCCGGAAAUGACAAGGUUUUGGUUAUCAUCAUAAAAAAAUGAUUGUCCUCCAAUUUUGCAAUUAAAGGACAUGGGAGAAGCUACUUAUAUAUUAUGAGUUAAGAUCGAAAGAGAUCAAUCAAGGAAACUCAUUACUUUAUCACAAGAGUCUUAUAUAAUGAAAAUUCUUGAGUGUUUCAAUAUGCAGCAUUGUAAUCCCAUUGAUACUCUUGUCAUGCAAGGUGAAGACUUAAGUACUGAAAUGUGUCUUAAGACUCCAUAAGAAAUUAAAGUGAUGGAAAUUGUUUCUUACGCUAGUGCGAUCAGAAGUUUGAUGUAUGCUAUGAUAUGUAUUCGACCCGACAUAUAUUAUGCCGUGGGAUUAGUCAACCGAUAUCAAUCAAAUCCCAGUCAAGCACAUUAGAAAGCAGUGGAGAGGAUCCUGAGAUACUUGAAGUGCACCAUGGACUAUCGACUUUGUUACCAAGGGAAUGAUUUACGCCUAUUAGGCUACUCAGAUGUUGAUUGGGGUGGAGACCUAGAUGACCGUAAAUCGACUUCUGGAUAUGCGUUAUUGCUUAAUGGAGGUGCAAUUUCUUUGAAUAGCAAGAAACAGACAUGCACGACAUUGUCUACGAUGGAGACAGAAUUUAUUGCAUGUUCUGUUGCAGUGCAAGAAGUAGUAUGGCUAAAACGUUUCUUGGAAAAUUUAGCCAUUGUCACUGAGGUUCCAAGACUGAUGAUAGUUCAUUGUGAUAGUCAAACAACCAUUGCCUAUGUGAAGGAUCCCAAGUGUCAUGGAAGGACGAAACACAUUGACAUAAAGAACAACUUCAUAAGAGAUAUAAUAGCGUAGAAAGAAGUGAUCCUACAAUACAUUUCAACCAAUAGAAUGGUUGCUGAUCCAUUUACGAAAGCUAUUCCUAAAGACAUAUUCUUGACCCACAAGAUGUCACUAGAAUUGUGUAGAAUGUGAUAUGUGUUAUUGUAGAGGAUAAUUGGUUUAUGUAUUUGUGGACAUAUAUAUUGUACUUGUUUGUUUAUUAGUGACUUAAUGUUUUAUCAAUAAGUACAAAUCCAUUAUGAGACUAGCACAUACACCCAUAUAUUAUUGAAAAGUAUGUUAGUAGGCAAUGAUUGGUUCACUCACACGAGCAAUCACCUCAAGUGUUAUAGUUAGCACGUUGAGAUGAGACGUUAUGUACAAAUGAAUGCGGAAAAGCAAGUUUAGUACAUAAAAGAAUAUGUCGUCUUGAAUGGAGUCAAGAUGAGAUCUGUGAUUCUUUUAUAAUAAGACCGAACAUGAUAGUCCCACAAUUAUGUAUGUUUGAAAGAUGCCGAAUGCGAGUACUUAAUUGGGCGCUAUAGAAAGCGAGCUGAUGUAGCACUCAAGCUAAACAUGAGUACGUGAGAAGCACGUGACUAUAUUUAGGCUAAGAUUUGUAUAGUGGAUAUAUUUAAUAAAUGACAUACACUCUUAAAGAAAGAGAAAUCCACUAUAACAUGUAAUUCAUACUACACGUGCAUUGUUCGAUCGACAAGGGAAGGUGAGUAAAAUUAUCCCUAUUUACUCAUUGUGUGAGCCCUUGAGGUAAUUUAUAAUUUACCUCAUUUUGUGCCCUAUGUUAUUUCUGACUAUGUUCUCAAAGUGAAAGAUCAAUAUUGCUACUUUAACAUGUUAUCGGCGGUCAUGAAUAGAUAUAGCCUUAUGGGACGUGUCUAAGAAAGUAGUUGUUCUGAAAUGGAGAGAAACAUGAGUGCGAAGGAAGACUAUUAUUGUUUUACAUCUAUCACAUGUAUUUACUGGUCGACCAAUUAUAUUGCGUUAUGUGGUUGUGGAUAUAAUUAUAAAUAUAUGGUGUUGUGAGAAUAGUCAAGUAUAAUAUACUUGGAUUGAUGUAACAAAAUAAGUUUGAGGCACUGUGAGGAUAUCGAUUAUUUAUUUCUUUACAAGGUUGUAGCCAUUAUGUCAUCCCUAACAGGUGCAUAAUUUGAGCUCCCAAGUGCAGGUGUGCUUACUGGUUGCACAGCUUACUUGCCAGUAUGAAUUGUUUUGUAAAGUUAAUGAAUGUUGAAUGCCUUAUAUUCUUGAUAAAACAUUAUCAAGCUCAUCAUGUCUGAGUGGGAGAUGAUGUACUUAAUGAGUACGUCCAUGGUGGGGUGUGAUUGGAAUGCACUGUUUCGUCUUGAUAUCUUACGAUGGAAAGACACCUUUUGAAAGUGUAUGAAGGAAGUUGUAUAAAAGUUUUCUGAAGAUAACCAUUGGCACGGUUGGCAGAACGUACGCUCAGAAAUUCUCCAUUUCUUGUCCUCUUUCCAUCAAAGAAAAAGGAAGGCGUUCCAUUCCUCCUUUACAAGAACAAUUUGCAUUUAUGUUGUGAAAAUUGGACGUUUUCCUUGUGAUUACAUUCAGACGAAUGUGAGGUAGUAUUAUUCGUGAUUCAUCCGCAAUUCAACGAUCGUUCCGUGGUGAAUUGUUGAUUGCGCAUCAGAAAUGGGUAAGUCGUCUUCCACGACUUUUUUCCAACAUAUAGUAUUUAGUCAUUGUCGUUGAUUUGGGUGGUUGACGGUCGAUAGUGAAUGGAACAAAGCAUGCUCACAAAAGGCAUUGGACUUACUUGAUAUCUUAUGAAAGUGUCCAAGCAAGCAGAAUAUCACGCCCUAAACCUCGAGCAUGUGCCCAUCCCUUGGUGGUUGAUAAAAUUUGCGACGUCCCAGGAUGCGUCGCCGAUCCAUUCAUUUUAAUGCACAUGUAGAAGCGAAACAAUACCCCUGACAACAACUAACACGAGAUAGAAAAACAGGAAAUAUAUUCACAACUAAAAUAGUUUUAUAAAUACUCCAGUUUAUAUACAACACUAGUCUAUAGACAAAAGUCUACAAAAGAUCGGCUCUCAAAAGAAGCUAUCCUAAGACCUACUAGUCGGACACAUUCACCGAUCCUUCGGUCUCCAUAGGCUCUGGGGGCUUUAGGUCCUCCACAGCACCAUCAGGAGGGUCAGCUUGUCACGCCCUAAACCUCGAGUGCGCACACAUCCCUCGGUGGUCGAUAAAAUAUGCGACGUUUCCAAGACACGUUGCCAACCCAAUCGAUUAUGCACAUGCAGAAUCAAAUUAACUAAUCCCCUGACAACAACAUACAUGAGAUAGAAUUGCAGGACAACCAAAUAAACAAUCUAGUUUACACACAGAGGCCAACUCUAAGGUCUAAGUACAGGAGGUCUAUCUCCAAAUAGAACUACUGAGCCACCCAUGCUUCUGACCCUUCCGUCUCAAGCUCCGAGUUCUUCACACUAGAGACUUGAAAAUGGUAACCCACGACGAAGUGAGAUAUAAAUCUCAACGAAUUCACUCCUUAAACCCCGAUUAGGAAGAUAAUACACUUAGAGGUAGCUUACACAUACACCCAAUGAGACUUACCCCGCUUCAGUUCCAUCCUGCACAUUAGUACAGUUCUUAAAACAUAUGCACAUACUCAAUGCACUCAUCGAUUGGAACAUCUCAUUAUCAAACAAUCACACACAUGAGUCCCGAUUAUAAAGCGAAAUCGUAAUGACAUAUCCCAUUCCGUGUCACACAAUUUCAUCCCAUAAUCAGGCGCGGGUAACUCAUAUAAGUUGUUCAAUCCACACCCGAUAUUCACUCUCAAUAUUCCAAUUCCCAAUUCAAACUCAAUACUCACUACCAAGCUCAAGGUUCUAAAGGUGUCUCUUCCCCACGAAGUUCCAGCAUCGUGUGGUGCUUAGUCCUUGACCACAAUCAACAAUAGCUCGAGGUACUAGAGGUGGCUCCCACGAAGUCACACCGUCGUGUAGUACUUAGUUUUCGACUAUCAUAAGCAAUAGCUCAAGGUACUAGAGGUGGCUCCCACAAAGUCACGUUGUCGUGUAGCACUCAAUUCUUGGCCACAAAAAGCACUGGUAUAAGGUUCUAGAAGUAACUCACAUGAAGUCUCGCUAUCGUGUAGCACUUAGUUCUUGACUAUGUAUGAUAGAAAUACAAGGCUUCUAGAGGUGGCUCCCAUGUGACUCAAGUCACCCUGUAGCACUUAGACUUUAACUACAUUAAGCAACGAUACAAGGUACUAGAGGUGGCUCACACGAGGAUUCAUUAUUGUGUAGCACUUAGUUCUUUACCGGCUCAUAACCCAUUGGAUUUCCUCAACACAACAUAUAUCACCUCAUCUUUCAAUAGUCAUCUUGCCCUGAUUAUAAACGAACACACGAUCAAUCAACCACGACCAAGGCCAUUGUGCUUAGCACUUGAAUGCCUUAAUUAAGGUAACGAACUUGGUCUAUUUUCUUCAUACUAAAAACACUCAGUAAAAUAAUCAUGUGUGGGUACACGGUUAGCUCGAACAAGAAAAUUGAUAUCCUUCUUUUUAAAAAAUUCCACUAUUUUAUAUAGUACUUAAAAACAUUUUUGGCAUAAAAAACUGACACCUGUUUUUUUCUAAUUAACUACCAAAAUUUCACAAUUUUGGAAUAAAUAACCAAAAUUCCAAUCAUAACUCAAUUUGCACAAAUUAACAUUCAAUUGUAUAAACUAAGCACAUUACUACAAUCAGCAUGAAAUUCUAGUCACUAGCUAUCCCUGUAUAAUUUUUGGAAAAUAUUAAAUAAUUAAAUAAAUACAACAAAUAAUUAAAUAAAUACCAAUAAAUCCAAUAAAUGCAAACUUAGGCCGAAAAUGCUAAUCUAACCACCUAAACAGGCCUAAAAUUUUUUCGAACCUAUCUAGAUAAAUAGCACAACUUAUCUAGUGAUGUGGACAUCGAACCAUAUCGAGGAGGAGGUGCUAGGAUCCCAUUAUCUAUUCCUACUGGUUUGAUUACUCAAGCACGGGCCAAGCAAUUUAAGCAAGUUGUUGGUGUCAUGGUUCGUGAUAUUUGGCGUGGAGAUAACCUUGAAUCAAAUCUUGAAAAAUCUUGGAAAUCUUGGCGCAAUUUGAUUAUUUGGUCACCAAAUAUUUGACCAAGUCAAAUAUAUAUAUAUAUACAUAUCUCUCUCUCUCUCUCUCUCUCUCUCUCUCUUUGUUUAGGAAUAUUCUAGAAUAUUAUGCAUUAUAUCUCUAGGGUUGGUUUUAGGGUUUGUGUGGCGGCUAAAAGGCCUAUAUAUAAGAAUGACUGAAUUUCCUUGGGGGACAAACAUAUUUUUAUUUUUGAGGAAAAAGUUGAGAGAUUUUCUUCUACUAUUCUUUUGAGGACUUGACUUUAUCAAAGUUCCCUUGUGACGGUCGAUUCAACUUAUCGAGCGAGAUAGUGAAUUCUUUUGCUCGUGGCGUCUAUAACAUUGGUUGGUUGACACGCGUUCGUCAAUAGGUCACGUUCAUACCGAUAUUGCCAAUCACAAGUUUGAUUGGAGGUUGAGGUUCGCAAUUUGCAACAUCAGGGCCUUUGUAGAACGAUCUUUCUGCAACGAUUCACAUCAAUUUGAGAUUUAUUGAGCUAGGGUUUUGGUUCUAGCCAAUUUAGGGAUCCGAUUGCUUUUGUGCUUCCAUACGAAGUUGUUUGCUGUUAGUUUUAAUUUUUUUUCUAGCAUCUUAAAAUGUAUCUGAGUUCGUCAAAAAAAGAAGAAAAAAGAGAGUAAGUUUGUCAAAAAAAGAAGAAGAGAAAGAAAACGCACACAAAAAAAGGUGCGCAAGAGAAAAAAAAAAUAGAUUCGGCAGAAAAAAUAGCCGAACAAAAAAAAAUCAAGAAGGCGACUCAUUUGUUAGUGGACCGAAUUGAAACAAAAUCAGUAGUGAUUUGCAUUUCAAUUGGAAUUUCAAAAGUUGUACUUGUUGGUUUGAAAUUGUUACUUGCUGAAAUAAAAUCAGUUGUGAUCUAAUCUUGUUUGAUUAGUUUGAUUGAUUUUCGUGAAGGGGUUGAGAGACAGGUUUUGAGACCGAUAAAGAGCUUGUGAAAAGAGAAUACGAGAGGAAAAAGGCAAGAGUGUGUAAGCUUAAUUGAGGGUGGAAAAAGACUAGACUUGAGUUAAACACGAGGGGAAUGCCAAAUACCUUGAGAGAAACACGUGAGGGAGCGAUUGGUGAGAAUUUUUGUGACUAACGUUUAUUUACAGGUUUAAAAUAUGUCACACGAAGAAAGCGUAAAUCAGAGGGAGGUUGACUCCAUAGGAAGGGAUGAAGCGCUCGUGAAAAGCAUCUAGCAAUUGAGGGCCGUAGUGGAGAAGCUUAGUGGCCGAAUGAUGGGGAAUGGUAUGAGGGUUGAUGGUGACUGAGAGCUACCCCGGGGAAGGUUGCAACAUCAGCGAGACGCCUCUAGAACACAACUUAGAAGGUAGCGGCAUUAUGAUGAUGAUGAGGUCAACAUGGAGGAUGAUCGAGAUGCUCGAUUUGGAAGGUGGAAUGGAGCUCGAGGGUUUAGAUAUCAAGAUGAAGAUUCCUUCUUUCCAAGGGAAGAAUGAUCCUGAUGCGUAUCUAGAAUGGGAGAAACGCAUGGAGAUGGUAUUUGAUUGCCAACGAUAUUCCGAGCUCAAAAAUGUAAAAAUUGCAACUGUUGGAUUUAUUGAUUAUGCUAUAAUUUGGUGGGAUCAACUUGUGACUAGUAGGAGGCGAACGAUGAAAGACCGAUAUAGACGUGGGAUGAGAUGAAAGUGGUGAUAAGAAAGCGUUUUGUACCAAGUCAUUACCACCGAGAUUUGUUUCAAAAGUUACAAAAUCUCACACAAGGCAAUAAGAGCGUGGAAGAGUAUCACAAGGAGAUGGAGAUUGACAUGAUCCGUGCUAAUGUGGUGGAGGAUUGUGAGGCCACAAUGUCAAGANNNNNNNNNNNNNNNNNNNNNNNNNNNNNNNNNNNNNNNNNNNNNNNNNNNNNNNNNNNNNNNNNNNNNNNNNNNNNNNNNNNNNNNNNNNNNNNNNNNNNNNNNNNNNNNNNNNNNNNNNNNNNNNNNNNNNNNNNNNNNNNNNNNNNNNNNNNNNNNNNNNNNNNNNNNNNNNNNNNNNNNNNNNNNNNNNNNNNNNNNNNNNNNNNNNNNNNNNNNNNNNNNNNNNNNNNNNNNNNNNNNNNNNNNNNNNNNNNNNNNNNNNNNNNNNNNNNNNNNNNNNNNNNNNNNNNNNNNNNNNNNNNNNNNNNNNNNNNNNNNNNNNNNNNNNNNNNNNNNNNNNNNNNNNNNNNNNNNNCAACAUAGGCACACCUAACAUGGUGUUAUUGAGUCCGAAAGUGAAAGGGAAGAAGAGGAUGAUGAGAUGCCACCAUUGGAGGAUUGUAGGGAUGGAGAAGUGGCUAUAAAAAGAGACUUAUUGGUGGUUAGGUGUUCUCUGAGUGUGCAAGUAAAGGAGGAGGAGCAUCACCAACAAGAGAUAACUUAUUUCAUACAAAAUGUGUGGUGAAUGGUAAGAUCUGUAGUAUGAUAAUUGAUGGAGGUAGUUGUGCGAAUGUGGCAAGUUCUACUAUGGUGGAUAAAUUGGGUUUGAAAACGACAAAGCACCCUAGGCCUUAUAGACUUCAAUAGUUAAAUGAUAGUGGUGAGGUGAAAGUAUCGAAACAAGUUCGAAUUUCAUUUGAGAUAGGGAGAUACAAGGACGAGGUAGAGUGUGAUGUUAUACCUAUGCAAACGGGUCAUAUCUUAUUUGGAAGACUAUGGCAAUAUGAUUGAAAUGUACAUCAUGAUGGGUAUACUAAUCGUUAUUCAUUGGUGAUGAAUUAAAAGACUUAUACCUUGAUACCAAUGACACCUAGUGAGGUGUAUCAAGAUCAGUUAAAGUUACAACGAGAAGCUGAUAGAGAGAGAAAAGGUGAGAAAUCCAAUGGCUUGCAUGGUGUGUUUGAGAUGCAAGGAAAAGGAGAGGCCGAGAGAAAGAUUGUGGUAAAAACCGAGGGAAAAGAAGAGAGGAAAGAAAAGAGGCAAAACAAUUUUUAUGCAAAAUCAAGUGAAGUGAGGAGAGCUUGAGUUCUAGAUCGACCAAUGCUUGUACUUGUGUACGAGGAGGUUUUAUUUUCUACUAACGAUCUUUACUUAAGUUUGCCUAGUCCUAUUGUGUCUUUAUUGUAGAAAUUUGAAGAUGUCUUUCCUGAUGAACUUCCUGGAGGGAUACCACCGAUUCGAGGCAUAGAAUAUCAAAUUGACUUGAUUCCCGGUGCGCCAUUACCUAACCAACCCGCAUAUCGAAGCAAUCCCGAGGAGACAAAGGAACUUCAGUGGCAAGUUAGCGAACNNNNNNNNNNNNNNNNNNNNNNNNNNNNNNNNNNNNNNNNNNNNNNNNNNNNNNNNNNNNNNNNNNNNNNNNNNNNNNNNNNNNNNNNNNNNNNNNNNNNNNNNNNNNNNNNNNNNNNNNNNNNNNNNNNNNNNNNNNNNNNNNNNNNNNNNNNNNNNNNNNNNNNNNNNNNNNNNNNNNNNNNNNNNNNNNNNNNNNNNNNNNNNNNNNNNNNNNNNNNNNNNNNNNNNNNNNNNNNNNNNNNNNNNNNNNNNNNNNNNNNNNNNNNNNNNNNNNNNNNNNNNNNNNNNNNNNNNNNNNNNNNNNNNNNNNNNNNNNNNNNNNNNNNNNNNNNNNNNNNNNNNNNNNNNNNNNNNNNNNNNNNNNNNNNNNNNNNNNNNNNNNNNNNNNNNNNNNNNNNNNNNNNNNNNNNNNNNNNNNNNNNNNNNNNNNNNNNNNNNNNNNNNNNNNNNNNNNNNNNNNNNNNNNNNNNNNNNNNNNNNNNNNNNNNNNNNNNNNNNNNNNNNNNNNNNNNNNNNNNNNNNNNNNNNNNNNNNNNNNNNNNNNNNNNNNNNNNNNNNNNNNNNNNNNNNNNNNNNNNNNNNNNNNNNNNNNNNNNNNNNNNNNNNNNNNNNNNNNNNNNNNNNNNNNNNNNNNNNNNNNNNNNNNNNNNNNGACGAUUUGUGAGAAAUUUCAGCACCAUUGCCGCACUUUAACUAAGGUUAUCAAGAAGCACGUGGGUUUCGCGUGGGGAGAAGAGCAAGAGCCAAGAGAAAAACAUUAAAUCUGUACAUUUAAUCUGCUAAAAGAUAAGUUGACUAAUGCUCAUUUGUUAUCUUUGCCGAAUUUCAAUGCUACUUUUGAAAUAGAGUGUGAUGCUUUUGAUAUAGGAAUGGAGCCGUGUUGAUGCAAGGAGGGCGUCCCAUAGCUUAUUUCAGCGAGAAACUGAGUGGAGCAACAUUGAAUUAUCCUACCUAUGAUAAGGAGAUGCAUGCUUUAGUGCGAGCUUUGGAAACUUGGCAACAUUAUUUAUGGCCAAAGGAGUUUGUGAUCCACACUAACCAUGAAACCUUGAAGUACUUGAAAGGGCAGUAAAAUUUGAAUAAAAGGCAUGCGAAAUGGAUGGAGUUCAUUGAGACUUUUCCAUAUGUGAUCAAUUACAAGAAAUGUAAGGAGAAUGUGGUAGCCGAUGCACUUUCUCGAAGGUAUGCGAUUCUAACUACUUUAGAAGCAAAGUGUUUAGGUUUUGAGCAUAUCAAGAACUUAUAUACUGAUGAUGAUGACUUUAGGAGAGUGUUUGAAGCAUGUGAGCAUGCUGCAUUUGAUAAAUUCUAUAGGUGUGAAGGUUAUCUUUUCUGUGAAAACAAACUAUGUUUGCCUAAGUGUUCUUUGCGUGAAUUGUUGGUGCGAGAAGCGCAUAAUGGUGGUUUAAUGGGGCAUUUUGAUAUUAAUAAGACUUAUGAAGUGCUGCAUGAACAUUUUUAUUAGCCACAUAUGAAGAGAGAUGUCACACGUGUCUGUGAGAGAUGUAUUGCUUGUAAGCAAUUGAAGUCUACAACUAAACCACAUGGCUUAUAUACACCAUUACCUAUUCCAACGCANNNNNNNNNNNNNNNNNNNNNNNNNNNNNNNNNNNNNNNNNNNNNNNNNNNNNNNNNNNNNNNNNNNNNNNNNNNNNNNNNNNNNNNNNNNNNNNNNNNNAUGUGGUUGUUGAUCGGUUUUCAAAGAUGGCUCAUUUUAUACCUUGUUAUAAAAUUGAUGAUGCAUCUCAUGUUGCUAAUUUGUUAUUUAGGGAAGUUGUACGUUUGCAGGGCAUGCCUAGAUUGAUUGUUUCAAAUCGAGAUUCUAAAUUUCUUAGCUACUUUUGGAAAACAUUGUGGAAAAAACUAGGAAGACGGUUGUUAUUUUCUACUACUUGUCAUCCACAGACCGAUAGUCAAACCGAGGUAGUUAAUAGAACUUUAGGGGUAUUGUUGCGUGCUAUUAUUAAAAAGAACAAAAAAUCUUGGGAAGAUUGUCUGCCACAUGUUGAAUUUGCAUAUAAUAGGAGCAUACAUUCUGUUACUAAAUUUACACCAUUUGAGGUUGUUUAUGGUUUUAAUCUGUUAACUCCUUUAGAUUUAACCCAUUUACCUGUUAAUGAGUGUGUGGGUUUAGAUGGAGCAAAGAAAACUAAAUUUGUCAAGGCGUUACAUGAGAAGACGCGCACAAAUAUUGAGCGCAAGACUGAGCAAUAUACAAGGCAAGCCAACAAAAGGCGCAAGGAAGUAGUAUUUGAACCAGGCGAUUGGGUUUGGGUUCAUUUGCGCAAAGAGUGAUUUCUUGAGCAACGACAUUCUAAGUUAUUACCGUGAGGGGAUGGACCAUUCAUGGUGUUGGAAAGAGUUAACAAUAAUGCCUACAAGCUUGAUCUUCCAGGUAAGUAUGACCUUAGUGCCACAUUUAAUGUUUAUGAUUUAACUCUUUUUGAUGCCAAUGAUGAUUUGAGGGCAAAUCCUUUGCACGGGGGAGGGAAUGAUGUGGACAUCAAGCCAUAUCGAGGAGGAGGUGCUAGGGACCCAUUGUCUAUUCAUAUUAGUUCGAUUACUCGCGCGUGGGCCAAGCAAUUUAGGCAAUCUAUUGGCGUCAUGGUUCGUGAUCUUUGGCGUAGAGAUGACCUUGGAUCAAAUCUUGAAGAAUCUUGGAAAUCUUGGCGCAAUUUGAUUAUUUAGUCAUCAAAUAUUUGACCAAGUCAAAUAUAUAUAUCUUGUUUAGGAAUAUUCUAGAAUAUGAUGCAUUAUAUCUCUAGGAUUGGUUUUAGGGUUUGUGUGGCGGCUAGAAGGCCUAUAUAUAAAAUUGACCGAAUUUCUUUAGGGGAUAGACAUAUUUUUAUUUUUGAGGAAAAAGUUGAGAGAUUCUCUUCUACUGUUCUUUUGAGGACUUGACCUUAUCAAUGUUCCCUUGUGACGGUCGAUUCGAUUUAUCGAGCGAGAUAGCGAAUUCUUUCGCUUGUGGCGUCUAUAACGUUGGUUGGUUGACACGCGUUCGUCAACAAGUCACGUUCAUACCGAGGUUGCCAAUCACAGGUUUGAUUGGAGGUUGAGGUUCGCAAUUCGCACCAUCCAGGCCUUUGUGAAACGAUCUUUUCGCAACGAUUCACAUCAUCUAGUCCCUAAUUAAUCCAUUCUAACCACCUAACAAGCACAAUUGAAUAAUUAAAUCACUAAUCCAUUCUAAUUAAUCACCUAAUCUCAUCUUAAGCUAAACUAAUCACCCAUUAAGUAUCAUUAGCGCCAUAAUGAGAGUUUAGUGCAUAAACUUACCGAUUUAGCACAAAAAUCGGUUCACGAUGACGGCGGCCCGACAGUAGCCGAAACUCGGGCUUACAGCGGCGCCAAAGGAAGCUCGGAUUGGGCUGAAAACGGUCCGACACGUCUCAACUAAAGCUAAGAUUCAAACUUGCUUAUGUGGAGGGCUGCUAGUGGCAGCGUGAACUAGUCGAGCAGCGGGACUGAGCUGGGUACAGAGGAUCGCUGGGUUGGUGGCUUGAGGAGAAGAUGAAGCUAUUGUGUGAGGUCGAUGACUAUGGAGUUGGGCCUAAUGUUGGUGUUGCAUCAACUAAAAUGAGGGGAAGUAAACUGGCGUGAAGGGUGAGCUGGCAGGCUGAAACGGUGAGGCGGUGGUUUGGUGGGGAAUCGGGCUUUGGGGUGAGCGUGCAGGGGAAAGCUGGAUGGAAGGGCGGCAGCUUGAGGGAAAAGAAGAAGACGUGUGAGAUGGAGGGAAGAAAAAAAAGACAGAAGGGGAAGUUGGCAGCUAAGGGGGAAAGAAUUGUGCAAGAGAGAGAGGGAAAGAGGGAGAGACAUGCGUGAGAGGGAGAGGGCCGAAGGAAAGGGGGUUUGCACGUAUGGAGGGAAUGAGGGAGGCCAAAUGGUCAAGGGAAAAUAUUGUUGUGAUGAUUAUAAUGCCCCUAAAGUCCAAGCUUCAUCCACAAGUCAUUUUCACACCCAAAACUUCACCAACAAGCCAAAUUGAAGGUCAAGCAAGGUCCAUGCAGCUACACGAAUUUCCUCUUCAUUUUCUCUCAAUUCUUCUCCAAAUUAAGUCAAAUUGAGGGCCAAAAAUCCCAUGGAGGCAACUCUUACGAAUUUACACCAAGUCUCCACAAUUUACUUUAAUUUGGUAGCCAGAAAAUCUAAUUAAAGAGACCCCUCCGAAUUUAUUUUCUUUUUCGAAUUGAUUGAAAUUGAUUUUCCGUAAAAAUUCUAGGCUCACCAAAAAUUUCUCGAAAGAUGAGAUGAAGUCCUAAAAAUAAAUCGUGACAUGCUCAAACUUUCGAUUCCUGAAACCGGGUUUAAUUUCUUGGUUAAUUUGGAUCGGACGCGAUUUUAGCGUGACCUAACCUACUGGGUAGCUUUUAGGAAUUUUUAGCACAAUUGACCCGUGGUCAAUUAUUUUCGAAUCAUAUUGUACAUCUUCGACACAUUGGCAACUCUUGGUUGUUAUGAAAAUCUCAAGGGUUCAAAUACGGACAUGGGGUACCAAAACAACAGAAAAAUCGGUCGAGUGCCGAUCGACAAAAUUUUUGCAAUUAAGUAAAAACACCCACACUUAAUCACAUGAUUUGAUCGAAUCGACCUAUCUCCGGUCUCUAAUCGAUUUUUAACUGUGUCGUGGUGACCCUUACAGAUUAGCAUGAUCGAGCAAUUGAAUCCUGGUUGAAUUCUCAAGUCAGCUGCAUUUAGAUUUCUUAACAGCUUCACCUGAUAUGCUAGUUAUAUUGUGAGUGGCCAACUUAGAGAAAAGAACUAUAGGCGCAUCGAUGAAAAGCCUAUUUCAUUUAGUCGAAAGCAGGGUUUGAAAAUCAGAAUGUCACACAGCUGCACUCUCACCUAGAGCGGCAUCUACUACCACCGCGGGGAUCUCAAAACCCUAGAGGGGACCCUUCCUGUAUCCAAUGAAUCCGUGGCGAAACCACGCUCUGAAUCAAUGGGGGUACCUUCUGAGGUAGGCCUUCAUCGACCUAGACAGUGGUCACCAUGAGUUCAUAGACCUUGUGACCCUCGAGGUCAGGGUAGUCAAAACUCUGCUCGGUAACCCUCAUAGGCUGACCAAAACGUUCCGAAAGAACCGCCAUCUAAGGACCUAAAAAGAUUGAGCCACAACGGGGUGAGACAAUGUCUCAGCAAGUUCACCCUCUAAACUCCGACUAGGAAGGAAAUAUAUCUAGAGGCAGUCUAUGCACACGAGACAAAGGACUUACUUUGCCUUAGUUCCUUCCUACACAUCAAUACAAUUCAUAUACUCAACCAAUUCAUUCCUUCAAUAAAUUCAAUCGAUUCCAAUUCGAUUAUUGCUCGCACAAGCAUGAACUACCAACACACAUUGGUCCUUUGGCGUAGCCAGGGAUUACUGUUCACAAGCUGAGAUAGACUAUUGCUCACACAAGCUGACAGACCAUUGCUCACACAAGUUGACACAGAUCAUUACUCACACAAGCUGACAGAUCAUUGCUCAUACAAGCUGAUACAGAUCAUUGCUCACACAAGCUAAUACAUCGACUCACAUCGGGGAUGGGUUCACUUAACCAGAACUAGAAAAAUUGAUAUUCAUACUUUUAAAAUCUCACGAUUCGAUAUAAUCCUUAAAACCAUUUUCGGUGCUAAAACCCGACACCCGGGAUUUUUCUAAUAAAAUAUCAAAACUUCACAAUUUUGGAAUAAAUAACCAAAAUCACAAUUAUCACUCAAUUUGCACAAUUUAACAUUCAAUUGCAUAAACUAAGCACACCAUUGCAAUCAGCAUGAAAUUUCGAUCAUCGGCUAUCCCGAUAUAAUUUUUGGAAAAUAAUAAAUAAUUAAAUAAAUACCAAAAAUAAUUAAAUAAAUACAAUUAAAUACCAAAAAUACCAACUUAAGCCGGAAAUGCUAAAUUAACCACCUAAACAAGCCUAGAAAAUUUCUGAACAUAUCUAGAUAAAAAGCACAAUUUAUCUAGUCCCUAAUUAGGCCAUUCUAACCACCUAAUAUGCACAAUUGAAUAAUUAAAUCACUAAUCAAUGCUAACUAAUCACUUAAACCAUAAUUAGGUUAAACUAAUCAACCCCUAAGCAUCAUUAACUCCCUAAGCAGAUUUUAGCAAGUAAACUCACCGAUUUAGCAUUCCGAUGAGUUCACGACAACGGCGACGCAGAGGUGGGCAACAACCGAGCCUGCGGCGACACCAACGGAGGAUCGAGUGGGCUUAAAAAUGGGCCAUGAAGACCUAGGGCCCUUGCUAGCUUCGGCUACUGACCUUGGGUAGAAGGAGCUGGCGUAGGGCUACUGGCUGGCUGAAAUGGCACGGAGGUGGUGUAGCGGGGCCAGGUGGUGCUCAACGGUGGCUCCGGCGGCUUGGAUGGUGACGGAUGGUGGCCUAGUGACCUGUGACUGCCUGGACAGAGGUUUGGGGAGCGACGAGGAGUUGCGAAAUGAGCGGAAUGGCAAGGACACUCGGUUGGGCUAGCGGUUGGCGCGACGGGCGAGCGAGCGGUGUGCGGCGGCUCUGGUGGCUCCAAGCGUUGGUCGAUGGGCUAGGGGGGGCUUGCUCUAUUUUCCUCUGAUGUGUACAACCUCCAAAUACGAGGACAUACUAUGAACAUUCGAUGUGUGUGCAUCUAUGUGGUGCUUAGAGAAGUUACUCCUAUUUUGGAGUUUUAUAUGGUUUUAUGUCCAAGCUAUGGUAAGCUAAAAGUUAGACACGGGUUUCUCUAAUUUUGUAUGUUAUAUGUGGUUUGUCCUCGGUGUGGGUAAUGAAUUGGAGCCACGACGCCGAGCCUUGCCCCAAGGAUGUGAGGUCAACCCUUGGUGAGGGCAUUAAGGCCUUCGCCAAGGCCUGGCAAUCGAUAGAAGAAGAAGAGGAAACAAGUACGUAAGAAAUGAAAAGAAACCGAAAAGAAAAAGAAGGGUAAAAAACAGACCGAAAAUAAUACUUUUUUUUUUUUCAUUUCAAUUUUUUAUUUCAUGUGAGCAUUGGUCAUGUUACGUUAGAAGGCCGCCAAUGCUUUAACACUUUAACACCUUUCGAUACGUGGUCAACAGAUAUCAAAAAAUUUGACACGUGGUUAACUCUUCUAACACGGUCUGACAUGCUAGUCCAGAAUUCUGACACAUGAUUUCGACACGCUUGGGUCAAUUUUAAAAUUUUGCAAUAGAUGACAAGUCAAAAUGUAAAUAUGUACAAAAAUAAAUAGUAAUAAAAAUAAUAAAAGGGAGAAAGGAGAAAACCUAAUCUCCUCUUCUCUUUUGACUUUUACUUCCUAUAAUUCACAAUUUUUAGUGUAAAUUCAUUCUAGUCUUUUUUUAAGUCUUUUUUUUAUCAUAAUUUAUUUAUUUGUGAAUUUGAAUUGAAUUAAUUUGAUUGAAAUAAUCAUGGAAAUGAUAAUUUAUCAUGUAUAUAUAUAAAUAUAUAUUUAAUAUACGAUGUGCCCUAAUGUGUUCAACUUUUUUUUUCUUUUUUUAGAUAUGAUGUGUCGGCGUGUCGUGUCAUUUUGCGUGUCGCGUAUCGGUGUCGAUGCUACUUAGGAUUAUAUUGAAAGGUAAAACGUUAAAAAAUUUAGAAGUAAAUUGAUCAUAUCAAAAUAUUUAAAAUUGACUUGGUAUACAUGUCAAAGGUUUAACAACUUUUUACUAAUCAUUCUAUAUUUCGACACUCGUGUUGUGGCUUUUUUCUCCCAUAGAGGUUAUGAAUUACAAAUAUAGUAAUCUAAUUUUGGCCAAUUUAAGAACGGUAAUCUUUUGUCAACCCUCCUAGGAAAAAGAAUUUAUUGAACCUCGAAACAAUAGCAUAGCGGCUAUGAAGCUGUAUAAUAUCAUGCUACCAUAUAAAUGUAGAGUAGCUCAUCAUACCAUUUUCUUAUCUUUUUCAUAUGAUAAAAGUCAAUGUAAAAAGGUAGUUUCAACUAUUUCCUCAUCAAUGACGAUAACUUAAAUUUAUAGCACUAUCAAAAUUAAAUUUUCUUGUUUUUUGCUAAGUUAAAAUCUAUCUUACUUCACAAUAAUUUAGUUCAUCACUGAAAUCAAACAAAAUCUUUAUCUUCUCUCUAUUAUUCUACUUUCCAUGUACCAUUUUUCCAAUGAAGGAUUUAUCUCAACAAGGAAAAUUAUUUUAAUGAAAAGACGAUUAUGCCCUUCCGGAAUCAUCCAAUGACUCUCUAUCCUAUCACGAAGACAAGAACCGCCACCUUUUAGCUCUCUCUCUCUCUCUCUCUCUAUAUAUAUAUCAACACGUAUACCGUAUAGUUAUAACAGAGUCACUUUAGAGACCGAUCAAGAUCGCCAGGAAGAACGACGCCUCCGCUGUGAAAACACCCACCGAGAUGGCCGAGAAGAGCAGAGUCCUGGUGAUUGGAAGCACCGGAAGCAUCGGAAAGUUCAUUGUGGAAGCAAGUGUUAAGUUUGGUCACCCUACCUUCGCUCUCGUGAGGGAGUCCAGUCUCUCCGACCCAGCCAAGGCCAACAUCGCUGAAGGUUUCAAGAGCUUAGGCGUCAAAUUAGUUCACGUGAGUAGUUCUUCUGAUGCAAUCCUGUUCGUUUCUCGCAUUUGCUGCUCCUUUGAGGAAUCGAAGCGUCCCUUACCGUUAAUCUCAUCCGUCGUUUCGAAAAAUGUCUUUAACCGUAGAAUCAGAGUCGCAUUUGAUCUCAAUCUUUCACAAGAUUGAGUUGAUAUUUGCUGCUUCUCUUUCCCUCCUCUAGCAAUUUGUCCCUGUGUUAUUGGUCAUUUUUCACAUUGACUGACGAAUCGCCUCAGCUUCGCAUUCCGAUACGAAGUACAAAUAGAAUACAUUUUUAAACAAAUCUUAUGAAAACUUCUAUAUUUUACGUACUGCCUAAAUGAACUUGUAUAUAAAAGUGAAUGUGACUGACCUGUAAUUCAGAUGUCACCGCAAAUCCCCUGCUAUAACCUUUCAAAAGAUUGGUAGGCAAUGUGUGGUAAUUCUGUGGAUGCUUUAUUUCUUAUAAAACUUUUUCUCUUCUGGUGAAGCUAUUGAAGUCUUAUCUACAUCAGACUUCAUAUCUAUCCUUUUUCGUAGUCUUCCUACUGGCAAAGAUAGGAUUGAUUGAUGAUUGGCGACUUUAUUGAUUGUUUGUCCAUGCUCUUGAUUACUUGAUUCUCAGGGAGAUGUAUACGAUCAAGAGAGUCUGUUGACUGCGAUUAAGCAGGUUGAUGUGGUAAUCUCUGUUGUGGCGCAACAACAGGUAGCGAUCCAAGAUAAGAUUGUUGCAGCCAUCAAAGCAGCUGGGAAUAUCAAGGUGUGCAGUUUAUAAUAAUUUCAUCCAAGUUACCAUUGCUCGUUUAACAGUUGACUGAUGAUAUAGGAUGGUGCAAGCUUAACUCUUUUCUUUUGAGAUUAGUGCAUCACGUUCUCCUUGUGAGCUCCACUCUGAUGAAAUGGGAUGGAUUCAUUUACUUAUCCGUAGACUUCACUUCUUUCCUUUUUAAACGGUCAUGACUUUCUAUAGAAGUCGUUAAUGAAAUUUGAGGCUUACUAUUUCAAAUCCAAGUACCGGACAAUGCCGGAUUCACUGUGGUUGGGUUUCCUCUAGGUCAAUGAAAAAAAAGUAAAAGGUUUCAAGCGCUCGAUAUGGAUUAUGGUCAUGUACCCUAUCCUUUGAUCAAUAAUGGGAAACAUGAACUACCUAUUUCUUCAAAAGGUUAUUUUAGGUAAAAUUAAUAUUAUAGCAAAUAAGUUUUCAAAACCCAACUGGUGGAUAAUUUAGUAGUUGUUGCCUAGGGGGUUGACGGUCGGUAAAGAGUGGAGCUUAGCAUGCUCACAAAAGGCAAUGUACUCACCUGAUAUUUUAUUUCUUGUGAAAAGUGUACAAGUAAGGAGCAUCGUUGCGCAUUUUAUACUUGCCAGAUUUAUUUGGCUAUGGCCUAUGGCCCUAACAAUUAAAUCUUCAGUUUUCUUUUCUUCUACUUUUCUAAUAGCACUUAAUUUCUAGUCUUGAUUCACUUAUAAUCAUUUUUACUAUAUUAUAGUCCGUUUGGAAAAAAAAAAGAAAGUGAAAUUCAGUCUCAUGUAAGUUGUUUUCUUUGUUUUUUCUGUCAUAGUCACAUGUUGAAGAAAAAAGUCAAACAUUGUCACAUAUGAGUUUGGUUUCCUUUUUUUUUUUGCCAAAACUCAUGUAAGUUUGUUGGAUGAGGUGAAUUUGCUCUAGUUUUUUUGUUGCUUUCUAAUAAAAAUGUAUGUCCUGAUUCAAUUAAUUUUCUUUUUAGAGAUUCUUGCCUUCAGAGUUUGGAAACGAUGGGGAACGUCACCAUGCUGUGGAGCCAGCAAAAACUGUAUAUGAUACCAAGACCAAGAUCCGCCGCCUUGUUGAGGCUGAGGGAAUCCCUUAUACACAUGUGGUUUCUAACGCUUGUUCAGGUUACCACCUUUCGAAUUUGUCACAGCCUGGGGCUACAGCUCCCCCAAGAGAUAAAGUUGUCAUCUUAGGGGAUGGAAAUGCAAAAGGUAAGAAGCAGUGUGUCGAAAUGCGCAUUUUAAUUAGUUCAGAUAUUUCUGGAGGUUGAUCACGAUUUAAUUACGGUAGUGAUCAGUGUGAGGGGCAGCUCUUGAAGCUUGAGAAUUCCAGGGCAACGUCCUUGUCUGGAGAUGUUGGGACUCUUACAUCCAUUAGUCUUCACCUUCAGAGACUAAUAGAUUAUAUGAGUGUGUCGUGGUUUAUCUUGGCAUAAUAUCACCUAGUGGGCAGAUCGUGAAUGUUCUCUUUAUGUAUUUGGUGGAGGAAAGAACAUACGGAUGCAUCUGUCUGUUGGUUGUCUGAUGAAUCUGUUUACCGAGAGAAUUCUUCUUCAAUUCAAGCCGAAAGUAACACUAGGAAGAUCAGUGACUCUGUGAUUUAUUUAUGAGCUCAUGUCUUUCUGGGAGAGAGAGAUCGGCAAGGCUCUAGAGAGGGCGUAUGUUCCAGAGGAGGAGGUUCUAAAGAAUAUUCAAGGUUAGGGCUGCAUUUCUAUUGGAUUUAAGUGUGUAAAUUGUCUCUGUUCUCUCUAAAGAUUUAAAGCUUGUCCAGUCAUUACAGAGGCGGCGUUUCCGCAGAAUGUGAUAUUGGCAGUACUCCAUUCUGUUUUCGUGAAAGGAGACCAAGCCAACUUCGAGAUUAAGCCAUCAUUCGGAGUGGAAGCUUUGGAGCUCUACCCCAAUGUCAAGUACACGACUGUGGAUUAGUAUAUGGAUCAGUUUAUUUGAUUAUCGAACCCGAUUGUGCUUGUUAAAUUUCUCAUAUCGGCUUAAAUCAUAAAUAAUAUAGGAUGCUGCUUCUUAGGAUCCUAGUGUGAAAUGUCGCAUGCCCUGAUCAUCACAUGGCAUGUACAACCCCAAAGUUCGAGGACAUCCUAUGAAGUGCUUGGAGAAAUUUAUUUAUGUUUUGGAGAUUAAUAUUAGGUUCAUGGCCAAGCCGAGCUAGCACAAAGACAUGGAUUUUUCUAUUUUUCUAUAUUGUAUUUUCUUGCACGUCUAAAUGAUUCAAGACGACCACUAUCGAGAAGUCAGAUACUAGAUGUAUUACCAAAAAUGAAAUCUCCGUCAUGACCUAAUUAUGGAUAAUCUUAAAGAAUGACGAGUUAAAACAAACGUAAAUCGAUUAACGAACUUCUCACAAUAUCGAGUUAUCGUUAAUGUUUUGGGAGCUUUUAUUGUAUGAAUUUUCUUAACGUGAAAUACAUUAAUUGAUAUUGUAAGAAAUUUCUGUUGAUCGGACCCUCCUUGCCUAUAAAUAGGCGGGUUGCGAUCUCUGUUGAGGACGAGCGAGCAAGCUUGGAGAACUUCCCUGGAGAGACUUCAGGGGAGGCUCAAAGAGUAAGCAAGCAAGAGAGGCGUCGCGAGCUCAAACGACCUCCCCCAAGAGAGGUCAGGGGAGGUCGGCGGCGAGCGAACCCGAGAGAGAGGGGCUUCACGGUGAGAGAGAUCGUGAGCAAAACCCAGAUCUGUGGGUUGUGGGUGGAAGGGGGUAGACUGCCGUCGACGGUUGCGCCUGCAUCGUGACCAGCAACCCCACCGCUACGCCUCCUUGGCCGGUGAACUACGGUCUUCUUUUUUUGCGUUCUGGGCAAGCCAGGCCGGAGCUUGCGACCGCUUGGUUGCGAGCUUCGGCCGCGUUUAUUCCCUUUUUUUGGGCUGCUGUUGUGUUUGUUCGGCCAAAGCUACGGUUUAGCUCCAACCUCGUUCGGGCCGUGAGUCUCUCAACUCUAUAGCACACACCAUCCGUUCGACGAAAUGCCAAAGCUAGAUCCGGAACCUUGCGCUGAGGAAGUCCGUUCCAGAGCUUCAAUCACCGUCCGGAUGAGAGAGGAAAGACGUUGGGGAGACCUCCAGUCGAACGCUUUCCGCCGGCCAUGUCUAGCCAAGGCGGAUCUUUGCUGGCGACAAUAGCCAGCCAAGCUGGUUCUCAGCCGGCGACGGUGGUCAGCUGGGCUCGCCCUCGGUUGGCGCCAUGGCCGAUCGAAAGCUCGUCUCCGAUCUGGGCUGGCUGAGGUGUCACCGGACUGAGGGGUGUGGCCAGCCCACCGUGAGCGGCGUCCCCCAUUGGCGCCGUCUUCUUCCCUGCGGACAAGCUGCAGUGAAGGGGGGAUGAAUCGGGUGAGCCUGCGGAUCGGGCUAACGCAGUUCAUUUGAUUCUUCGGGUAGGGUUUCGUCAGCAUGGGCCUAUCGCGGCAGGCCGUCUGAUUUUCAAGCUUCAGUUGGGCCAUCUUUUUACAAAUCAAAAUCUGCUGGGUUGGGCUAAAAAUUAAAAUGUUGGGUUUGAAUUUCUUUGCGGGCCUGGCCCGCGCCUCAGGCUCGUUCCGAGCAGCCCCUGGUUUCUACGAUUGUGUCGUUUUUAUAUUAUUAUAAUUAUAAUAAUAUUUUAAUAAAAUCAAAAUAAAUAAAUUAUUUAUUCAAAGAGUCAGAAAAACCCAAAAAUAUUUUAUGUUUUCCCAAAAAAAUCAUGAACAAGCGAAAAAUAAUUUAUAUUUUCAAAAAAGGGUAAAAAAUAAAAAUAAAAAUGCUUUUAUGUUAAAGUGUGUUUUUCCUCCACAAAUGCAUAGAAAAUCCCUUGAAAUUCCAAAAAGCUUUAGGGUUCAGAUAAGAUUAGGUACCGGAAGGACAGUAGUGAUUAACUAGUGUAAUUAAGUUCCCGAUCUUAGUUUUCCUGGUUGCACAGAAGCGAAUAUUUCUCCCAAUAUUUCGCUUGGGUUUCUAACUCAACCCACCUCAAAUUGAUUAGUGGCGACUCAUUUUAAAAUUAACUUAUAGUUUUAAAAAAUAUUAAACCAUUAAGUCCUGAAUUGGUGAGCUUGGGAGAGCCCAAGCUAAGCCUAAUAGAUAUAGCCGAGCCAUAAGCCUAUGUAGGCACUCGCCCUAAUCGGGCACUGAAAAUAGAGAUUGUGACAAGGAACAUGCCCUAGUUUUUGUUGCUUUCUAAUAAAAAUGUUUCUUCUAAUUCAAAUAAUUUUCUUCUUAGAGAUUCUUGCCUUCAGAGUUUGGAAAUGACGUGGAUCGUGUCCAUGCUAUGGAGCCAGCAAAAAAUGCAUUUGCUAUCAAGGCCAAGAUUUGCCAUCUUAUUGAGGCUGCGAGAAUCCCUUAUACGUAUGUAUCUUCUAACUUGUUUGCAGGUUACUUCCUCCUAACAUUGUCACAACCUGGGGCUACAGCUCCCCCUAGAGAUAAAGUUGUUAUCUUAGGGGAUGGAAAUGUAAAAGGUAAGAAGCAACUUGAGAUUCACAUUUUUAUUCAUUGAGAUUUUUCCAUAAAUUUUUCACAACUUUAUCAUGGUAGUAAUCAAAAUGGGGCAAUUCUUGAAGCUUGAGAUUUCCAAGCAUCUUCUAUAUCUGGAGAUGUUGGCCAUUAGUCUUCUCUUUCAGAGAUUGAUAGAUGAUAUGGAAGUUUUGUGGUUUAUCUUAGCACAAUACCGCCUAGGCGGUAGAUCAUGAAGGUUAUUUUAAUGUAGUUGGGAUAGGAAAGAAUGUAUGGAUGCAAUUGUUUGGUGAUUCUGUUUAUUGAGAAAGUUCUUCUUUGAAUGCGAGCUGAACGGAACUCUAUGUAUAUCAAUGGCUUAUAUUUAUUAACCAAAUUCUAAAAUUCUCCGUCAAUACACAGUGGUUUUUAACGAGGAGGAUGACAUAGGCACCAAUACCAUCAAAGCCGUGGAUGAUUCGAGGACCUUAAACAAAAUUCAGUACAUCAAACCUCCUGCCAACACCUACUUGUUUAAUGAUCUCGUGUCUUUGUGAGAGAGAAAGAUCGACAAGACCUUGGAGAGGAUUUAUGUUGCAGAGGAGCAAGUUCUAAAUAACAUUCAAGGUCAGGUAUUAGAUUUAAGCACGUGUAUUGUCUAUCUCUCUAAGAGAUUUAAGUAUUCUGAAGUCAAUUGGUCUACUUGUAUUGUCAUCUUGCAGAGGCGGUAGUUCUACUCAAUGUGAUAUUGGCCAUAUCUCGUUCUAUUUUCGUGAAAGGAGACCACACCAACUUUGAGAUUGAGCCGUCUUUCGGAGUGGAAGCUUCAUAGCUCUAUCCCGACAUCAAAUACAUGACCGAGAACCAGUACCUUGAUCCAGUUUGUCUGAUAGCCGAAACUGAUUGUAUUUGAUAGGUUUCUCACAUCAGUUUGAAUCAUGAAUAAUAUAGGAUUUUGCUAGUUAGGAUCCUUGAGUGAAAUAUGGCUCCCGCCGAUCAUCUUAUGGCGUGUACAAACUCCAAAUACGAGGACAUACUAUGAACAUUUGAUGUGUGUGCAUUUAUGCAGUGCUUAGAGAAGUUACUCCUGUUUUGGAGUUUGAUAUGGUUUUAUGUCCAAGCUAUGGUAAGCUAAAAGUUAGACACGGGUUUCUCUAAUUUUGUAUGUUAUAUGUGGUUCGUCCUCGGUGUGGGUAUGAAUUGGAGCCACAACGCCGAGCUUUGCCCCAAGCAUGUGAGGUCGACCCUUGGUGAGGGCAUUGAGGCCUUCGCCAAGGCCUGGCGAUUGAUGGAAGAAGAAGAGGAAACAAGUACGUAAGAAAUGAAAAGAACCCAAAAAGAAAAAAGAAGGGUAAAAAAGAGACCGAAAAGAAUACCAUUUUUUUUUCAAUUCAAAAUAUUUUUCAUGUGAGCAUUGGUCGUGUUAUGUUAGAAGGCCAACGACACUGAUUGUAUCUAGAAAGUAUUGACACUCUUUGAGACGUAUCCGACACUCCAACACGUGUUCAAUAUGCUUUGACAUGUUCUGACACAUGGUCAAUAGGUGUUGAAAAAUCUGACACGUGAUCAACUCUCCUAACACGCAAGUUCGGUGUUACAAUUUAACACCUUUCGAUACGCACGCGGUCAACAGAUAUCGAAAAAUCUGACACGUGGUUAACUCAUCUAACACGGUUUGACAUGCGAGUCCAGAAUUCUAACACGUGAUUUCGACAUGCACGGGUCAAUUUUAAAAAUUUGCAAUAGAUGACGAGUCAAAAUGUAAAUAUGUACAAAAAUAAAUAGCAAUAAAAAUAAUAAAAGGGAGAAAGGAGAAACCUAAUCUCCUCUUCUCUUUUGACUUUCACUUCCUAUAAUUCACAAUUUUUAGUGUAAAUUCAUUCUAGUCUUUUUUUUUAUCAUUAUUUAUUUAUUUGGGAAUUUGAAUUGAAUUAAUUUGAUUGAAAUAAUCAUAUAAAUGAUAAUUUGUCAUGUAUAUAUAAAAAUAUAUAUAUUUAAUAUACGAUGUGCCCUAAUGUGUUCAACUUUUUUUUUUCUUUUUUUAGAUAUGAUGUGUCGGCAUGUCGUGUCGUGUCAUUUUACGUGUCGCGUAUCGGUGUCGAUGCUACUUAGGAUUAUAUUGCAAGGUAAAACGUUAAAAAAUUUAGAACUAAAUUGAUCAUAUCAAAAUAAUUAAAAUUGAGUUGGUAUACAUGUCAAAGGUUUAACAACUUUUUACUAAUCAUUCCAUAUUUCGACACUCGGGUUGUGGCUUUUUUCUCCCAUAGAGGUUAUGAAUUACAAAUAUAGUAAUUUAAUGUUGGCCAAUUUAAGAACGGUAAUCUUUUGUCAACCCUCCUAGGAAAAAGAAUUUAUUGAACCUCGAAACAAUAGCAUAGCGGCUAUGAAGCUGUAUAAUAUCAUGCUACUAUAUAAAUGUAGAGUAGCUCAUUGCCCAUUUCAUACCAUUUUCUUAUCUUUGUCAUAUGAUAAAAAUCAACGUAAAAAGGUAGUUUCAACUAUUUCCUCAUCAAUGACGAUAACUCAAAUUUAUAGCACUAUCAAAAUUAAAUUUUCUUGUUUUUCGCUAAGUUAAAAUCUAUUUUACUUCACAAUAAUUUAGUUCGUCACUGAAAUCAGACAAAAUCGUUAUCUUCUCUCUAUUAUUCCACUUUCCAUGUACCAUUUAUCCAAUGAAGGAUUUAUCUCAACAAGGAAAAUUAUUUUAAUGAAAAGACGAUUAUGCCCUUCCGGAAUCAUCCAAUGACUCUCUAUCCUAUCACGAAGACAAGAACCGCCACCUUUUAGCCCGCCACCUUUUAGCCCGCCCCCUUUUAGCUCUCUCUCUCUCUCUAUAUAUAUCAACACAUACACACGUACAGUUAUAACAGAGUCACUUUUGAGACCGAUCAAGAUCACCAGGAAGAACGACGCCUCCGCUGUGAAAACACCCACCGAGAUGGCCGAAAAGAGCAGAGUCCUGGUGAUCGGAAGCACCGGAAGCAUCGGAAAGUUCAUCGUGGAAGCAAGUGUUAAGUUCGGUCACCCUACCUUCGCUCUCGUGAGGGAGUCCAGUCUCUCCGACCCAGCCAAGGCCAACAUCGCUGAAGGUUUCAAGAGCUUAGGCGUCAAUUUACUUUACGUGAGUAGUUCUUUUGAUGCAAUCCUGUUCGUUUCUUGCAUUUGGUGCUCCUUUGAGGAAUCGAAGCGUCCCCUGCCGUUAAUCUCAUCCGUUGUUUCGAGAAAUGUCUUUAACCGUAGAAUCAGAGUCGCCUUUUAUCUCAAUCUUUCACAAGAUCGAGUUGAUAUUUGCCGUUUCUCUUUCCCUCCUCUAGCAAUUUGUCCCUGUGUUAUUGGUCAUUUUUCACAUUGACUGACGAAGCGCCUCAGCUUCGCAUUCUGAUACGAAGUACGAAUAGAAUACAUUUCAAAACAAAUCUUAUGAAAACUUCCAUAUUUUACGUACUGCCUAAAUGAACUUGUAUAUAAAAGUGAAUAUGACUGACCUAUAAUUCAGAUGUCACCGCAAAUCCCUUGCUAUAACCUUUCAAAAGAUUGGUAAGCAAUGUGUGGACAAUAAUUAUGUGGAUGCUUUAUUUCUUAUAAUACUUUUUCUCGUCUGGUGAAGCUAUUGAGGUCUUAUCUACAUCAGACUUCAUAUCUAUCCUUUUUCAUAGUCUUUCUACUGGCCCAGAUAGGAUUGAUUGAUGAUUGGUGACUUUAUUGAUUGUUUGUCCAUGCUCUUGGUUAUUUGAUUCUCAGGGAGACGUCAAUGAUCAAGAGAGUCUAUUGACUGCGAUUAAGCAGGUUGAUGUGGUAAUCUCUGCUGUGGCGCAACAACAGGUAGCGAUCCAAGAUAGGAUUGUUGCAGCCAUCAAAGCAGCCGGGAAUAUCAAGGUGUGCAGUUUAUAAUAAUUUCAUGCAAGUUACCAUUGCUCAUUUAAUAUUUGACUGAUGAUAUAGGAUGGUGCAAGCUUAACUCUUUUCUUCUGGGAUUAGUGCAUCACGUUCUCCUUGUGAGCUCCACUCCGAUGAAAUGGGAUGGAUUCACUUACUUAUCUGUAGACUUCACUUCUUUCCUUUUUAAACGGUCAUGACUUUCUAUAGAAGUCGUCAAUGAAAUUUGAGGCCUACUAUUUCAAAUCCAAGUACCGGACAAUGCCGGAUUCACUGUGGUUGGGUUUCCUCUAGGUCAAUGAAAAAAGUAAAAGGUUUCAAGCACUCGAUAUGGAUUAUGGUCAUGUACCCUAUCCUUUGAUCAAUAAUGGGAAACAUGAACUACCUAUUCCUUCAAAAGGUUUUUUUCGUUAAAAUUAAUAUUAGAGCGAGUAAGUUUUCAAAACCCAACUGGUGGAUAAUUUAGUAGUUGUUGCCUAGGGGGUUGACGGUCGGUAAAUAGUGGAGCUUAGCAGGCUCACAAAAGGCAAUGUACUCACCUGACAUUUUAUUUCUUGUGAAAAGUGUACAAGCAAGCAGCAUCGUUGCAUAUUUUAUACUUGCCAGAUUUAUCUGGCUAUUGCCGUAACAAUUAAAUUUUCAGUUUUCUUUUCUUCUACUUUUCUAAUAGCACUUAAUUUCUAGUCUUGAUUCACUUAUAAUCAUUUUUACUAUAUUAUAGUCCGUUUGGAAAAAAAAGAAAGUGAAAUUCAGUCUUAUGUAAGUUGUUUCCUUUGUUUGCUCCGUUAUAGUCACAUGUUGAAGAAAAAAGUCAAACAUUGUCACAUAUGAGUUUGGUUUCCUUUUUUUUGCUAGAACUCAUGUAAGUUUGUUGGAUGAGGUGAAUUUGCUCUAGCUUUUUGUUGCUUUCUAAUAAAAAUGUAUGUCCUGAUUCAAUUAAUUUUCAUUUUAGAGAUUCUUGCCUUCAGAGUUUGGAAACGAUGCGGAUCAUCACCAUGCUGUGGAGCCAGCAAAAACUGUAUAUGCUACCAAGGCCAAGAUCCGCCGCCUUGUUGAGGCUGAGGGAAUCCCUUAUACACAUGUGGUUUCUAAUGCUUUUUCAGGUUACCACCUUUCGAAUUUGUCACAGCUCGGGGCUACAGCUCCCCCUAGAGAUAAAGUUGUCAUCUUCGGGGAUGGAAAUGCAAAAGGUAAGAAGCAGUGUGUCGAAAUGCGCAUUUUAAUUAGUUCAUAUAUUUCUGGAGAUUUAUCACGAUUUAAUUACGAUAGUGAUCAGUGUGAGGGGCAGCUCUUGAAGCUUGAGAAUUCCAGGGCAACGUCCUUGUCUGGAGAUGUUGGGACUCUUACAUCCAUUAGUCUUCACCUUCAGAGACUAAUAGAUUAUAUGAGUGUGUCGUGGUUUAUCUUGGCAUAAUAUCACCUAGUGGGCAGCUAGUGAAUGUUCUCUUUAUGUAUUUGGUGGAGGAAAGAACAUAUGGAUGCAUCUGUCUAUUGGUUGUCUGAUGAAUCUGUUUACCGAGAGAAUUCUUCUUCAAUUCAAGCCGAAAGUAACCCUAGGAAGAUCAGUGGCUCUGUGAUUUAUUUAUUAGCCAAAUUGUAAAACUCUCCACCUCAAUAUGCAGUGGUGUUUAACACGGAGGAUGACAUCGGCACCUAUACCAUCAAAGCUAUAGAUGAUCCAAGGACCUUGAACAAAAUUAUGUACAUCAGGCCUCCUGCCAACACCAUCUCAAUGAAUGAGCUCGUGUCUUUGUGGGAGAGAAAGAUUGGCAAGACUCUGGAGAGGGUGUAUGUUCCAGAGGAGGAGGUUCUGAAGAAUAUUCAAGGUUAGGGCUGCAUUUCUAUUGGAUUUAAGCGCGUAAAUUGUCUUUGUUCUCUCUAAGAUUUAAAGCUUGUCCGGUCAUUGUAGAGGCAGCGUUUCCGCAGAAUGUGAUAUUGGCAGUACUCCAUUCUGUUUUCGUGAAAGGAGACCAAGCCAACUUCGAGAUUAAGCCGUCAUUCGGAGUGGAAGCUUCGAAGCUCUACCCCGAUGUCAAGUACACGACUGUGGAUCAGUAUAUGGAUCAGUUUAUUUGAUUAUCGAACCCGAUUGUGUUUGUUAAAUUUCUCACAUAAGCUUGAAUCAUAAAUAAUAUAGGAUGCUGCUUCUCAGGAUCCUAGUGUGAAAUGUUGCAUGCCCUGAUCAUCACAUGGCAUGUACAACCCCAAAGUCUGAGGACAUCCUAUGAAGUGCUUAGAGAAAUUACUUAUGUUUUGGAGAUUGAUAUUGGGUUCAUGGGCCAAGCCAAGCUAGCACAAAGAUGUGGGUUUUUCUACUUUUGGCUAUUGUAUUGUCUUUCACGUCUAAAUAAUUCACGGACGACCACUAUCGUGAAAGUCAGAUACUUAACGUAUUACCAAGGAUGAAAUUUCCGUCAUGUGCUAAUUAUGUAUAAUCUUAAAGAAUGACAAGUUAAAACAAACGUAAACCCAUUAGCGAAUUCCUGACAAUAUCGAGUUAUCGUUAAUGUUUCAAGGGCUUUUAUUGUAUGAAUUUUCCUAAUGUGGGCUUUUCAUCGACACGUUUAUAGUUUUUUUUUUUUAGCUGAUCACUCACGAGAUAACUAGUCUAUCUGGUGAAGCUAUUGAGGGAUUUUAACGCAAUAGACUUGAGAAUUUGACCAAAUAUCGUCGCUCGACUGUGCUAUCUGCAAGGGUCACUAUGGCAUUGAAAAAAUUGACGAGAGACCAUAGAUAGGUCGGUUCAAUAGAGGUAUGUAAUUAGUGUGUGGUUGAUUUCAUCUUAUUACAAAAUUCUCGUCGAAAGGCACUAAACCGAUUUUUUUCUGUCAUUUCUAUACCCUGUGCGGGUAUUUGAAAUCUCGAGAUUUUCACGACAAUCGAGAGUUGCCAAUGAGUCGAAGAUGCCCAAUGUGGCUUGAAAAUAAGCGACCAUGAGUCAAUUGCACUAAAAAUUCCUAAAAGAUGCUCGGUAAGUUAGGUCACGCUAAAAUCGUGCUCGGUUGAAAUUAACCGUAUAGUUAAACCUGAUUUCAAAAAUUGAGAAUUCUGUCAUGUCAUGAUUCAUUUUGGAAACAUUGACUCAUCCUUUAAAGAUUUUUCUACAAACUCGAGAUUUCGGCAAAAUUUCAAAGUAAGGCUAUUUUGGACUGGGAAAAUUAGAGGGCCAUUUUUAGUCACAUUUUUGUCCAUCAAGUUGGUUCAAUUGAUGAGAAAAAAUCAUGAGAUGGACGAUGGCAUCUCGGCUGAAUUUAUGGCAACGGAAUUGAGCCCAAUUGAUGAGAACUUGAAUCAAUUUGGAGGGAAAUUGUCCAAAAUUCGUAGGUCCUUGGAGUGUGCAACAUUUGGACCCUUGGAUGGCUUGUUAGGGAAGCCUUAGGUGUGCAAUUGGUUGAGGAUUGAAGGCUAAAGUGGUGGGGGUCUUUGUGAUGAGCAAAUGGGGAUAUUUGUGUUGACUAGAAGGCUUGGUAGCCCCCCUCUUGCUGUAGCUGUCUUCUUCUUCUUCAUUGGAGUGCUUUAUCCAUUGUUGAGUGAGUUUUGAGAGCUCAAAAUUCCAGAGAGAACCGGAGAAGACUCCCGUACUAUCGAUCGUCUCCCCUGCCGUCGUCGUGCAUCGUUGCGCCGCCCGUGCCCCGCACGUCUGCGUGCCCGUCUGCCUGCGUCCUAGCCUUCUAGCUGCAUCCCGAGCUGCCUUGGUCACCGUCAUAGCCUCAUUGGAGCUCCACCGUCGCCGUCCAGCCACCAUCAAGCACCAUUGUCGCCUGCUGCAGCCUCCGCCUCCGCCUCUCAUCCCGUAUUUGUUGACACCUAAAUUUUGGCGACCCGUUUAGUUAUUUAUCAAAAAAUUAGGGAUUAAUUUUAACCCCUAAAAAAAUAUUAGUUAAUUAAUUAAUUGCACAGCAUAUAGUUUUAGGUGCAUUCAUUUUAAUUUGCAUUUACAUUGGGCCGGUGAUAAAUGGGUUCAAAUUGAUGGUUCAGAACUUUAAUUUGGUGAAUUGGAUUAAGCCCACGAAGGGAGUAAAUCGGCCCAAGCCUGUAUCCUCGGAAAUAUUUUACGGAUUUAUUUGUGCGAGAUUUCAAAUUUUAGAAGAAUCCUCUUGCAAUCCUAAAUCAUAUCAAAAGCAAAUAUUGCAUUUGGAAAAAGGAAUUUUUGUGGAUACGGAUUUGGAAAAAAUAAAACCUUAACUUGUGAACUAUAAAUAGAUAAAAUGCGUAGGGUUUGAGGAGGAGGCCACAUGUUGAAUACUCGGCCACAUUGACGGGGGCUUUUCUAGGGUUUCUUUUGGUCAACUGAAAAGAAAAGAAAAAAAGUGAAGGAAAGUGAAAAGUAAAAGCAGAAGCAGCAGAGGGGAGGAAGUGAUUGGACAUUGACUGUUCAUCGUCUUCCCCACAUUCGCUGCCCCGGUUGCCAGCUUCUCUUCACCCGUGCCCGCGCUGCGCUGACGCCAUCAAAUCGUAAGCCGCUCGAACUCCCUCGUCACCCAAUCCGUCGCGCCUCCGCAGCUAUGAGCACCACCGCAAUCGGCAUCUAGCGACCGCAUCUCAGACCGCCCCCGGCGCCACCUCACCGCGACACCACACCAGAUGGGCCCGCUUCUGAUCAAUGCCUGCACCUGAAGUUUCUCGGCCCGCGACGCCCUUCGCCGGUGGUCCGAGCUGCUGCCGCACGCAUCUGCUCUGCCCCCAAUCCGACCGUGAAUCUACCCAGCCCGGAGUCCAAUCUCGCGUUCGCAAGACUACCAUGAUGUGUCUCCGUGAUCCAGCCCUGAAGCCUGAUGCCAGAGCCAUUCCUACUUUGCUGUCGAACCUUCCGCCCAGACGCAGCAACACCGCCCUGCCUUCGCCUGUGGUCCGUUUUAGCCAGCCCUCCACCCGAGGGACCAUCCGAGCCGGACCUGAGGUCCUCUGCUCGCAACGCCCAGACCCGGAAUCCCCUGCCCGCGACGCCCUGUGCCGAAGUCCGAACGUUGGCAAUUCUGACCGCGACACCCAUGUUCCGCCUACUGUCCCUGCUAUCCGGGUGCUUCCCUAUUCCUGCCGGUUCACCCUUUUCAGAGCUUCCUUGUUGGACUGACAACCUAUUGCCUUGGAGACCUGCGAGCAAGCCGUGCUUGAAAAAGGGAAAAAAAAUCAGAUUAGGUAGUUUUUAUUUUAUUUUUUAAUAUUAUGUUUUAAUGGAAUUGUUCUUAAAUAUAGGAUUGAUAUUAUGACAUGAAUUAGCCCCUCAAAUAAGGGAUUGAUAGUCUGAUUUUCACGCCCGAGAUCCGACUCACAAUCCCUUGCAAAAUCGUCAAUCCGAUCUCACGCCCGAGAUUCGAUUCGCGAUUUAAUUUAAAAUUGGCCAACCCGAUCUUAUGCGCGAGAUAUGGUUCGUCAAUUUUUGGAUAUCAAUCUUUUCUUGUUUGAUUUGCCGUCAUGGUGUUUGGAUUAAUUUUAUUUUCGUAAAAGGAAAAAAUCCAAAAAAAAUCGAAUUAGGAUUAAGUUUAUUUUAGAAUGUUCCUAGUCUUAGGGUUAUCUUGCAUGUUUAGAAUUGCAAUCUCAUUUCGAAUUUUUAAAUAAAAAUCCAAAAAAUGCGUUCAUUUAGGAUGUUAGUUUUCUUUAAUUUAAAUGGCACGUUUGAUUAUUUGGCAAUUUUAAAUUUCGAAUUUUAUAAAAAGAAACAAAAAAAAAUCAUCAUGCAUAUAUCAUGUUGAAUUAGGGCAUUCUUUGCACGUCAUUGCAUGUUUAUCAAUUAUAGGUAGAUAAUCUCUCCUAGAUAAAUUGCAUGUUUUUGUUAGGAAAAUAAAAAUGCCCAUGUCAUAUAGAAUUAGAUUCAUGAAAUGCAUGUCAUUUAGUGAUUGUUCCUAGGUUCAUUUAAUUAGAAAUUGUCCAUCAUUAGAUUAGGUCAUAUAAUAAAUGUCAUAGCUCGCAUAUUAAAUUACAUGUUGCGUGUCAUUUUUGUUGAAAUAAUUUUAUACGUCGUUGCAUUGCAUUACACGUCAUUAGAAUUAAGUCAUUUUGGUUAAUUUAGAUUGCAUAUUUAAUUAUUGCAUGUUCAUUAAGAAAUCACAAAAAAAUUUAUUCAUUCAUAUAGUUUAGGACAUGUUGCCAUGCCAUAUCACAUUGCAUUGCAUAUGGAUUAUAAUCUCGUUAAAAAAGUGAAAACGAAAAUUGAGUGAUGACGUGUUAAUUAGAAAUCAUAUCUAGAGUUGUUGAUGUGAAUUCUGAUCCAACACUGUAGAUGUUUUCGUUGCUAUGAGUUAAGUCUUGCAAUUUAUUCAUUGCUUUUCUUGGAUGUUAAAUUGAUGGUUUGUGCACCCGCAUGAUCGCCUCAUAUGUUAGGAAAAUAGAUUUAAAAUCAAUUCAAGCUGCCUGCCAAACAUUUUUCGAAAUAAAAGAGAAAUGUACCGAAAGGGCGUUAGAAAAAUCUAGCAUAACUAAGUCCCCGAACUCAUAGUAAAGUAAAUCUCCCGUUACUUUGCUUGGGUUUCUAAUCGACCCACCAAAAAAUAGAUUAGUGGCGACUCCUAAUUGAAAAUCAAUUGCAUGUUAAGAAUUUGAACCUAAGUCGCGAAUUGGUAUGGGCUUGGGAAAGCCCGAGUUAAGUCUAGGCAUAACAAUCCAUUAGCCAAAUCUUAGGUGGCUCACACCUGAAAAUUUGGUCAUGACAGUGUUGUUUCAACCACUUAGCUUGCUCUCUCGGCCUAGAGCAGAAGCCAAAGCUCAGCCCCUAGCUGAGGCUUUGUGGCCCGUUUUAGGCCCCGUCUGAACCUUCGUUGGUAUUGCCACAUGCUUGUUUAUUACUCACCUCUGCGUCGCCAUCGCCGUGGACUCACCAGCCCGCUAAAUCGGUGAGUUUACUUGCUAAACUUUGCUUGGGGAAUUAAUGACGUUUAGUGGAUAAUUAGUUUAGGCUAAGUGUGGAUUAGGUGGUUAGUUAGUUUGGAUUAGUGAUUUAAUCAUUUAGUUAUGCAUGUUAUGUGGUUAGAAUAAACUAAUUAAGGGCUAGAUAGAUUGUACUAUCUAUCUAGAUAGAUUCGGAAAUUUUCUAGGCCCGUUUAGGUGGUUAGAUUAGCAUUUUUGGCCUAAGUUAGUAUUUAUGUAUUUAAUUUACUUUAUUUAAUUAUUUUUGGAAUUUAUUUAAUUAUUUUAUAUUUUUCGAAAAUUAUACCAUAAUAGUCGAUAAUCGGAAUUUUGUGUUGAUUGCAGUGGUAUGUUUAGUUUAUGCAAUUAAGUGUUAAUUUGUGCAAAUUGGGUGGUGAUUGGAAUUUUGAUUAUUUAAUCCAAAAUUGUGAAAUUUUGAUAUUUAAUUAGAAAACCCCAGGUGUCAGGUUUUAACACUGAAAGUGGUUUUAAAGACUAUAUCAAACAGUUGGAUUUUAAAAGGUAGGAUAUCAAUUUUUCUGGUUCAAAUUGAUCGUGUACCCGCACACAAUUAUUUUACCAUGUGUUUUUCAUACGAAGAAAAUGGGCCAAAUACAUUAUUUUAAUUUGGACAUUUGAAUGUAAAGCAUGAUGUCUUGGCUGAGAUUUGAUGGAUGCAUGAAUGGUUAUGAGAACCCGUCCCUGAAAUGAGUCGGAUGGACAUGCCCUUAUAUGGGAUGCUCUAGCAAUGGAUGGCGGAUCGCGGUAGAGGCCAGAUCAAAGCUCGUGCAUAGACUGCAUUUAGGUGUAUUUCCUUUCUAGUUGGAUUUUAGGGGGUGAACUUGCUAAGACAUUGUCUCGCCCCGUUAUGGGCUCAACCUUUUCAGGUCCUUAGAUGGUAGCUCCUCUAAAGCGUUUUGGCCAACCCAAGAGGGUCACCAAAUAGGUCUCUGAGAUUCUUCUUCCCGGGGGCUAAGGAGCUUGGGUCAAUGAGCUUGUGAGGACCAUUGUCUGGGUUAAUGCGGGUCUACCUCGAAUGGUAUCCCAUCAAUUCAGAACGUGGUAUCGUCACGGGUGAAAUGGACCUAGAGAAGGUCCUCUUUAGGAUUAUGAGAUCCUUGUGUCGAUGUUAGAAAUCGCUUUUGGCAAGGAUACAACCAACCCUCCUGGUGGUGCAGUCGUGGACCCAAAUUCCUAGGAGAGUUCGGGAUUUUCAGCUGCGGGUUCGAAUGCCUAGAGGACCUGUAGAUUUUAUGCUUUUAUAGACUUUUGUUUAUAAACUAGUAUUGUAAAUAAACUAGUCGACUGUGUAUAAAGGUGUGUUAUAGUUGUGAAAUCAUGGUCCUGCUUUUCUAUCCCAUCUUUGUGCUAUUUGGGGAUUUAUUUAUACACUUCCACACGCACAUUAAAAUGAAUGGGUCAGCGACGCGUCUUGGGACGUUGCAAUUUAAUCGACCACCGAGGGAUGGGCACACACUCGAGGAUCUAGGCGUGACAAAACUCACCGGUUUAGCGAUCCGGUGAGUCCACAACGAUGGCGACGCAGAGGCGGGCAACAAACAACCCUGCGGCAACACCAACCAAGGCCCGGAAGAGACCUAAAACCGGCCUUGAAGCAUCACAGCCCUUGCUAGCCUUCAGCUUUUGCUUUGGGCCAAGCAAGUUGAUACCAGCGGCUGAAACGGCAAGGCGGGCGGACGGGCGGCUGCAAUGGGCUAGGUGGAGGCAAACAGCAACUGGACAAUGACGGCGGGGCUUCGAUGGCAACCAGGGACGACUAUUGGAUGGCGAGGCGAUGCGAAUGCUAGUGGUUAGGCACGAUAGAGGCAUGAGCGAGCGAGACGUCAUGCGACAGGUUGGCAGACGUGAGCGGCGGGUGCGGUGGCUUGGGAGGCUAGUCAACGAAAAGGGGAGAGCUACUCUGCUUUCCUCUGGUUUUUGGAGCCCAAAAUGGACAACAAUGGUUAAAGGUGGCCCUAAGCUUGAAGAAGAAGCUGCUGAAGACUUGGAGGGUCCCCCUUGGCCACAAAUAUCCUCUUCUUGAUCAUUGGUUGCCCCCAUCAGCUUUGCCCUAUCCACAGCCAACUUUGCAGCAUCAAAACAUCCCCUAGAAGCUUCCUUUGAUGCCUCAAAUGUUGCACACCCCUUGGCCUAUGGAUUUUGUACACUUUCCAUCCAAAUUGAAUCAAUUCCCCUCUAAUUGAACUCAAUUUGACGUCUAUAAAUCCAACCAAGGUGUCCUUGUCAAAUACAACAUUUUUCCUCACCAACUGAACAAACUUGAAUCUCAAAAACGCGACAAAAAAUGGUCCUCUAAUUUUCCCAGACAAAAAAUGGUCAUACUUUGAAAUUUUGCCAAAAAUCCCGGUUUACCGAAAAGUCAUUAGAGGAUGAGUCGAUGUUUCUAAAAUAACGCGUGACAUGUUAGAACUUUCAAUUUCACAGUUAAUUUUAAUCUAGCGCAAUUUUAGCGUGACCUAAUCUACUGGGUAGCUUUUAGGAAUUUUUAGCGCACUUGACCCAUGGUUGAUUAUUUUCAAGUCACAAUGUACAUUUUCGACACAUUGGCAACUCUCGGUUGUCGUGAUAAUUUCAAGAUUUCAAAUGCCAACAUAGAGUACAAGUUUAACAGAAAUUUUGCAAUUAGGUAGAAUCACCCACGCACUAAUCAUAUAUCUCUGUUGAAUCAACCUUUCUCCAGUCUCUGAUCAAUUUUGAUAGUAUCGUAAUAACCCUUGCAGAUUAGCACGGUCGAGCAGUCGAUUCCUCGUUGAAUUCUCAAGUCUAUUACGUUAAAAUUCCUUAACAGUUUCACCUGAUAAAUUAAUUUUCCCGUGAGUAAUCAAUUCAGGGAAAAGAACUAUAGGCACGUCGAUGAAUAUCCCAACUCAUUUAAUCAAAGACAGAACCUGAAAUUCAGGAUGUCACAUAUUUUGUCGACAUAACAAUCAAUUUUCUAGGUCAAAUUCAGACAACUUUUGGUAUGUCAAGUUGUUGUUUCAAAACAAUUUACGCCAUCAGCCAAAUUCAACAAAAUCGAUAGAUAAGUACUUUACGUGUGCUCAUUCUCCACCGUGAAUUUCUUCCGUCUUUCGUGGUCACUUUUGUAUGUGCUCAUUUUCCGAGUGAGGGAUGCUGGGUGUGGGGAAAUCAAUUAUGCCCUUUCGGAACCAAAAUAAAAUGACGAUUCAUCUCGAUGCACGCCAAUAAGCAACAACAGUUGUAGCACAAGACCGAGCAACUUCUCUAGGAAAAACCACACCUCUGCCUUGAAAGAACCCUUUGAGAUGGCUGAAAAGAGCAAAGUGCUGGUGAUGGAAGGCAUUGGAUACAUUGGAAAGCUCAUUGUGGAGGUGAGUGCUGAGUCCGGUCACCCUACCUUCACUCUUGUGAGGGAGUCCGCUCUCUCCGAUCCUGCUAAGGUUGGCAUCGUAGAAGGUUUCAAGAGCUUGGGUGUCAAUAUAUUCUAGGUGAGUAAUUAUUCACGUGCGGUUGUGUUCCUUCGCCAUUCUGAGAAAUGUUUUUAUCAAUAGGAUCGAAGUUGAUUUUUAUAUUUAUCUCUCACUUGAUGAGUUGAUGGAGUCACAUUACGAUAUGGCGUUGCUCUUUCUCUUCUUUGAUAUUUUGUCUGUGUGCAUGGUUGGAAUCAGAAAUCAUGUCCCUCUUCUUUUUAAAAUGCUUGAUGAGAUCUCAACUUUGGAUGAUGAUAUGAACGUGCACAUUUUCAGAUAAAAUCUUGUGGAAACUUUGGUAUGCUUUGGCUAUUUAUGAGGCAGCUAUAGCUAUGUGGCUGCACUUUGCUGCAUAGACAAAUCUUGUGGAUGAUUGCCAACUUCAUUGAUCGUUUGUCCAUGCUAUUUGUUAUUUGAUUCUCAGGGAGACAUAUACAGUCAAGAGAAUCUGUUGAUUGCAAUUAAGCACGUUGAUGUGGUAAUCUUUGUUGUGGGAUGAGCACAAGUGAAGGACCAAGACAGGAUUGUAGCUGCCAUUACAGCAGCUGGGAAUAUCAAGGUGGUGCCAUGCCUAGUCAUUUCAUUUCAAGUUACUAUUGUUGGUUUAGCAUUUUGUUGACACCUAAAUUUUGACAUCCUCGUCAUCUAUUUAUUGCAUAGAAUAAUUAGGAUUAAUUUUUAACACCUAAAAAAAAUCAAGUUGUGUAGCAUAGAGUUUUAAGAGCAUUGUUAUUAUUGCAUUUGUAUUAGACUGGUAACGAAUGGGGGUUUGAACCAAUAGUUCCGAACUUUAAUUUAACAAAUUGGACUAAGCCCAUGAAGAAAGGGAAUUGGCCGAAGCCCGUUAUUCUCUGAUGACCAAUGUUGACACCUAAUUUUUAUUUUUAUUUUCAAGCACACAAAAAAAAAAAACAAACAAAACCAAAAAAAAAAACAAACAAACAAAAGUUGAUACAAAAAAAAAGAAGAAGGGCCGCGGGGGUCGGGUCGGGCCGAUCCAGCCUCGGCUCGACCUAUCCCUUUUCCUUUUCUUUCCCCCCACGUGGGCCUUGGGCCCAACUCCUCCCUUUUUCCUUUUUCUUUUUCCUUUUUGCACGGCGCGGCCCGUGCUCAUUUGUCUUCUCCUCUAGCCGUUUCUCGCGCGGGGAAGCAGUGAAGGAGAAAGCAAUCGCCAGAGCAAAAGGGAGGGCGUGCAGGGGACAUCAAAUCCACGUGGGGGGCAACGCGAUCCGUAGGCGAGCAAGCCAGCAAAGAGCGGGGUUGGUCAAGCGAAGCCACGCAAGCAAGUUGGGUGGAAAGGAGAAAAGAAAAGGGCAGAACAGGGGGGAGAAAAGGAAAAUCAAAGAAAAAAGGGGAAAAAACAGGGAAACACCGAGUGGAGGAGAGGAGUAAGAGAGACCCCGGAGCCAUUGAUCACUACCAUUGGUCACCGCCAGAGUUGCCAACCGCCUCCGACUCUGCUGGAGUCUAGGAAGCAGAACAGAGGUGCGAAGCAGAGGGCGACAGGAGGGAGAGAGAGGAGAGAGUGGGAAAGCCGUGGGAGAUCAGCCAAGAAGUAGGGAGCCCCCAGGACGCCUCGCCACUACUGGAGAGCCGCCUGUUCGUCGCCGUCCACUACCAUAUUUCGCGGAAUCCAGGUUGGCCUUUUAUCGAACACUUGACGUGCGAUUUUUUAUAUUGAGUUGGCCGGAGCUCGUUUCGCCUGUUUCAAGCGAGCUCCAGCCCCUUUGUCUGUCCCUGUUAUUUUCCUUAAAUGUCGGUAGGUCUCCUUAGGUCUUCAGGUCCGCGCUCAUGCUUCGGCCGAGCUGGAGGCUCUUGGUCUCGUCCAUGCACUCCACCUGCUCGCCAAAAUACCCAAUCGGGAGUUGUUUUUUGUUUCCUUUAGUUGGAGAUCUAGCUCGACCAUUAGGCUGCUGGAAGGGAUGCUAUUGUCUAGCCGGAGGACGAGCAUCGUCCCCUGCCCUAGCCGGCACCGCCGUGCCCAGGCCGGAGAACCGCCCGAGCACGACGACAUCUCCCCCUGGUCGCAACUGGAAGUCGACCGACCAAAGGGAGGUCAACCAAGCGGGCUAGAUCUUGGCCCGCUCAGCCCUUCUCGCCCCGUAGGCCGAUGGCCUAGACUUGGUCUAGGUCGUGGGCCUGCUAGGAGCUCCUUUUGCGAAAGGGGUUGGGCCCAUUCGACGGGCCCAACUUGCACUUAAUUGCAAGCCCGACCAUUGGUCGGGCUUGUUCUUUUCCAAGUGGGCCAACGGCCCUAUGGUCAGGCUUGCUCUUUUCCAAGCGGGCCAACGGCCCGCCCCUCCCCAAUAGGACCGAACCCGAGUCCGGUCUCCAACGGGACUUGAACUGCACCGACCGACCCGAACUAGGGUCGGGUCAGACUGGACCCAACCCGGUUCACCCAAAAAAAAAAUUAAAAUAUUUAAAUAUUUAAAAAAAUUAUUUUAAAAAAAUUAAAAAAUUUAGAAAAAAUUCGAAAAUCAUAAAAAAGUAGGAUUUGGUUAGGAAAUGCCAUAUAUUGCCUUCUUAACCUAACUAGGCCUUUAUUUGCUCAUAUUUUGAUUAUAUCGCAUGUUUAGUUUGCAUAUUUUGUUUAUUAAUUGCACGUACUUAAUUUUAUGGCAAUUCGGAUCUUGGUAGCUAUGGUUGUUAUUUUAAUGAUUGUGCACCUGCAUGAUCACCUCAUAUGUUAGUGGAUAUGUAUAAAAUCAACCCAAACUGCCUGACAACAAAUAUCUUCUUUUAAAAUGAACAAGAUUAGGUACCGAAAGGGCACUAAUUGGUCAAUUAGUGUAAUCAAGUCCCCGACCCUAAAUUCUCUGGUUGUGUAGGAAGUGUGGCACACUCCCAUACCUCACUUGGUUUCUAGCCGACCCCAAUAAACUAGUGGUGAUUCAUUUUUGUGAAAAUCUUUAAAAAUAUCCCAAUGUCAAUCGAUGUAUGGGCUUGGGAGAGCUCGUGCCUAAUCAUGGAACUUAAGUCCGUCCUUUAUGCAAUACCCCUAAACCUGUUCUCUCCCCCCGAGGGGUAGGUCGCGACAACCAAAAAUUGGCUUAUGAUGAAUGGUGAUUUGAUAUUUUCGGUGAUAUGGAGUUGGAUUUUUUGUAUAUUCAUGCAAUCCAUUCAUAUAUCCUUAGUAAGGGUAAACGUGGGAAGGAAAUAUUGUGAUCACAUCUUUGCAAGGUUCAAAAUCUAGGAAAACUCUAUUAUGAUCUUGAAUUUUUGGCAAUGCUUGAUCAAUAAGUGGGCUAGUAUUUGGGUUAAAGAAAUAAAAUUAGUGGAGAAUAUUCAUCUUGCAUGGUCCAAUGUGGAAAGAUACGAUCAUAUGCACAAAGGAAAUUCGGAACAUAAAAGAUUAGCACCAGAAGGGAAUGUCGGGCUCGUUCUUCAUUGAAAGCGCAAGGAUUUGCAAAGAAAAGAUAUAUGCCUACAGAGAAGGCAUUCAAUCAAUGAGGAAGAGGAAAGGAAAUAGAAUAUAUUUUAAAGCAUGAACAGAAGGAAGCAAACUAUGCUUUAUUUCCUUGAUGGUUUACACCCUUUCACUAUAAAUGGACUCAUUACAGGACAGAGAGGGGGGCCACACAAUUGAGAAUACAGAGAGAGAGAGAGAGAGAGAGAGAGAGAGAGAGAGAGAGAGAGAGAGACCUCCUGCCACACCUACUUGAUGAAUGAUCUCGUGUCUUUGUGGGAGAGAAAGAUUGGCAAGACCCUAGAGAAUGUUUAUAUUCCAGAGGAGCAAAUUCUGAAGAAAAUUUGAGGUCACAGAUGCAUUAAUAUUAGAUUUCAGCAUGUGGAAAUUGUCUAUAUUCUCUAUCAUAUUCAAACCUUUUGAUGUCCAUCGAUCUACUUGUCCACUCAUAUUAUAGAUGUGAAAUCUCCAGAUGAUCUGAUGUGGGCCAUAUACCAUUCUAUUUUUGUGAAAGGAGACCAAACUAACUUUCAAAUUGAGCCGUCAUUCGGAGUGGAAGCUUUGGAACUCUACCCCAAUGUCAAAUUCAGUACCAUGGAUAAGUACCUUGAUUAGUUUGUUUGAUUGUCGAAACUUACUGUGCUUGAGGAUUUGAUUUCUCACAUCAGCUUGGAAUCAGAAAUGGUAAUAGAAUUCUGCUUCUUACGAACCUAGUGUGAAACGUCGCUCCCAUUGAUCAUCUCAUGGCAUUGUACAACCUCCAGCUAUUAAGACCUACUAUGGGUGCGUUUGGGACUUACUUUGCAAAUGGGCUUUGGCCACUUAAAGGCCUUUUGGCCAAAUAUUAAGUGUUUGGGAAAGGUUUUACAAACCCCAUUUGGGGAAGGCUGGCUUUCUAAAGGCUGGAAGCCCAAGGCUAGUCUGGGGGUGCCUUGAGCUUUCAAGCUUCAGGAAAGGCUUACGAGACACUAUUCAUCAAAUUUGCGAAACACUAUGCAUCUUCUUCAUUGAGGUGGACAUUCAGGUUGAGCAGGGUCAUGAAUGGCCGAUGACGAAGUAGAGAGAGGCUGGUGACGAUCACAACCACCCAAGUGACGGUCGUCGGUGGGUCGGGUGAUUUGGUCACGCGACUCUUGCUGAGACCCUUGCCUGAGGUCAUUGGGGUCGCGCGACCCCCGGCACAGUGGCCCUCGCCAAAGGUCUCGCUUGGGUCUCGCGACCCCCGGUGAGAUCGUCGCCUAAGGUCGCGCACCAAGCAGCCCUUGGGCCACACAACCUCAAGCAAGGGUCUCGCCGGAGGUCACGAGACCCAAGCAAGACCUUUGGCAAGGGCGGUUGCGCCGGGGGUUGCGGAACCCCAACCGAGACAUUGCCGAGGUCGUCGGCACAGGCGAGCUCGCCAAGGCCGCACGACCUCAAGCAAGGGUCUCGCCUAUGGGUGGCGACCUCGACGAGGGUCUCGGCCGGCAUUGCGCGACCCUUGCCAGGGGUCGCUCGACCGCAGGUGACCCUCACCAAGGCCACGCGAUCUCAGGCGAGGGUCUCGCCUGGGUCACCGGCAAUCGCCCGACCCCAGGCGGCCCUCGCCGAUGGUCUCUGAGGGCCGCCUAAGGUCCGACAACCUCAAACGAUGGCCGCCGUGGCACUUAAAGUCCUUUACAUUUUCCCAAGGAAUUUUCGCAAAAAUCUAAUCAAACACACCCUAUGAAUACUGAGUGUGUGCUCAUCUGUGCUGUGUGCUUGGAGAAGUCACUUAUGUUUUGGAGUUGUUUUGGGUUUAACGACUAGCUAAUGAAUAAAAAAAGGAAAAGGGUUUAUGGUGUCAUGCCAAAAGCCUUUUGGGUAAAACCUAAUUGACUUCUCAACCCUAGAAGACUUAAUUAGACAAAUUGAAAGUACAAGGAAUUAAUUAGAACAGGGGUGAAAAGUAUGAAUCUUCCUUUUUCAUUCACGUAGUAGAGCAUAGUUGAUACUCACUUUUCUGAAAUCAAGUACUUUGUCGGUACUUUGUCGGUCUUGGAAGAUCUCCUCAGAAUCUAAACUCGAGGUUUACAUAGUAGAUUUUUUUUAUAGAAGUCGGUAAGGAUGAUAUUUCUAUCACCAAUUGUUGAAGGGUAAGCUUAAAGAAUAGCAAGUUAAAACCCAUUGAUAAUACCUUGCGGUGUUGGAUUAUCCUUAAUAUUUCGAGGACUGUUAUGGGCAUGGAACAAGCAAGAAGAAAGAGAGGCAUGUGUCACGGUCUGUGAAUCCUCCCAUACUCAUGACACUUGUGAAUGGUGCUUGGGGUUAUCGAGUGAAGAGUGAGGAGGCAGAAGGGACGAACACAACUGGUUCGUGGGAGUGGCGUUAGGACGGUUGGUGCUGGGAGUUCUAGGAUAGAAAGAUUAUAUCACUUAGGAGCUCUGAAGGCAAGGAUAGCCUCCCGUGCACAAAUUGGUGGGGAGCUGAUGCCGCUCUCCUGACGAGGCCAUGGCAGGCCGAAACCAGUUAUUGAAGCUAAAGAGAUCUACUGUCUCACUUGAUGGACUAGAUACUCGAGCGAAGUUGAGCAUGGUAGGAUCUCGCACGAAGAAGCAUUCAUCGUAUAGUUCAUGGAACAGCUAAAGAAGAAAGGCUGGCCUGGUGAAUUCUGUUCGUCAGGCACCGCACGGGUCGUUCCGAGGCCAAGGAAACUCUCGGCCUGUGACAAGUGGUAUCAGAUCAAGAAUCCCUCUAGUAAGUUAGCAAGUCGGAGAAUUGAACUUCUCGCUUUAGUGCAGGUCGAACUGAUAAGUGCCCGGUCCGGUCCUAGUGAAUGAAGAGUGAAUGGAUGGGGCAAAAGAUGCUCAAACGAAGCUGGGCUCUCUAUUCCUAGGAUGGCAUUGGUACUAGGACAAGUCAAUUCCUUGCCAAGCUGAUAGGGAGUUGGAGAAGAACCGAACCCUUACUGAAUAGGGAUAACGUUCCUGGAUCGAUCGAUGAAUUCAAAGAAGAUGUCUACUGCCACGUUUUCAACAAGGAAAGAACCUCCAUUUGGUCUGCUUGGGUCAAAGAAGCUAUGUAGGCAAAAUGGUGCUGCCAAAAGAAAUGCCACACUCUCCAAAGAAAACGCAAGUGACCGAGAAAAGCCAAGUGGUUGAGAUCAAAAAAAGGCUAUCAAUGGAGCAAAACCUAUUUUGUUGGGCGAGCGUGACCAUUCGAUGUGAAAUCCCAAAAAGUGGCACAUCAAUGGUUAAGGGACACAAGGAAGCGACAGAGCAGAUUGCAACGAGGGCGUUGCAAAUUGAAUGGGGGAGAAUGUCACGGUUCGUGAAUCCUCCCGUACUCGUGACAUUUGUGAGUGGUGCUUGGGGUUAUCGAGUGAAGAGUGAGGAGGCAGAAGGGAAGAACACAACUGGUCCGUGGGAGUGGCGUCAGGACGGUUGAUGCUAGGAGUUCUAGGAUAGAAGGAUUAUAUCACUUAGGAGCUCUGAAGGCGGGGUUGGCCUCCCGUGCACAAACUGGUCAGGAGCUAAUGCCGCUCUCCUGACGAGACCAUGGCAGGUCGAAACUAGUUGUUGAACCUAAAGAGAUCUGUUAUCUCACUCGAUAGACUAAACACUUGAGCAAAGCUGGGCGUAAUAGGAUCUCGCACGAAGAAGCAUUCAUUGUAUUGUUCGUGGAACUGUUAAAGAAGAAAGGCUGGCUUGGCGAUUCCAUUCAUUAGGUGCCAAACGAGUCGUUUCGAGGCCAAGGAAACUCUUGGCCCAUGAUAAGUGGUAUCAGAGCAAGAAUCCCUCCAGUAAGUGAGCAAGUCGGAGAAUCGAACUUCUCGCUUUAGUGCGGGUCGAACUGAUAAGUGCCCGGUCCGAUCCUAGUGAACGGAGAGUGAAUGGCCGAGGCAAAAGAUACUCAAACGAAGCUGAGCUCUCUGUUCCUAGGAUGGCAUUGGUACUGGGACAAGUCGGUUCCUUGCCGAGCUGAUAGGGAGUUGGAGAAGAACUGAACCCUUACUGAAUAGGGAUAACGUUCCUAGAUCGAUUGGUGAAUUCGAAGAAGAGGUCUACUGCCACGUUUUUAACAAGGAAAGAACCUCUAUUUGGUCUACUGGGGUCAAAGAAGUUGUGUAGGCAAAAUGGUGCUGCCAAAAAGAUGCAAUUAACGAACAAUGUCAAACUUGCCAAAGAAAGCGCAGGUGACCGAGAAGAGCCGAGCGGCUAAAAUCAAAAAGAUGCUACCGAUGGAGCAAAACCUGUUUUGUUGAGCGAGCGUGACCAUUCGAUGUAAAAUCUCAAAACGUGGCACAUCAAUGGUUAAGGGACGCAAGGAAGCGACAGAGCAGAUCGCAACGAGGGCGUUGCGAAUUGAGUGGGGGAGAAUGUUACGGUCCGUGAAUCCUCCCGUACUCAUGACACUUGUGAGUGGUGCUUAGGGUUAUCGAGUGAAGAGUGAGGAGGCAGAAGAACGAACACAACUGGUUCGUGGGAGUGGCGUCAGGACGAUUGGUGCUAGGAGUUCUAGGAUAGAAUGAUUAUAUCACUUAGGAGCUCUGAAGGUGGGGUUGGCCUCUCAUGCACAAACUGGUCAGGAGCUGAUGCCACUCUCCUGAGGAGGCCAUGGCAGACCGAAACCAGUUGUUGAAUCUAAAGAGAUCUGCUGUCUCACUUAAUGGACUAGAUGCCCGAGCAAAGCUGAGCGUGGUAGGAUCUCACACGAAGAAGCAUUCACUGUAUUGUUCAUGGAACAGCUAAAGAAGAAAGGUCGGCCUAGCGAAUUUCGUUCAUCAGGCGUCGCACGGGUCGUUCCGAGGCCAAGGAAACUCUCAGCCCGUGACACAUGCAUGAUGAAUCUGGACACCUCACAAACCAAUUUCUUCACUAAUCAUGGUGGGCGCAGACUCGUGUCCUUUCCUAAUUAAGAAAGUCCAAUAAGGCGAUGUCUACGUAAUACUGUGUUUACUUUACAAAUUACGUAAAUUGCAAUUUCACAUUUCAUAUGAAUGAUCUAAGUAUAAAAUCUUUUCCAUUUAAUGAUAAAGAAACUAUCUUACUACGUGCUUAAUAUGUGUGUAUUGAACUCACUCUUUAGAACCGGAAUCAAUCUAAAAGUCUCGGUUUCCUUUUCUUAAGAACUUGUGAAUUUGAAAAUAUAGAAAUCUUAUGUUGCCCAAAAAAUCAAAAAGAGUAAUCUCUUGAUCAACCCCACUUUGGAAAGAAUCUAGUGCACCUCAAAACAAUCAUUUACCGAUAUGAAACGUUGUGAUAGCAUGCAUACCAUGCAAGCACAUGCACGUUGGAUAGCUCAUUGCCCUUUCAUAUUGUUUUCACUAGUCUUUUCAUAUGAUACAAAAAAAUAGUCUCAACUUUUAUUUACAUGAAAAAUCAUUAUAAGUUAUAAUAGUCUAAUAUUGAUUGAGAAACAAAAUCAUCAUACAAAAUAAAUUAGAAACUCUAAUCCUUCAAAAUUAAGAUUACUUAAAUCUUUAGCACCAUCCAAACUUAAGUGUAGAUUUUCUUAUUUUUAGUAAGUUUUUCACAAUAAUUUGAAUCAUCUCUCAAACUCGACAAAAUCUUUAUUGAAGUGCUUUAUAUUAGAUUUUAUUCUGUUUCUAUUAGUCCCCUUCGCACGUACAUCUUUUCCAGCUAAUGAUGAUAUCAAGAAGUUCACACAAACGACAUCUAUGCCUUUCUGAAAUAAAAAACAGAUGAACGAUUCAUCUCGGAUCCCGCCAACAUUUACGGCCCUAGACCGAGCAAGUUCGCAGGGAAAACCACACUGCUGGCAGAAAGAACGGGAAAAGUGUUAAAAAAAAAAGUCAAACAUUUUGCAUUUAUGCCAAUUUAAUUUUAAACAUUUUUUUGAUGCCAAUUAAAUCUUAAAUAUUUUUACGUUGUGCAAAUUUAGUAUUUUCCGGCCAAUUUCAGCCAGAUUUUACUAACUGAACAACGGCCGACUGACAUGAACAACUUUUAAUAAUAUUUUAAUAUUCUUUCUUUUCUUUUUUUCUUUUUUCCUUUUCCUCCUUCUUUUCUAGCCGGUCGCUGGCUCGAUGACCAGCUAGAGGCGACGGCCGACGAGGUCAACCUCGACCUCGCCGGCCACCUCGCUAGUGGCCGCAAGGGCGGCCUCAUGCUGAGCAGUGAGGCUCGCCCUUGCCAAAUCCGACAAGGGUCGAGCCCCACCCGCCCAGCGCAAGGCUGCCCUCGAGGCCUGGGCGACGAGCCUCACCUUCGUCAGAUCUGGCAAGGCUCACCCUCGUCGGAUCUAGCGAGGGUCGAGCCUCGCCCAUGGCUAGCAAGGACGAGCCCCGCCAACUCGACGCGAGGCUAGCUCGAGGCCACCCAGGCCAUGAGGGCGAGCCCUCACCGCCCAAGCCUUGAGAGUGGCCUCGCACUGGACAGGCGAGGCUCGCCCUCGCUGGAUCUGGCGAGGUCAAGUCUCGCUAGCCAUUGGCGAGGCUCAACCCUUGCUAGCGCAAGGCUUCCCUCGCGGCCGCCGGUGAGGUCGACCUCAACCUCGCCGGCCAUCGCCUCUGGCUGAUCGUCGAGGUCCGGCAACCGACUAAAGGACGAAGGAGGAGAAGGAAAAAUUAAAAAUUAAAAUAUUAUUAAAAUAUUAUUAAAAAUUGUCAACGUCAACGUUGAUUAGGCCACAUCAGCCGGCCGGCGUCUAAUCAGCAAAAUCUAGCCAAAAUUUACCGGAAAUGACUAAAUUGGUACAACGUAAAAAUGUUUAUGACUUAAUUGGCACCAAAAAAAAGUUUAGGACUUUUUUAACAUUUUUUUCCGAAAAGAAACUUAGGUGGCCACGAAGAACAAAGUCAUGAUGAUCGGAGGCAUUGCAUGCCUCGAAAGUACAUAGUUGAAGCGAGUGCUAAGUCCGGUCGCCUUACCUUUGCUCUCGUGAGGGAGCCUGGUCUCUCCGAUCCCACCAAGGUCAACAUCGCCCAAGGUUUCAAGAGCUUAGGCGUCAAAUUUUUCAUGUGUGUAUCGUGUUGUGAGGAGUCACUACGGUGCAAUUAUGUUCGUUUCCGACAUCAACUUGAACCAUAAGUUAUAUAGGAUUCUGAUUCUCCGCAUCCCGCUAAUCAUCUCAUGGCACGUGCAACUUUCAAUACGAGGACAUAGUAGGAACAUUUGAUGUGCGAGGCUUCUUUGCAACGCUUGGAGGAGUUACUUCUAUUUUGAAUUUGAUAUGAGUUUUUCUAUUUCUGUAUAGUAUACGUUUUAUGUCGUCGGUGUGGGUAUUGAAUUCGAGCCGCUGAUGAUGUACGAUAAUUCACCUAAUUUCCUGGUCUUAGACUAAAAUAUAAUUUUAUUUUAAGAGUCAUUUGUUUCGCAAAAAAUAAAUAAUUUGGAAGAAAAAAUAUCUCAAAAAUGAUUAUUUGUAUCGCUUAUAAAAUGAACGGACAAAAAAUAUUUCCAUCGUCUAUAAAAAUAUUUAGACAUAUUUUGUUGUUGAUAAUAACAACAUUUUUCAUCGACUAAUCAUUUAAAAUAUGCAAGUAAUCAUUUUUUAGAAAAAUGUUUUUUAAAUUAUUUAUUUUUUACGAAACAAAUACUUUAUAUAUCUAAAUACUUUAUUCAUUUUUCAUGUCUAAAUAGUCUGUAGGUAGUCAUUAUGGUGAAAUCAAAUACUUUAUAAAUCCUCGAAAAUCUGAAGGUAAUUGAAGCUCCGGGUUUCCUUAGCUGACGAAAUCUCCUUUCAUGAAUGAUAAACUUAAAAGAAUAACAAGUUUAAGGAUUCUUACUGCGGGGAACAAACAAGGCAAAGAAAAAAAGGCAAAUAUUCGAUUGAAUAUGGUACCAUAACAAUUAUCUACGUGAGGUCAAGUAAUAAUCUUGUUGAUCCAUUGAUGAAGGCUUUAUCAAGACAUAUGGUAAUAAUGACCUCACAAGAAAUAGGGCUGAAACCCUUUAAUUGAAAUCAUCAAUAAUGGUAAUCCGACAUUUUUUCUAAAACAUCACUAGUUACAAGGUUUAAUGGGUAAGAACAAGUUAUUAAAUGUGAUUAUUUGAUACUGACGUAACCCUAAAAAGUCAGUAUCGUCUAUUACGUUUUGUAGGUUAAAUUGAAUUCUUAAUGAAGUAUAAUACAAAUUUAUAAUGUGUUAAUAGUAAUAGAAACACAUGAUAGAUACUUCACCUAUAUGAGCUUAGAAGUGAUGCCGCUUCUUACGAAAGUGAGGGUUGCUUUCUAGAGAGCUCAUGAAACAGGAUCAAGCACAAGGCUAUAAUAGUGCAGAGUAAUAUAGAACUUCUUGCUAAAACAAGAGGUUAGUGUAUGUACAGUAUGUCCGAUUCUAUUACAUAAAAGUACAAAUUUAAAGCCGAGCUAUUUGUCACUUUGAUAGAGCUUUGAUAUACUUGCACUAAGUAAAAGUUUAAUUCGAAAGAGACCUUUAUAUAUGUAUAUUAUUCUUACUGAAAUUUUGGUUGUACGGUUUUAAAAUUUUAAUUUUGAAAUCUUUGUUUUACAAACAAAAUGGGGGAUUGUUGGAGGUUUGUUUGUAAAAAUAAACUAAGUGCAUUUUCCUUGUCUCACCUAGGAAAAGUGGGAAGAAGUGGGCCAAUUAAUAAGUGUGGGGUUUCCUUUGUGUACCUAAAGGAAUGAUUAGGUGGGGCUAGACCCCACCAUAUCCGUGUGCGAGUGCGCAAUUUAUUUGGCGCACUUUGCGCGCCCGCGGUUUAAUUAACACUAACCCCUUUGUUAUUUUAUUUUUUCUUUCAUACGGUUAUCUUAUUAACUUUAAUCAAUUCAAAUGUUGCUUUUUAGUUUUGAGAAUUUUCGAAAAUUAUUAAAAAAUAAAAAUUCGAAAUUGUAUUUAUUUUAAAAAAAUUAUUAUUUCGAAUUUUUAUUUGUGUCUUUUCAAGAUAACCUUUGAAAAAGAUAUUUGUUCAAUUUGCAACUUUUCCCGAAGGGUUGCAAUUGUUCAUUUUUUAACUUCUUCCAAAUGGACACCUUUGUUUAUCUAGACAAUUUUUGAAAUGCCUUGUUUGUUCAUUUUUUUUGCAAUUUUUCACGAAGAGUUGCAUGUGUUUUAAGAGUGUUUUAUAUAUAUAUACAUGUCAGUUUUCGGAAAAAUGAAAGUGAUCAUUGUUUAUCUUUUCGAGCAUUCUUUCUGAAAACUACAGCCAUCAUUUUAAUUAUUUCCUGGAGAGGCCAUGGAGAAAUACUAGAAUUGUUAUCUAAUAUUCUUAUUUUGAGACUUUGUUGUAUCUUGAAUGAUAUUUGCCGGUAACUAUUAGCAAUGUUAUGGGGCAAAUAACUCCUUAAAGAAAAUGAUAUUACAUCUCAAAGUCCGACUUGAGUAUUCUAAAGAUCCAUCUUCAUUGUUUUACCCAAUUCGAAGCCAUAUUUUCCCAACAUGAACAACUCUCGAACCAGACUUGCAGAUGCUGGUCUGACUCGAUGAAUCCUUCCGUAAUUUGCUUACUGCCUACCAUCCGCGUGGACUCUUGUGUCCUUUUCUUUUCAAGAAAUCUACGGUGUGGUGGCUUUUAGUGUGGAUAUCUUCCUUUUUGUGAAUGAUUUUUCGUAAAUUCAUCCAUUUACGGUAGCUAAGCAUGUGAAAUUAUGAAAAGCAAAUUUCAGGAAACCCUUUUUAGCAAAACAAGCACUCAAAGGUCACCAAAAAAAAAAAAACAAGCACUCAAAUGAUAUGCAUUUUCAAUUUCGAAUUGGUGAUCUAAACAUUGAAUCUUUUGCAUUUAAUGAUAAAGAGUAUCAUUUAUAUAUGUCUAAUUUACUAGCAUCAUGCUCCCUAUUCAAUCAAUGAGCCAAUCUAACAAGGUUAGUCUCCUUCAAGAAGUUAUGAAUUGUUUACAAGAUAAUGUUUUGUUGGCCAAAAAGUUAAAAAAUUAAUUAAUAUGGUUGAACCUAGAGGAAAAAAGAAAUGGCACCUCAAAACAAUCAUAGAGCGACUAUGAAGCUCCGUGAUAUCAUGUAUAUAUGUGCAUCUGCAUGUCCAAUAGCUCAUUGUCCUCUCAUACCAUUUUAUCUUAUUAUUUCAUAUGAUAAAGUAAACCUAAAAAAUGGUUUCAACUUCCUUUUUAUCAAUGACAUAAAAAAUCAUGGUAAAUUAUAAUAGUACAAUAUCAAUUGAGAAAACAAAAUAUAGUUUCAAUUAAACAGUAUUUCUAACACUUCAAAAUUAGGAUUACUUAAAUUUCUAACACCAUCCAAACUUAAAUUUGGAAUUUCUUAAUCUAGGCAAGUUAAGUUUUUCUCAUUUCACAAAAAAAUGAAUCAUCUCUCAAAUUAGACAACAUCAUUAUUAGAAUACUUUAUAUUUUAUUUUCCUCCAUUUCUUUUUUCAGGACUAAUACCAUAAAAAUAAAAAAUAAAAAUAAAAACUCAAACUAGUACGUCCAUAUUAUAUUUACCAAAAAUUAAUUUUUAUAUCACAAAAAAAUUUAUAUUGUUUUAUUCAUGUCACAUUUGUCCAAAAUUUGCAGUAAUUUUUUACAUUGAAAAUUAGUUCGGGAUGACAUUUGUAUUCAGCCGGAGAAUAUUUUAGGUAAAAAAGUUAAUUUAGGAUAAAUGUGACGGAGAAUUAAUUUCAUGCACUUUUUUCUGGUGAAGGAUCAGAUUGAGAAGUCAAUACGCUGGAAGGACAAUUCAUUGAAAAGACAAUUACGCCCUUCUGGAACCAAAAGAUAAUUUUAAAUUGGCUCCGUGUAGAAGAGCCCCCGGCAUUUUUGCGCGCUCUCUCCCUUUCUCGCAGACACAGUUGGAGCACUACGGAGACCGACCGAGCUCGCCGGAGAAAAUCCACCGACUCCGCCGUGAAAAACCCCUCCGAGAUGGCGGAGAAGAGCAAAGUCCUGGUGAUCGGAGUCACCGGACUCAUCGGAAAGUUCGUCGUGGAAGCGAGUGCUAAGUCCGGCCACCCUACCUUCGCUUUCGUGGAACCGCUGUCCACUCCGUCCGACGCUGCCAAGACCAACUUCGUCCAAGGUUUCAGGAGAUUAGGCGUCUACGUAGUUCUGGUGAGUAGCUAGCUAUGCCCGUGCGAUCGCGUUCGUUUCCGACAUCGGGUUCCGCUUCGAGGAACCGAAAGCGUCACCUGCCGUUGAAUCUUGUUCGUCGUUCCGAGAAACGUCUUCGGCAGUAGAAUCGGAGCUGACUUUCGUCUCCAUCUCUCACUCGAUCGAGCUGAUUGGAAUCACGUUGCGAUUCGGCGUUGUUCAUUGUCUUUUCUGAUAUUUUGUCCUCGUAUGUUGGCGAAAUAGGCGAAAUUUUUUAUGACGUCCUUCUCACUUUCUCACUGCCUGACGAUUCAUCUCAGCUUCGCGUGUUGAUUCGAACGCGCGCAUUUUCAGACAAAUCUUACAGAAACUUCCUUAUGCCUUCGCUGUUUAUGAGACAGCUACAGCUACGUAGUAACUGCACUGACCUGUUGUUCAGAUGCCACGGAGGAGAAGUCUGUGGAUAGUAGCAUUUUUUUUUUUUAUCAUAUUUUUCUUUAUUGCCUGAUAAAGGUAUUGAAGUCUUAUCUUACAUCGGUUAUGAAUCCCAUCGCCAAAACAGGAGUUGUUGAUUGCUGACUUCAUCAAUUGUUUAUUCAUGCUCUUGGUCAUUUGAUUCUCAGGGAGACAUAAACGUUCCACAUACUCUGGUGAAUGUGAUGAGGCAGGUUGAUGUGGUAAUCUCUACUGUUGAGACAUCACCGGAUGACCAAUACAAGAUUGCUGCUGCCAUUUUGACGGCCGGAAAUAUAAAGGUGGUGCUGUGACUAAUCAUUUUGUCCUCGUUAUCAUUGUUCGUUUAGCAUUCGACUGAUGAUAUAAGUUGUGUUAGCUUACUUCUUUUCUUCUGGUAUUAGUGCAUAGCGUUCUCCUUGUGAGCUUCAUUUGAUCAAAUGGGAUGCAUUGACUCAUUUAUCUGUAGACUUCACAUCUUUUUUCAUCUUAAUUGGUCAUGACUCUGUGUAGAAGUCCCUGUGGGUUUGGGUUUCCUCUAGGUCAGCCAAAAAAACAAAAAUAAAUAACAUAAAAGGUCUCAGUCACUCAAUAUGGACUAUGGACUUGUAUCCCAGCGCUUCGAUCAUGAAUUCGCGAGGAACAUGAACUAGUUUAACCUUGAAAUGGUCCUUUUCAGGGUAUAAUUGUUGCAUGUAUGUUAUCCAACCCCACUUACUGGGAUAGUACUUAGUAGUAAUCGUUGUUGCUGCGGGUGGUUGACAGCCAACAAUGAGUGGAACUCAGCAUGCUCCGAAAAGGCAAUGGACUUGCCUGAUAUUUUAUCACUGUGAAAGUGUCCAUUCAAGCAAGCAGCAUGUUUGCAUAUUUUAUACUUGACAGAGUUAUCUGGCUGCUGCCUAACAUUAAAAUAUUCACUUUCCAUUUCUUCUACUUUUCUAAUAACACUUAUGGUAGAAUUUGCUUAUUUGCUGAAUUUAUUGCUUCACUUAUGAUCAGUUUUUACUCUGUUAUAGUAACAUACUGACCAAAAAAAAAAAUGUUAAAUUCAGUCACGUACAAGUUUGUUCUGUUUUAUUUUGCCAGAACUCAUAUAAUUUUAUUGGAUAAGGGGAAUGUGCUCCAAAUUUUCGUUCCUUUCCAAUGGAAAUGUUUCUUCUGAUUGGAUUAUUUUUCUUUCUAGAGAUUCUUGCCUUCAGUGUUUGGAAGUGAUGUGGAUCGUGCCCAUGCUGUGGAGCCAGCAAGAACUUUUUAUGCUGCUUACUAUACCGACAUCCACCGCCUUCUCGAGGAAGAGGGAAUCCCGUAUACCUAUGUGUGUUGUAACUUUCUUGUAGGUUGGCACCGUUCAACAUUGGUGCAGCCCAGGGCUAGAGCUGCCUCUAGAGAGAGAAUUGUCAUCUUAGGGGAUGGUAAUGCGAAAGGUAAGAAGCAUGAAAUACCUAUUAUGAUUCGUCAGGAUUUUUCUGUACAACUUUUGCGAUUUAAUUACGAGGGUAAUCAGAGUGAGGACAAUUCCUGAAGCUUGAGAAUGCCAGGCAACUCCUCUAGCUGGAGAUGUCGGGCCUUUUACAUCCGUUAUUCUCGACUUCCGGAGACCAAUAAAUGAUAUGAAAGUGAUGUUGGUUAUCUUGGCACAAUACCGCCUGGUCAGCAUAUUAAGAAGGUUUUCUUAUGUAUCUAGUUGAGAAAAGAACUUAUGAAUGCAUUCGUCCAUGAUGAAUCUUUUUAUUGAGAGAGUUCUUUAAAUAAGAACCAAAAGAUCAAAGUUUUUGUGAUAUAUUUAUUAGCCAAAUUCUAAAAUUCUCCUGUCAAUGUACAGUGGUGUUUAACAGGGAGGAUGAUAUCGGCACCUAUACCAUCAAAGCCAUGGAUGAUCCUAGGACCUUGAACAAAAUUCUGUACAUCAGACCUCCUGGCAACACUUACUCAAUGAAUGAUCUCGUGUCUUUGUGGGAGAGAAAGACCGGCAAGACCCUGGAGAGGGUUUAUGUUCCAGAGGAGCAAGUUCUGAAGAAAAUUCGAGGUCACAAAUGCGUUACUAUUAGAUUUGAGCACGUAGAAAUUGUCUCUAUUCUCUAUGAGAUUUAAACCUUUUGACAACGAUUGGUCUACUUGUCCGCCCAUAUUGCAGAUGUGAAAUCUCCAGACGAUCUGGUGUGGGCCAUAUCCCAUUCUAUUUUCGUGAAAGGAGACCAAACUAACUUCCAGAUUGAGCCGCCGUACGGAGUGGAAGCUUCAGAGCUCUACCCUAAUGUUAAAUAUAGCACCGUGGAUGAGUACCUUAAUCAGUUUGUCUGAUUGUCGAAGCUUACUGUGCUUGGGGAUUUGAUUUCUCACAUCAGCUUGGAUACACAAAUGGUAAUAGUAUAUUGCUUCUCACAAACCUAGUGGGAAACGUCGCUCCCAUUGAUCAUCUCAUGGCACUGUACAACCUCCAGAUAAUAAGACUUACUGUGCUUGGGGAUUUGAUUUCUCACAUCAGCUUGGAUACACAAAUGGUAAUAGUAUAUUGCUUCUCACGAACCUAGUGGGAAACGUCGCUCCCAUUGAUCAUCUCAUGGCACUGUACAACCUCCAGAUAAUAAGACAUACUAUGAAUACUGAAUAAGUGCUCAUCUGUGCUGUAUGCUUGGAGAAGUUACUUCUGUUUUGGAGGUGUUAUGUGUUCAGGGGCUAGCUAACAAAUAAAAAAAGGACGAGGGUUUAUGGUGUCGUGCCAAAAGCCUAUCCCGAGUUUGGGUAAAACCUAAUUGACUUAAUUAGACAAAUUGAAAGUACACGGACUUAAUUGGAGAAUCGGAAAAAGUAGAGGGGUGAAAAGUAUAAAUCUUCCGCUUUUAUUCUCGUAGUGGAGCAUUGUCGAUGCACGAUUUUGAAGUCAAAUAAUUUACAUGUCCUCGAAGAUCUCCUCGGAAUCUAAACUCGAGGUUUAACUCGAGGUUUACUUAGCAGAUUAUAUAUAUAUAGAAGUCAGCAAGGAUGAUGUUUUACCGACCAAAAAAAGCAAGGAUGAUGUUUUUGUUGCCACUUGGUGAAGGGUAAGCUUAAAGAAUAGCAAAUUAAAAUCCAUUGAUGAAUACCUCGCGGUGUUGGAUUAUCCUUAAUGAUUUGAGGACUGUCAUGGGCAUGGAACAAGCAAGAAAAAAGAGAGGCAUGUGUCACGGUCCGUGAAUACUCUCAUACUUGUAACACUUGUGAGUGGUACUUGGAGUUAUCGAGUGAAGAGUGAGGAACACUUGUGAGUGGUGCUUGGAGUUAUCGAGUAAAGAGUGAGAAGGCAGAGGGGACGAACACAACUGGUCCGUGGGAAUGGCGUCAAGACGAUUGGUGAUAGGAGUUCUAAGAUUGAAUAAUUAUAUCACUUAGGAGCUCUAAAAGCGAGAUUUGCCUCUCAUGCACAAACUGGUUGGGAGCUGAUGCCCCUCUCCUGACAAAAUCAUGAUAGGCCGAAAUCAAUUGUUGAGCCUAAAGAGAUCUGCUAUUUCACUCAAUGGACUAGACGUCCGAGCAAAACUAGGCAUGGUACUAUCUCAUACAAAGAAGCUAUUCACCAUAUUGUUCGCUAGAACAACUAUAAAAGGAAGGCUGGCUUGGCGAAUUCCGCUUACCAAGCGCUGCACAAGUCGUUCCGCGGCCAAGGGAACUAUCGAUUAGUGACACAUGGUAUCAGAGCAGGAAUCCCUCUAGUAAGUAAGUGAGUCGGAGAAUUGGACUCCACGCUCUAGUGUGAGUUGAACUGAGAAGUACUAGCUAUCUACCCGGUCCUACAAGGCAGAGAGUGAAUCACCGAGGCAAAAGGUACUCGAACAAAGUGCAACUCUCUAAAGCCCCUAGGAUGACAAUGGGGGCACUAGGAAGAGUCAGUUCCUCGCCAAGCGGAUAAUGGGUCUGAGAAGAACCAAAUCCUCGCUAAUAGGGAUAACAUUCCUAGAUCGAUCAGUGAAUUCAAAGAAAAGGUCUACUACCACGUUUUCAACAAGAAAAGAAUCUCCAUUCGAUUUGUUGGGGUCAAGAUACUUAGUAGGCAAAAAUGGUGCCACCAAAGAUGCAAUCGGCAAAAAAUGCCACACUUGCCAAAGAAAGUGCAAGUGACCGAGAUGGGCCCAAACAACUGAGAUAAAAAAAGGCUACCAAUGGAGCAAAACCUAUUUUGUUGGGCAAGCGUGACCAUUAGAUGUGAAAUCCCAAAAGUGGCGCAUCAAUGGUUAAGAUACGCGAGGAAGCGACAAAAUAGAUCGCAAUGAGGGCGCUGCGAAAUUGAGUGGGAGAGAAUGUCAUGGUCCAUGAAUUCUCUCGUACUCAUGACACUUGUGAGUGAUGCUUAGAUUAUUGAGUGAAAAGUGAGGAGGCUGAGGGGAUGAACACAACUGGUCCGUGGGAGUGAUGUCAGGACGGUUGGUACUAGGAGUUCUAGGAUAGAAGGAUUAUAUCAUUUAAGAGCUCUAAAGGCGGGGUUGAUCUCCCGUGCACAAACUGGUUAUGAGCUGAUGCCGCUCUCCUGACGAGGCCAUGAUAGACAGAAACCAAUUAUUAAGCUUAAAGAGAUUUGCUAUCUUACUUAAUGGACUAGACGCCUGAGCAAAAGUAGGCGUGGUAGGAUCUCGUACAGAAAAGCUAUUCACCAUAUUGUUCGCUGAAAUAACUAUAGAAGGAAGGCUGGCCUAGCAAAUUCCACUUGCCAGGUGCCGCACAGGUUGUUCCGCGGCCAAGGGAACUGUCGGCCUAUAAUACAUGCACAAUAAAUUUGGACACCUUGCAAACCAAAUUUUUUACUAAACACCAAGAGUGAGUACUCAUAUCCUUUCCUAAGCAAGAGAGUCCAAUAAGGCAGUGUCUACAUAGUACCGUGUUAACUUCAUAGAUUAGGUAAAUUGCAAUUUCAAAUUUCAUAUGGACAAUUUAAACAUUAAAUCUUUUCCAUUUAAUGAUAAAGAGACUAUCUUACUACUUGCUUAAUAUAUGUGCAUUGAACUCACUCUUUAGCAGCGGAAUCAAUCUAAAAACCUCGGUCUCAUUUUUUUUAAGAAUUCAUGAAUUUGAAAACUUAGAAAUCUAAUAUUCCCUGAAAAAUCAUAAAAAGUAUUCUUGGGUCUAUUUGAUAACACUUCUGUUUCGGAAAACAAUUUCUUUUUAGAAAUAAUAUUUUUAUAUUUCUAUUCCUCGGGACAAUUUCUCAAUAAAAGAAUGUGUUUAGUAACUAUACAAAAUUUCUAUUCUCGGAAUGGAAAAAGAAUAUAAAUAUGUUUAGUACGAUUCACAAUAAUAUAUAAUUUCUUUUAAUUUUUUUUAUUCUUCUUUACUGCUACCGACCAUUGUUGCCGCCAGCCAUCAUUAUUGCCGCCAGCCGUCGAUCAUCACUGCCCACUUCCAACCCCUACCGCCAAUGAUCAGUGGCAACAGGCGAUGGGCGGCAUUGUUGGCAAUCAUUGGUGAUGAAGGUCAGUGGUUGGUGGCGAUAGUGACGGUCGACCAGUCGCAGCGGUCAACUGACAACAAGCAACAAAGGAGGGUGGCAGCUGGCAAAUAAGAAGAAAAGAAAAGAGAAAAUAACUUAUUUCUAAAAAUUGUUCUUGAGAACAAGAAGUUACUUUUUUCUGCUUCUUAUUUCUGUUCCAAAUCUAUUUAUCGACCAUUUUUUUAUUCCAAGGAAUAGAAAAACUAAUUAACAUUACCAAAUGGAUCUAUGUUCUUCUUUUGUUCCUAGAAAUAAAAGAACGGAAAUUGGGAGAAACCGAAACGUUACCAUAGAUGGCCUUGAUCGACGCUGCCUUUGGAAAGAAUUUUAGUGCACCUCAAAGUAAUCAUUUAGCGAUAUGAAACGUCUUGAUACCAUGCAAGCACAUCCACGUCAAAUAGCUCAUUGCCCUUUCAUACCAAUUUCACUUUCCCUUUCCUCAAAACAAUCAUUUAACGGUCGUCAUGAUUCCAGGCAAGCACAUGCGUGUGGAAUAACUUAUUGUCCGUUCAUACCAUUUUCACUUUUCGUACGAUAUAAAAGAACUAUUUCAACUUCUUCCUUAAUAUUGAUAUGAAAAAUCAUUGUAAGUUAGAAUAGUCUAGUAUCAAUUGAGAAACAAAACUAUAAUAAUAAAAUUAAUUAGAAUCUCCGGUCCUUCAAAAUUAAGAUUCCUCAAAUCUUUAGCACCAUCCAAACUUAAAUGUGGAAUUUCUUAUUUUUGGUAAGAUUUUCUUUUUUUCACAAUAAUUUGUAUUAUCUAUCAAACUCGACAAAAUCUUUAUUGAAGUACUUUAUAUUAGAUUUUCUUCUGUUUCUAUUAGUCCACUUUGCUUGUACUUCUUUUCCAGCUGAUGGCGAUAUCAAGAAAAACCAGUUCACUUAAAAAGACAUUUACGCCCUUCUAAAAUCAAAAUCAGAUGAUGAUUCAAGAGCUUAGGCAUAAUUUUUUUUUUUUUUCAUGUGAGCAUCGAGGCGAUUGUGUGAGUAGGUAUUACUGUGCAAUUACGUUUGUUUUCCACAUCUACAUGAAUCCUAAGUUGUUUAGGAUUCUACUUCCCAGGAUCCUAGUCUGAAACGUCGCUUUCGUUGAUCAUCUCCUAGCACGUGCAGCUUCCAAAUAGAACAUACUAGGAUCAUUCAAUAUGUGCAGCAUCUAUGCGGUGGUUGAAGAAGUUACUUCUGUUUUUGAGUUUUUUUUUUUUUUUGUCAGUCAUACUCUAUGCCUACUCUAUACUCACUCUCAGACUUUUGACAUGCCUCUUGCAAGGCGUGGGAGUCGAAGCCCACUCCUGAAACUUACUCGUCCCCACCCCAUCCCCCUUGAGAAGGUGGGGAUUUGAACCCCUCACCUCCCCCUUUUAUGUGGCCACUGGGGCGAAUCCCAGUGAUUCUUCUAUUUUUGAGUUGAUAAUGGGUUUUAUGGGCCAAGCUUAAAGAAAGACACUGGAUUUAUAAAUUCAUGUAGAGAGAAAUGUUUACGUGGUUGUUUUUAAUCUAUUAUGGUAUUAAUAACUUGUUAUGGAUCAUAAAAAAAUAAUUAAUAAAUAAAUAACAAUCGUUGUGGGGUUCACUCUAAAAAUUGCAACUCACAAUAUACCGUUACUCUCAUAAUGACCCAAAAAAUGUCAUGCGAGCAAAACCCUUCUAUAUUUUAUAUGUUCUAUGUCGCUGGUGUGGGUAUUGAAUUGGAGCUACUAAUCCUUGUCUUAUACUAAAAGAUCAUUAUGCUUUAAGCUCCGUUUCUUUCGCAAAAAUUAAAUUAUUUGGAAAGAAAAUUUCUAAAAAUAAUCGCUCGUUUCGCUUAUAAAAUAAAUUGAUAAAAAAAAAUUCACAAAAAAAUUUAGAUAUAAUUUAUUAUUUAUAAUAAAAAUAUUUUUCAUCGACUGAUUAUUUUAAACUAUACAAGCAAUUAUUUUUUAGAAAAAUAUUUAUAAAAUUAUUCAUUUUUUCGCGAAAUAAACAAAAUUGAAUAAUUUUCCAUGCCUAAAUGGUCCGUAGGCAACUAUUGCGAUGAAAUCAAAUACUAUUUGUAUGUCCACGAAAAUCUCAAGGUAAUUGAAACUUUGGGUUUCCUUAGCCGAAGAAAUCUACUGUUGCGAGUUGAUUAUGGAUAAACUUAAAAGAUUAACAAGUUCAAGGACUCUCAUGGGCGGCGAACAAGGCAAUACAAAGAAAAGAAAAGAAAAGGGCAAAUGCUUGAUGAAGCUGGAACAAAUCUCGAACGAGAAUCCUGUCUCCACGCCCGAUCAUUCGUGGAUAUCGGUCUUAACUAGAUGAAUCCUUCCGUACUCUGCAUGCCGCCCGCCGCCAGCGUGGACUCUUGGGUCCUUAACUUUUCGAGAAAUCCGCAGUGCGGUGCGUGCGGUGCAAUGUCGUGUUGACUCUGCAAACGAAGACUUGCUUUGUUUAGUGAAAACUUCGACAUGUCUAAGAAAGAUGUUUUGUACUGAAAUCACUUUUAGCUAUCGUUUGGUCAUUAACUUGAAAAUGAUUCCCUCUCUUAAGGGUAGAGAAAAAUUUCCUCAUUGUUUACCAUAGAUUUUUUUAUAGAAUUAAUAAUACUGAAAUUUCCAAACUAGUACAUUUGUGAUCAAUUUAUCUUCUAUUAGUUUUUAUUAAAUUUUACUGUCAAAUUGCUAAGUUAGAUAAUAUAAAUAGUUGACAGAUAUACUAAUUUUGAGUUUUACUUUCCGUUUGUCACAGAUGUAUCAAUUUGUGUUUUUUUAUGGCAUUAACUCAAUUUAACGAAAAUUAACAAAUGAUAAAUUUAUUAUAAAUAUAUUAUAUUAAGGUUUUUUGUGAUCAAAAAAUUAGUUUAUGAUAAAUUUGUCAUGUAUGUAUCAAUUUUGAAUUUUUGAUGGUUGAAAAAUUAGUUUUAGGUAAAAUUAUCAAAGGUAAACCAAUUUAGAGACGUUUUAUGCGGAAAUCAUUUUUAGUUCUCGUUUGGUCAUUAACUUUAAAAUGAUUUCCUCUCUUUGAGAAUAGAGAAAAUUUUCCUUGUUUUUUAGCAUGGAUGUUUUCCUUCAUUGUAAAUGAUUUUUCGAUAAUCAAUCCAUUUUCGGUAACUAAGCAGGUAAAAAUAUCAAAAACAAAUUGUACAAAACCCUUUUUGGCUAAACAAACACUCAAGCUAUGUUUGGUCGUCCGGAUUUCUAAUCAGGAUAGGACUGGAUAAGAUAUGAUAUGAAAUCCUGGGAUUUUUCUAUAUCAUAUCCACUGUUUGGUGAAUCACAAUAUUAAAGUCGGAUAUGUUUACAUCAUGUCAUGUACAUUUAUUUAACAUAAAUAGCAUAUCAUUAUAAAUAAACCUAAAAAUUUAUAAAUGGAGAUGGUAAAAAUCUCUCAUGACACUAUUCCUUAAUUUAUUUUUAUUUUCUUUUAUUUUAUUAAUCCUCUUUUUAAAAUUAUUUUCUUCAUUAUUUCUUUUUUCCCUUUUCAUCAUUCUUUAAUAAAAUUUUAUUAAAUAGUAAACUGUACUUACAUACCUUAAAUACAAAAAUACCUAAAAUAUAUAAUAAAUAUAAAUAUAUAAUUUAUAGAUUGAAUGUUUAUUACAAGAUAGAAUUAAAGUUAAUUAUAUAAAUUAAAAUAAGAUUGAAUUAAAAAUAAUUUUUAAUUUCUUAAAAUAGAAUUCAAAUAUUAUUUAUAUUGAAAUAUAAUUUUAAUUUUGUUAAUUUAAUAAGUUUAUUAUUCGAGAAAAAUAACUUUCCUAUUAUGGACAUUAGAAAUCAUAUCCACAUUUAUCUCACCUCCCCCACGGGAUAAUUUUAUUCGGCCUAUAUUCCUCUUAUAUCCGAUUUUAUCCUAUCCUAAGCGAGCAUCAAACGUAAGAUAUAAUAAAUCAUAUUUUAUCCUGAAUUUUAUCCUGACCGUCAAACAUAACCUCAAAAGAUAAGCCAUUUCAAUUUCGAAAAGUGAUCUAAACAUUAAACCUUUCUCAUUUAAUGAUAAAGAGAUUAUCAUUUAUAUAUGUCUGCAUCGUGCUCCCUAUUCAAUCAAUGAACCAAUCUAAUAAUUUACCUCUCCUUUCUUCAAGAAGUUUUGAAUUAUUUAUAAGAUAAUCUUUUGUUGGCCAAAAAGUUACAAAAUUAAUUUAUGUGAUUGACUCUACAAGAAAAAAGAAUUUGCACCUGAAAACAAUCAUAUAUGGACUAUGAAACUCCAUAUAUAUAUGUAUGCAUGCAAAUGCAUGUCAAGCAGCUCAUUGCCCUCUCAUACCAUUUUUUCUUAUUAUUUCAUAUGAUAAAGUACACCUAAAAGGCAGUCUCAAUUUCUUCGAUAUCAAUUACAUUGAAUAUUACAGUAAAUUAUAAUAGUAUAAUUUCAAUUAAAAAAGCAAGCUACAGUUUAAAUUAAAUAAUAUUUCUAGCACUUCAAAAUUAAGAUUACUUAAAUUUCAAACACCAUCCAAACUUUAAUUUAGAUUUUCAUAUUGUUGGCAAGUUAAGCUAUAACGUCUACAGUUUUAGCCCGUGAGAAAUGGCUAUGAAAUUAGUGUGCCCCAAGGACCACUCCAAGAAUCACUUGCGAUGGAUCACGGACUAGUCAUGGAUCGGUCAUGGAUUAGCUUAGCGACCUUGCCACCCAGCCAUGCGCCAGGCCAUAAGCCCGGCCUUAUGCUAGGCCAUGAGUUGGCCUUAAGCCCGAUUAGCUUGACCCUAUGUUCGGCCAACUCUGGCCAUGCAUUGGCCAAGAUAGGCCAUUGAACUAGCCAUGUCGGUCAGGCUUGGUUACAUCCCACCUCGACCAAUUGUGAAUUAGCCACAAAUCUCAACUCGAAUGGUGCAAUUAAUUGUAGAUGAACAUGAAAAGCUCUCACACAAUAAUCUUGGCACUUUCAUCAGCUUCCUUCUCAUGUUUACAAAAUGUUCUUUGGAAGUUAGUCCAUAAAUGAAGAGAAUGACUCAUCAACUUAAGUGGUAAGGAACUUGGGUGGCAAGGAAGAGGAUUUGGUCAUAAUUACAUAUGACAACUUAAGUAGCAAGUUACUUGAGAAACAAGAAACAUGUGACUAAAUCUAAAGCCGAUUAUAACUAAAUCUUAGCUAACUCAUAUAGGAAUGAGUUGUCAUUCAAGUGGCAAGAUAGGGGUUUAACUUGAAGAACAAGUAAUCUAAUUAUGGUUUUUUGGAAGUUAGUAACUGAAUAAAAGGGAUGACUCACAUGGCCAAGUGGCAAGAAGGAGUUCAACUUGGAGAACAAAUAGUCUAACAUGUGACAAAAAUCCAAGCCUUAUGAUGACACCAAAUCUAAGCAAUUAAUGAAGAGAAUGACUCAUAAGCUUGGGUGUCCUUAUAGAAAUGAGGUUAUCAUUACAUUAAGAUAUUGUCUUGGAGAUCAAGUUUAGCCAAGUUAUUAUUGAAAGAUGACUCAUGACAUAGGUGGCCUAAUGAGAAGAAUGGCAAGUGCUCUUCUAGGGCCUUAGAACGUCAUUUCAUCAGGGUAGGCGUGCCACCUCUUCAAGAUAGUUUCUUCAUUAAGGCAAUGGCUUAUGGCUAAGUGACCAAUAAGAGACACUUUUAGGACUUUGAUCAUUUCUCUAGGCUAUUAGGGCACCAUCUCUCCUAAUUAGCCUUGCCACCUAAAGAAGUUAUUAGACCAUUUGGAAAAGGCAAUCAUUAAGGUUUUGCCUAUAAAUAAAAGCACCAACCCUUCAUUUCCCCCACAUUGGCUCAUUUCUCCCACCUCUCCUCUCUUGCACGCCCUUUCCCCCUCUCUCUCAACCAUUCGCUCUCUCGCCAUUCACCCCUCAUCAAUUUGCCAUCACUUGGCCAUUGGCCACCACCUGGACAAGUCGUAAGUGAAAUCUCUAACCUUCGACUAAGGCAAUGUGCUGCGUUGUUGGCUUGGUUGUGUUCUCAUCCAUGCUUAGUUGUGUACAUGCUGAUGGUUGUUUGUAUGGUUUGCUCAUGUCCUUGCAGUUACAAGUAGAAUUUCUAACCCUUAAUUAGAGCAAUGUGUUACAUUGAUGGAUUUAGUUAUGAGCCCACCCAUGUGUAGUUGUGUGCAUGAUAAGGAUUGAUUUAAUAAGGUUUGCUCAUGUCUUGCAUUCAUAAGUACAAUCACGCCACGAGUUACAGAUGAGUCUUACUCAGUUUUGGAAUCGAUGUUGAGGCGUGACAGACUAAACCUUACUUGGCCUUAGAUCAGCAUUGAGGCAUGUCAAUUUGAGCCUCGCUUGGCUUUGGGUUGACGCUUAAGCGUGUCAAUUCGAGCCACAAGUCACAUGUCAUGCUCAGCAUAGUAGUAAAGUAACAAUGUUAUAAGUCAUGACGCACACACGCACUUGUAUGAGCACGCUUUCAGACCUUAUUUACACCAACUAAAACGAAAGAAAAUAAAUUGAUUUGUGCAAUGUGGAACAUGUGAUCACCUAAUGAAAUAUAAGAUCUGUUGCCACUUGAGGUAACGACGAUGACCCCAUGCCAAUGGGAUGUUGUCGCCCAUUGAGAUGGCGACGAUACCUCAUUCAUGAGAAUGAGAUGUCCCCACGCCAACAAGAUGUCUCUUUAAUGAGAAUGAGAUGCCUCUAUGCCAAGAGGAUGCCUCAUUCAUGAGAACGUGAUACCUUGAUUGAGUCAAGAAGUCCUUGAAUGUAUGGGAUGCUUAGCUUGAUGGUCGACUGCCUCGCUUGAUGUUGGAAGCCCCUGAAAGUAUGGGAAGAAUCGUUUGAGACGGUCAAUGAACCUUUGUGCAUGUUGUUGUGUGUUGUUUGAUAAGUUUGAGGUAGAUCAUACAUUGAUGAUAAGCCAAAAUUGAUCGCAUGCAUAUAAUCAAGGUUUAGCAAAGGAAUUGUUAUUGAUUUGCCAUCGAUGUUGUAGUGCAAGUAAUGUUUGCAUGCUAGAUUCGAUGACAAGCUGUCCUCCUAUAUGAGGAUUAGUGACUUCACUUGUUGAGUCAUUGACUCACUCUUUUAUCUUUCAGACUUGUAGGUAUGAAUACCAAUUUUGGAGCUUCAACUUCCAUAGAGGAGAUAGGGAUACCUCAAGCUUAUGCAAAUAGAUAUAGCAUCAUGGAAAAAGAUAUGUUUCAUAGAGAAAUGGCUUGUAAUAUACUAAUGUAAUUUAAAAGUAGUACAUUUGUGGUGUCUUUUCCUGGCUGUUGUUUAUUGUGUUGUCUUAGAGAUCGUUGAUGGACACGCUUUCGCAUGCUCACUAAGGGUCCAGGGUGGGUAGGGUCUAGACCUAGACCAUGUACCCAACCAUAUUAUAACUAAUUCCUCUUUUCUGGACUCUAUACCCGACCCUGUUUGUAUUGGACCCUAUACCCAAUCUAUCAUGUUUUUCCGAUCUGGUUCCAAGGUCAGCCCGGUUUCCACUAGAACCUGUUUUGCAACCUCUCGAUAUCUUAUACGAUUUCAAAUUUUAUAUUAAUACGCGAGAAAAUAAUGUAAUCCUCCUAAUUUUUAUUAAAACAUUAAGCACUUGUAAUAAAUAAAUACAUGAAAUUUUUGACUAAAUGAAAAAUUAAGGAUCCACAAGGCUAAUUAUAAUAAAUAAAAUCAUAAGGCAAAGAAUUAGCAACAAACAUGGGUCUAAUAAUAGUCUUAUUCCCACAACUACUACAUGAAGUUACUCAUUUAUGCAAGCAUAACUCCUCCUACAAAAAAUAAAUUAGGCAAGAUAAUCCAUGUGAUACACAAGAAUUUGGCGGCGACGAAUACCGUCCGUCAUCGGACGGUGCGAGAGGGAGCCGAUGAGGGAGAGAAGCAAGUGAGGAAGAAGAAUGACAAAGGAGGAGUAUCGUGCAUGUUUGAGAGAGCCAAGAAGAAAUACGUCGUGUGAUUGCGGGAGUGAGAAUAGAAAUUGAGGGAAAAAAAAAAAGGGUUUUUGACCUCUACUUACAAAACUGGUUUGGGAACUAGUCCAAGAACCGGUUUCCGAGUGAGUAAUCACUCGAAACCUGUUCCUGGACCGGUUUAAACCGGUUCCCGGACCAGUUUCAGAAUGAACCGGUUUCAACGGAAACCAGUUCCCGACUCUGUUUUCCGAGUGGGCCGGUCCGGGAAUCAGGUAUACUCGGUCCAGUUGCACACCCCUAAUGCUCACACCUAGGACGUUGUAUUAAUAAUCCCUCGUCAGAUUGUUACAUAAGCUUUUUUAAAAUUACAAAAAUAUAAACCAUCUCUCAAGCUAGACAAUAUCGUGAUUAAGGUAAUUUAAAUAUGAUUUUUUUCCUUUUUUUUCAAGACUAGCAAUACAAAAAACUCUAACAUCUACAUGCGUGUCAUAUGUACUGAAAAUUAAUUUUAGAUUGCAAAAAAUCUUACAUUGUUACACUCAAGUCACAUUUAUCGCAUUUUUUUCCUAAUUUAUGAUAUUAAAAAUUAAUUUGUGAUAAAUAUAGCACUAAUAUAUCCGUUUGAGAAUUUUAUAUAGAUAAAAAUAAUUAAUUUAAGAUAAAUGUAACAGACAAUUAAUUUCAUGCACUUUUUUCCGGUGAAGGAUCAGAUCGAGGGAAGUCAAUUCGCUGGAAAAAGACGCUUAUGCCCUUCUGGAAUCAAAAUAUAGAUGGGCUUCCGUGCGAAGUACCUCCUCAUUUUAGCGCGCUCUCUCCCUUUCUUACAAGCAGCUGGAGCAGAGUCGCUCAGGAGACCGAGCGAGCUCGCCGGAGAAAACCCACCGACUCCGCCGUGAAAAGCCACUCCGAGAUGGCGGAGAAGAGCAAAGUCCUGGUGAUCGGAGUGACCGGACUCAUCGGAAAGUUCGUCGUGGAAGCGAGUGCUAAGUCCGGUCACCCCACCUUCGCUCUCCUGGCACCGCCGUCCACUCCGUCCGACCCUGCCGAGGCCGACCUCGUCGAAGGUUUCAAGAGCUUAGGCGUCCGUGUGGUUCAGGUGAGAAGCUAUGCCCGUGCGAUCGCGUUCGUUUCCGACAUCUGGUCCUGCUUCGAGGAACCGAAGCCUCGCCUGCCGUUGAAUCUUUGCUCGUCGUCCUGAGAAAUGUCUUCAGCAGUAGAAUCGGAGCUGAUUUUCGUCUCGAUCUCUUACUCGAUCGAGUUGAUUGGAGUCGCGUUGGGCUUUGGCGUUGUUCAUUAUCUUUUCUGAUAUUUUGUCUUUGUUCGUGAAAAAGGUGAAAUCUUUUGUGACGAAUCAUCUCAGCUUUCCAUGUUGAUUCGAACGAGCGCAUUUUCAGGCAAAUCUUACAGAAACUUCCUUAUGCCUUAGCUGUUUAUGAGACAGCUACAGCUACACUCUGACCUGUUGUUCAGAUCCCAUGGACGAGAAUUCUGUGGAUAGUAGCUUGUUAUUUAUUUGUCUUCGUAUUUUUUCUUGUCUGAUAAAGGUAUUGAAGUAUUAUCUUCAUCGGUUAUGAAUCCCACUGCCAAACCAGGAUUUGUUGAUGAUUGCUGACUUCAUCGAUUGUUGGUUCAUGCUCUUGGUCCUUUGAUUCUCAGGGAGAUAUAAAUGAUCCGGAUACUCUGUUGACUGCGAUCAGGAAGGUCGAUGUGGUAAUAUCUACCGUUGAGACAUCACCAGAGGACCAAUACAAGAUUGUUGCUGCCAUUACGAUGGUCGGAAAUAUAAAGGUGGCGCUGUUUCGAAUGAUUUUGUCCUUGUCAUCAUUGUUUGUUUAGCAAUCGACUGAUGAUACAGGUUGUGUUAGCUUAAUUCUUUCCUUCCGGUAUAAGUGGAUCACCUUCUCCUUGCGAGCUUCGUUUUGAUGAAAUAGGAUGCAUUGACUUACAUAUCUGUAGACUUCACAUCUUUUGGUCAUGACUUUGUGUAGAAGUCUUCGAUGAAAUUUGAGAAUAACUAUUUCACAUCCAAGUGUAGCCCAGUGUGCAUAUUGCGCUGCCCACAUACUCCAGGAGGCUUCAUAUGUAUAUAUAUCCAGAACCUGUGUUUGGGUUUCCUGUAGGUCAGUGAAAAAAACACAUGUUUCGAGCACUCGAUAUGGACUAUGGACGUGUAUCCAAGCUGUUCGAUCAUGAAUUCGCAGGGAACAUGAACUAGUUUAACCUUGAAAUGGUCUUUUUCAGGAGUAUUAUUUUUGCAUAUAUGUUCCCCAGCCCUACUUACUGGGAUAGUACUUAGUAGUAAUUGUUGUUGCUUCGGGUGGUAAACGGUCAACGAUGAGUGGAACUCAGCAUGCUCCCAAAAGGCAAUACACUUACCUGAUAUCUUAUCACUUGUGAAAGUGUCCAUCCAAGCAAGCAGCAUAGUUGCAUAUUUUAUACUCGACAGAGUUAUCUGGCUGCUGCCUAACAUUGGAAUCUUCACUUUCCAUUUCUUCUAUUUUUCUAAUAGCACUUGGGGUAGAAUUUGCUUAAUUGCUGGAUUUGUUUUCUCACUUAUGGUCACAUUUUACUCUGUUAUAGCAACAUAUUGACCCAAAAAAAAAAAAAAGUACUUCAGUCUCGUAUAAGUUUGUUUUGUUUUAUUUUGCCAGAACUCGUAUAAUUUUGUUGUAUAAGGGGAAUGUGCUCUAAAUUUGCGUUGCUUUCCAAUAGAAAUGUUUCUUCUGAUUUGGCGAUUUUUCUUUAUAGAGAUUCUUGCCUUCAGUGUUUGGAAGUCAUGUGGAUCGUGCCCAUGCUGUGGAGCCAGCAAGAACUUUUUAUGCUGCUUACUAUACCAACAUCCUCCGCCUUCUUGAGGAACAGGGAAUCCCGUAUACCUAUGUGUCUUGUAACUUUCUAGCUGGUUGGCACAGUUCGACGUUGGCACAGCCCGGGGCUACAGCUCCCUCUAGAGAUAAAGUUGUCAUCUUAGGGGAUGGUAAUGCAAAAGGUAAGAAGCAAUUCGUUGAAAUACAUAUUCUGACUGCUCAGGAUUUUGCUGUACAAUUUUUAUGAUUUAAUUACGGGAGUGUUGAGAUUGAGAGCAGUUCCUCAAGCUUGAGAAUUUUGAGGCAACUCCCUAUCUAGAGAUGUCGGGCUUUUUACAUCCAUUAGUCUUGACUUCUGGAGACUAAUAAAUGAUACGAAAGUGAUGCUGGUUAUCUUGGCACAAUACCUAUUAAGAAGGUUAUCUCUAUGUAUCAGGUUGAGAAAAGAACAUAUGAAUGCAUUCAUCAGAUGAAUCUUUAUUUCAAGAGAGUUCUUUAAAUGUGAACCGAAAGUAACUCUAGGAAAAUCAAAGUUUUUGUGAUAUAUUUAUUAGCCAAAUACUAAAAUUCUCCCUGUCAAUAUACAGUGGUGUUUAACAGGGAGGAUGACAUCGGCACCUAUACCAUCAAAGCCAUGGAUGAUCCAAGGACCUUGAACAAAAUUCUGUACAUCAGACCUCUUGCCAACACCUACUCGAUGAAUGAUCUUGUGUCUUUGUGGGAGAGAAAGAUCGGCAAGACCCUGGAGAGAUUCUAUAUUCCAGAGGAGCAACUUCUGAAGCAAAUUCGAGGUCACAGAUGCGUUACUAUUAGAUUUAAGCACGUGGAAAUUGUCUCUAUUCUCUACUUGACAUCGAUUGGUCUAUUUGUCUGCUCAUAUUGCAGAUGCGAAAUCUCCGGACGAUCUGAGGUGGGCCAUAUCCCAUUCAAUUUUCGUGAAAGGAGACCAAACCAACUUCGAGAUUGAGCCAUCAUUUGGAGUGGAAGCUUCAGAGCUCUACCCCGAUGUCAAAUACACCACUGUGGAUGAGUACCUAGAUCAGUUUGUCUGAUUGUCGAAACUUACUGUGCUUGGGGACUUGAUUUCUCACAUCAGCUUGGAUACAGAAAUGAUAAUUGUAUACCGCUUCUUACGAACCUAGUGGGAAACGUUGCUCCCAUUGAUCAUCUCGUGGCACUGUACAACCUCCUAAUAUUAGGACGUACUAUGAAUACUGAUUAUGUGUUUCAUCUGUGCCGUGUGCUUUGAGAAGUUACUUCUGUUUUGGAGUUGCCGUGGGUUUAGGGCUAGCUUAUAUAUAAAAAAAAAAGAAAAAGACUGGGGCUAAGGGGCUGUCGUGCCAAAAGCCUAACCCAAAUUUGGGUCAAACCUAACUGACUUCUCAAUCCAUAGGAGACUUGGUUAGACAAGUCGAAACUACAGGGACUAAAUUAGAGAAUCGGCAAAAGUGAAUGAUGAAAAAGUAUAAUUUUCCUUUUCUAUUCUUACAACGGAGUAUAUAAAGCCAAACCAAAGUUGAUGCUCAUUUUUCUGAAAUCAAAUAUUUUAUAUGUCUUCGAAGAUUUCCUCGGAAUUGAGAUGAGGUUUACUUGGCAGAUUACUUGUUAAAGUCAGCAAAGAUGAUAUUUCUGUUACCAGUUGAUGAAGGGUGAGAGAAUAGCAAGUUAAAACCGAUCGAUGAACAAAUCUCACGAUGUAGGAUUAUCCUUGAUGCUAUAAGGACUGUUAUAGACUUAAUAAUGUUAUGGGCGUGGAAUGAGCAAGAAGAAGAGAGGCGUGCACGAUGAAUCUGGACACCUCGCGAACCAAAUUCUUUACCAGAGUCGGCGCGGACUCGUGUCCUUUUCUAAACAAGAAAGCCUGAAAAGGCGGUGUCUACAUAGUACCAUGUUAACUUCACAAAUUAGGUAAAAUGCAAUUUUAAAUUUUGAAUGGAUGAUCUAAGCAUAAAGUCUUUUCCAUUUAAUGAUAAAGAGACCAUCUUAUAAUUUGCUUAAUUUAUUUAUAUCGAGCUCACUCUUUUAUGAAGGAAUUAAUCUAACAAGGUAAGUUUCCUUUUUUCAAAAAUUCGUGAAUUUGAAAACAUAGAAUUCUUAUGUUACCCAAAAUAAUAAAAAGAGUAAUCUCAUAAUCAAUGCAAUACGUCAAGAUACCAUGCAAGCACAUGCACGUCAAGUACCUCGUUGCCCUUUAAUGAUAAAGAGACCAUCUUAUAAUUUGCUUAAUUUAUUUAUAUCGAGCUCACUCUUUUAUGAAGAAUUAAUCUAACAAGGUAAGUUUCCUUUUUUCAAAAAUUCGUGAAUUUGAAAACAUAGAAAUCUUAUGUUACCCAAAAUAAUUAAAAAAGUAAUCUCAUAAUCAAUGUAAUACGUCAAGAUACCAUGCAAGCACAUGCACGUCGAGUACCUCGUUGCUUUCCAACCCUACUCACUUCUCUUUCGUAUGAUAAAAAAACGGUUCCAACUUCUUCCUUAAUAUUUGCAUGACAAAUCAUUGUACGUUACAAUAGUCUAACAUUGAUCGAGAAACACAAUCACAAUAUUAAAAUUAAUUAGAAUCUCCAACGUUCAAAAUUAGGAUUACUUAAAUCUAGCACAAUCCAAACUUAAAUGUAGAUUUUCUUAUUUUUAGCGAGUUGAGUUUUCUUAAUUCACAAUAAUUCAAAUCGUCUCCCCUCGAACAAGACAAACCUUCUAGUAAAGUUCCUUCUGUUUCUAUUCGUCCACUUUGCAUGUCCUUCUGUCCCACCUAAUGAUAAGGUCAAGAAAAAUCAAGUGGCUGAAAAGACAAUGCAUUAAAGAGACAAUCCAUUGAAAAGACAAUUGUGCCAUUCCAGAACCAAAAUAAAUAAAAUUAACAUUAUAAAAAAUCUAAAUUGAUACACAUUAAAUAAAUUUACUCCAAAUUAAUAUAUUUGUGAUAAAUUUAUCUUAAUAUCAAAUUACUAAAUUGAGUGAUAUAUGAUAAUUGACAGCUUUGGAUUUUACUCUCCAUUUUUUAUAAUUAUAUAAUUUUCAUGAUUUUUUGUGAUAUUAAUAUAAUUUAAUGGAUUGUAUGGUUUAGGGUUUUUGACGGUUGAAUAAAUUAAUUCUGGUUAAAUUUAUUAUAAGUAUAUUAUUUGAGAUUUUUUGUGGCUAAAAAAUUAAUUUGAAAUAAAUUUAUUAUAUAUUUAUUAAUUUAGGAUUUUUCAAAGUAUUAAUUCAAAUAAAUAUGAAUUAAUACUCGCAAAAAAAGUGUAUGUAUUAAAAAGGGGUCAACCUUUGUUUCCUACAUCUGGCUCUGCUUCGAGGAACCGAAGGGUCGCAUGCCGUUAAAUCUUGCUUGUCGUUCCGAGAAAUGUCUUUAGCAGUGGAAAUGGAGUUGAUUUUCGUCUUGAUCUCUCGCUCAAUCGAGCUGAUUGGAGUCCUGUUGCAAUUCGGCGUCGCUCCUUCUCUUUUCUGAUGUUUUUUUUUUGUAUAUUGGUGAAAUUAUACGCUGCCUGAUGAAUCAUUUCAGCUUCGCAUGUUGAUUCGAACAAGCACAUUUUCAGACAAUCAUUAUAGAAACUCCCGUAUGCCUUAGCUGUUUCCGAGACAGCCAUAGCUAUGUAGCUGCACUGACCUGUUGUUCAGAUGACUGCCGAUUUUAUUGAAUGUUUAUCCAUGCUCUUGCUCAUUUGAUUCUCAUGUAAACGAAAAUGAUUCAGAGACUAUUGAUUGUGAUUAAGCAAGUUGAUAUAGUAAUCUCUAGUGUCGGCAUAGCUCUAUAAAUCCAAUACAAGAUUGUUACUGCCAUUAAAGUAGCUGGAAAUAUAAAGGUGGUGUUGUUUUCAAUAAUUUUGUCCUCAUAAUCAUAAUCAUCGCUUGUUUAGCAUUCAACUGAUGAUACAAGUUGCAUUAGCUUAAUUAUUUACUUCUAGGACGCUUUGACUUAUUUAUCUGUAGACUAAACCUCUUUUUUUCUAUCAUGACUUUGUGUAGAAAUUAUCAAUGAAAUCAGAGGAUGACUAUUGCACAUCUAAGUAUAGCACAAUGUGGAUAACCAUUUCAAAUCCACACCAUUGCUUUUUGACAUGUUCAAUUGGGUAGGAAAUUCUGUCAUCAAGGAUGCACAAUGUACUAUAUGCAUAAAUACUCGUAUGGACAAGCAAAUCAAAAAAAAAAAAAUAGUCAAAAAGAAAAAGAAUAAAUCGGAUACCAAAUUUUUGUGGUUCAAUUUGAAUAUCAAAACUUACGUUUACGUGAAAAGUAGUACAAAAUUUCACUAUAAAAAUAAGUAAAAUAACAAAUAUUUCAAUUACUCAAGUACUCAAAUAUUCUCUCUCAAUAUUUUUUAACUCUUAAUUAGACUUAAUAACUCAUAUAAUAUUUAGCUCUUCAUAAUUACUGAUGAAAUUUCACUUAAAGAAUCAAAUAAAUUCUGCUAAUAACGAUUUAACUCGGCUUCAACACUCCGGGUCUCUUCAAAUCUUAUUUGCGGGGAAGAAAUGGGGAUGUAAUAGAAUAAUACUCCACCCUCGGCCACCAAAAAGCUGUCGACCUCUCUCCUCCCUAGCCAUCAAGGACUUUUCGUACCUCAACCCGAAUUAGCUCCUCUUCUAUAGCCAAGAGAAGUUUCUCAUCAUUUAAUUUAGCAUGAGAAAGUCUUCUGGACAUGUACUGAGGAAAUGAUUACCUCUGACUUACUUUUCUUUCCUUUCUUUCAUUUUUACGUUCACAUAGCCUUAGACUAAGAAGACAAAAGGGUAAGGAAAAAGAGACGAACAAAGGCCACGUUCCAUUAUCUUCUUCAAAUGCUCCAGCACCUAACCUGUCAGAUCUUCCAUGCGUGACAACACGAAAGUCUUCCUCCUGCACCUCUUCAUUUAAUGAGGCGUGUAAGAAUCCCAAAGUGUCGGGCGCCAUUCAUUUCUUCCACGUGCAGCGGCCACAAGAGGAAAAACAAACAUGUCCGCUUGCUGAUUUAUUCAUCGUCGAGAGGCGCGCGCAGAGAAAUUAAUGCACGAACAAAAGAAGUCAAGAGACAAAGCUUGGACGUUCAUUAGAGUUUGGAUUUCGUGGUCCGCAUCCAGGAGGCUUUAUUUAUCCAGAACCUCUGUGUUUGGAUUUCCUAUAAGGUCAGCCUACAGAAUAAGAAGUUCUGAGCGCUCAGUAUGUACUAUGGACAUGUAGCCCAGCUCUUCGAUCAUGAAUUCGCGGGAAACAUGAACUAGUUUAUUCUUGAAAUGGUCUUUUUCAGGUGUAUUAUUGUCGCAUAUAUGUUAGUACGUUACCCAAUCCCUCUAGUGGGAUGUUGACCAUCGAUCGAUAUUUUUAUACUUGCAUAUGUUAUACUUUGACAGAGUGCCCAAGCAAGCAGCAUGUCUGCAUUUUUAUCCUUGACAAAGUGAUCUGGUUGCUACCCUAACAUUUGAAUCUUCACUUUCCAUUUCUUCAAAUAUCCUAACAUUUGAAUCUUCAGUUUCAAAAAUUUAGUGGAAUCGAUGAGUUCUAAGCAUGGAAUCGCUCGCCCACUCACUCGGACUGAACCGGUAUAUAUAUAUAUAUAAAAUCAAUUUUAAUUACUUAAUUAUUUUGUAGUUUUUCGACCACAUAUAUAUAUAUAUAUAUAUAUAUAUAUAUGUUUGGUUAUUGGAUAUUAUUGACUAAUUUAUAGGAUUAACCCCAUCUUUUUUUUUCAUUUAUUUACUUGUUUUUUCAACCAAAACAAAAUAAAUAAGUAUAGAGGAAUGAGAGAAUCGAUUAGAGAUGUCCAUAAGAGCCAACCGCUCGUUUUAAGAGUAUAAUUAGGUCUCUCUUUAGCAUCCCAUGAUUUAAUUAGGUUGAUGUUGAAAAAACGACGAAUCAAGAGACUAAUGUUUUAACUUCUGUGAAGGUUAGGAUUUUUAACAUGAAGUAUAAUUCUCCACUUGUUUCCGGUGUUCGAAAAUCUUAAGAGGAGUAAAUCAUGAAUUUCGAAGAAAUUAAGUUUUUAGCUGAUGAAUAUCGUCUAUUUGUUUUGCUUUAUAGUUUUCAAUUCUUAAUCAAAAUUAAAGACUUGCAAUUCAACUCGAAUAUAAGGUCAAACAAGCUUUGUAGAGAUUGAUGAUAGAUUCCAUUGACCCACUAUAGAACCAGACUGGUCUAGCGAUCUAGUUUCUGGUUGGAUCCAUGGAGCCAAUGGGCGGGUCUUGAUUCCAAUUUUUCAGAAUCAGUCUUUAAUGGACGGUUUCCAAUUCUAAAGUGAGAAAUGUCCACCUCAACCAUGCUCACCCCUAUGUUGAAUUUGGGCAAAUUCCUCUCUAACCAAAUUCCCAUCUCCAAGCCUAACCAUUUAUUUAUAGUGGUGUGACUACAUGAACCAUUUCAUGGCACUGUACAACCUCCAAAUAUUAGGACAUACUAUGAAUACGGAAUAUGUGCUCGUCUAUGCUGUGUGCUUGGGUAGGUUACUUCUGUGUUGGAGUUGCAAUGGGUUUCUGGGCCAGCUAAUAGAAAAAAGAGACGGGGGUUUAUGGUGUCGUGCCAAAUUCCUAACCCAACUGACUUCUCAGCCCAUAAAAAAUUGAUUAGACAAAUUAAAAAUACAGGGACUAAAUUAGAGAAGCAGUUUAAAUAGAGGGGUGAAAGAUAUAAUUUUCCUAUUUUAUUAACGCAGCGGAGCGUAUAAAACCAGGCCACAAUUGUUGAGCAUUUGAAAAUAUUCCUGCCAUUUGCAACGUGCAAGGUCGUAAUUCGUACAUGCUGUAAGGUUAUGGUGAAAUCAAUUACUUUAUAUGUCCUCGAAAAUCUCCUCAUAAUUGACACUCGAGGUUUUUCUUUUUAGGUUGGAUUUGAAACUUGAGGUCCACUUAGCCUACCAUCUUUUGAUGACAGCAAAGGUGAAAUUUCUGUUGCCAGAUAAUUAAGGUAAACUGAAUUUGCUAACGUUUCAAGGACUAUUUAAGGCGUCGAACGAAUAAGAAGGCAAAAUGGCAAUUGCACGAUGAAUCUGGACAAACUCCUCUGGAACCAAAUUCCUACCUCCAAGCCUGACCGUUUGUGGGUAGUGGUGUGAAUCAAUUCGUACUCUUACCACGACAGUGCGAGCGAACUCUUGUAUCCUUUCCUUAACGAGAAAGUUGGGAAAAUAACCAAAAAAUUCAAAAAUUAUUGUAUCCGGGCAAGUUUAAAUCUAAGUCUUUUGAGGUGACCAAUUCAUUUCUAAACAUUUUUCAUAUUUUUCAAUUCAAUCAUUUUGUCUGGAAAAAUCUAACGUGUGUGUGGCUUACAUGAAAUUUUAAAAAUAAAGCGGUGUCAUUUCUUUAAAGGUAAAAACUCCACUUUACCUGAGAAACACCGUUGCUUCCCUUCAUCAACCACCGUCCCAAUUUGGCCACAAUCACAAACCACAAAAUUGGGAAGAACCCUAAUUGCUCUUAGCUUUUCUCCAGGCAAAUUAAAAUCAAUUAUUUUUUUGAAAAUAAUUUUGAUUAAAUUAUCUUCUUUUAUCACAAAAUUUUCAAAAAAAAAAACAUACGCAAUAUAGAUACAAGACAAUUUCAAAUUCAAUUGGAUGAUAUGAACAUAAUAUGUUUUUAAUUUAGUGAUAGUAUUAUCUAAUAGGCUCAAACUUUCAUUAAUGAAUCAAUCUAAUAAGGUUGCUCUGUUUCUUUCAAGAACGUUGGAAUUAAAAAUAUAAUUAAUCUCGUGAUCAACCCUCCCCGGAAAAAGAAUUCAGUGCACCUCCAAAGUCAAACUGAUGCUGUAGUCACCAUGAAACUCCAUGAAAUCAUGCAAGCACAUGCGUGGUGAGUAGCUCAUUGCCCUCUCAUGCCAUUUCUACUCGUUUUUUCAUAUGAUAAACUGAACCUAAAAGGUAUCCAAACCUCUAAUUCCCUUUGAGGAGGUGACAGGGUGGUAGAGAGAGAGAGAGAGAGAGAGAGAGUAAGAGUAGAGCAAAGAGGAGUCGUGAACUUGAAGAGAGAAUAAACGGAGAAGCAACGAAGACGAGAGGAAGGAGUAGAAAUUUUGAAAUUUCUGACUAAUGGGAUUGCUACAUGUCGAUUUUUGAAUGGUUUAUCGUAAACCUUAUGUGACAUGUCCAACUUUCCUAAUAUCUUCUCAGAAAUCAAGUGCUCCAUUUGGCUUAAACGGCAUGUAAGACACGAUUGCAUUAAAUGUGUAUAUAUUACAAGUGGAGACUUGAGCAAGUCUUUGAACUGCUCCCCUCAAGCCCAUGUGAGAGAACCUCCCCCAGGGACAAGUCUCAGGAGGGGGCGUGAAAUACUGGGGGUCUGUCGGAGUCAACCAUAAACCAUAAACCCGGUAAUGAUAAACCGCAGGGGGGACUAACAGGGGUUUACCCACCCCACCCCCUGGCUUUUCCCAAUAUAUUCUCAGAAAUCAAGUGCUCCAUUUGGCUUAAACGGUAUGUAAGACACGAAUGCAUUAAAUGUGUAUAUAUUACAAGUGGACAAAGAGGACAGAGAGUCCUUUUAAUUUAGUGCUUUCUGCGGCUGAAGCAAAAGAAGUCAUCAGAGAGUUAAUGAAGGGGACAAAAGAAGCCCAUACCUUCUCUAAUACUCGGCAAUUAUCAUUACUUAAAUUUAUAGCACCAUCAAAAUUAAAAUUUCCAUUUUUUUGGUAAGUUAAGCCUAUCUUAUUUUACAAGAAAUAAAUCAUCAUUGAAACUACAUAAAAUCGUCAUCUUCAAUUUAUUUUCCCACUAUCUAUGUACCUUUUUUUUGGGUGAAAAGCGACAUUAGAAAUGAUCCAUAAACUUUACAAUAUAAUCUUUUAAUUUUUAAUUUGUUCGAUGUAAUUUCUAAAUUUCAACAAAAUGUGUCAUAUGAUUCAUGAAUUCUUAAUAUAUAUUCAACUUAAUCCAUUAAUCAUAUGAAAAUAUUUAACAAUAUCCUUCUAUUGAGUUAAGUUUAAUGACAAUAUUGAAUAUUUUUAUAUAAUUUAAAAAUUAAGUUAAACACGUGUCAAAAGUUCAUAAAUCAUAUUGAACAAAUUAAAAAUUCGGGUAUCACAUUGCUCAUUAGAUUAAAAUUUAGGGGUUAUAUCAAAUAAAUUAAAAAUUUAUGGACCACAUUGCAAGUCAGGAUGAGGUUAUGGAAUUACUUAUGUCAUUAAGAAUUAUUUCAAUUAAAGGACCAUUAUGCCCUUCUUGAAACAAAAGCCAAAUAACGCUCCGUCACUUGAAGACAAGAUUCCCGCUUUCUCUCUCUCUCGAUCGACAGUUACUGCACAGUCAGUUCAGAGGCCGAUCGAGUUCGCCGGAAAAAACAACCACGCCUCCGCCGGGAAAACUCUCCGAUGGCCGAGAAGAGCAGGGUCCUGGUCAUCGGAGGCACUGGGUCCAUCGGAAAGUUCAUCGUGGAGGCGAGCGCUAAGUCCGGUCGCCCUACCUUCGCUCUCGUGAGGGAGUCCACCCUCUCCGACCCCGCCAAGGCCGACAUCGUCGAGGGUUUCAAGAGCUUAGGCGUGAAUUUAGUCCGGGUGAGUAGUUAUUAGCGUGCGAUCUGUGUUCAUUGCCCCACCUUUGUGGUUCUGCUUCGACGAAUCGAAGCGUCACUUGUCGCUAAUCUGGUUCGCCGUUCGGAGAAAAUGUCUUUAGCAGUAGAAUCGGAGUCGAUUUUUAUCUCAAUCUCUCCCAAGAUCGUUAGGCAACGUAUGGUCGAGCAUAGUAACUUCUUGUUGUUUUAUUUCUUGCAAUACUUCCUUUCGUCUGAUGAAGGUAUUGAAGGAUUUAUCUGCAUCGGAAUAUGUAUUUCUCCUUUUCUUAGUCUUCCUACUGGCCAAAAUAGGAUUUUUUUUUUUUUAAUUGCUGACUUUAUUGAUUGCUUGUUGAGGCUCUUGGUGAUUUGAUUCUCAGGGAGACAUAUACGAUCAAGAGAGUUUGCUGAAUGCAAUUAAGCAGGUUGAUGUGGUAAUCUCUGCUGUGGGGCAAGCACAAACGGAGGACCAAGACCGGAUUGUUGCUGCCAUCAAAGCAGCCGGGAAUAUCAAGGUCGUGCUGUGCCUAGUCAUUUCCAUUUCAAGCUACUGAGUCCGUUUACUGCUUGACUGAUGAUAUAGGUUGGCGUUAGCAUGAUUCUUUUCUUACUGGUUUAGGUGCAUUGCGAUCUCCUUGCGAGCUUCGCUUUGAUGAAAUGGGACGGAUUGACUCAUUUAUCUGCCGAAUUCACUUCUUUCUUUCUCUAAAUGGUCAUGACUUUGUAUAGGACAGCGUGAGCUGCUAAGUGGGCUACUCUAAAUCCACAUUAUUGCUUUUUAAUGGAUUCAAUUGGGUAGGAAAUUCUGUCAUUGUGGAUGCACAGUGCACCAUCUACAUGAAUUUGUGCAUAUUCGUAUGUAUUUACUCGGAGAUUUACAUCUUUACACAACCAAAAAGGUACUUUGACACCAAACUCAUGCCUGAUAUUGGGCUACCCACAUACUCCAGUGGCUGAUGGCUUUAUUUAUCCAGAACCUGUGUGGUUAGGUUUCCUCUAGGUCAGCAAAAAAAGUAGAAGGUUUCUAGCACUCAAUUUGGAUUAUGGUCAUCUACCCAGCUCUUUGAUCAUGAAUGGAAAACAGCAACUACUUAAUCCUUUAAAUCGUCUUUUUCAGUAGUAUUAUUAUUGUAGCAAAUAAGUUACCAAAACCCAGUUAGUGGAUAGUUUAGCAGUUGUUGCUUUGGCAGGUUGACGGUUGGUAAUGAGUGGAGCUCAACAUGCUCACAUAAGGCAAUGGACUUAUCUGAUAUUUUAUUUCUUGUGGAAGUGUCUAAGCAAGCUGUAUCUUUGCAUACUUGACAGAGUUUUCUGGCUAUUGCCCUGACAAGUAAAUCAUCACUUUUGUUUUUCUUCUACUUUUCCAAGAUCUCUUAAUUGCUUGUGUUGAUUCACUUACGAUCAUUUUUACCCUGUUAUAGUCACAUCUUGAAAAAAAGGAAAAAAAAGCGAAAUUCAGUCCCAUGUAAGUUUGUUUUUUUUUGUCAGAACUCAUGUGGGUUUGUUGGAUGAGGGGAAUAUACUCUAGUAUUGUUGCUUUCUAAUAAAAAAAAAAUUUCUUAUUUAAUUAAUUUUCUUUUUAGAGAUUCUUGCCUUCAGAGUUUGGAAAUGAUGUGGAUCGUGUCCAUGCUGUGGAGCCAGUAAAAACUGGAUUUGCUCUCAAGGCCAAGAUCCGCCGCCUCGUUGAGGCCGAGGGAAUCCCUUAUACCUAUGUGUCUUCUAACUCUUUUGCAGGUUACUACCUUCAAACAUUGUCACAGCCCGGGGCUACAGCUCCCCCUAGAGAUAACGUUGUUAUCUUAGGGG